GAACAGCACCCCUGGGGCGGGUUCGCAAAGCAGGCUGAGACCAGGGCUCAAGGUCAGUCGGGGCUACCUGGGCUGGUGGGUGUGGCCCGGGAGGGUCUCCUCAUCCGUGACACUGCUGGCCUGACACCUACUCCCAAGCCCUAUAAGCUCAGUGUGGAGAGGCAGAAUUAGGAGUUUGUGCAGGAGGCAGCUGGGGAAACAGAAACCGUGGGCUCACAGCCCUGCUUUGGGCCUGGGGCCCACUAGGUUGACAGACCUGAAUUAUUAAGGCCUGGGAAGAAGGUUGGCUGGCUGGCACGCACACCAGAGGGGAACCGAUCGCCCCUCUCGUGUUCUCUUCACAGUUCCCCGGGAGGUCAUUCAGCUUCCAGUUCUGGCUGCCCCAGUGUGGUCAAUGUGUGAAAAGGGCAUCUGGCUGCCCUUGGAGGGACCCCGGCCUAGGCUGUCGCUGUCCCUACACCCUGGAUUUAUCAGGGCCUUUUGUUUGCGGGCUCCAGCUCAUCUCCCUCUGCCGGCUCUGAGCCCCUCUGCCACACACAUUUUCUGCAUUUCCCCUUCCCGCAUGGCAGCUUUGCUCUUUCUCCUCCCCACCAGCGAAGACCCGGCAGCUGCCCAGGGACCAUAGUUUCCAGAGCCCUGGAUUCUGUGGGGCCAGUCACAGGGACCCACCUGCGCUCAGAUGUCAGCCUAGGGCUGGCUGGCAAGACCCCUGCUCCCAUUCAGCCGGAGAUGUCUAGAGGAGGCCAGAGCCACUUCCAAAUCUGCUCUGGGCUUUCUCUGGGGUUCACCUCAGAGCAGAUGGGGUUAAUAAACCCCAUAGGUGUUCCAUUUCCAGUACCUGGAAAAGAAAGGCAGAGGGUACGCCUGAAGUCUUAGAGGUCAGAAUGGUGCCUGUGAAAUAUGGAAGGGCAGGUGCCAGGCCGCACGCUGGUGCCACUCUGCCAGGAGUCGAGGAUCCUGGGGCAAGGAAGAGCCUGGCGGGUCUGAGAAUGAUCCAGAUGGCUUGUGGAGCUAGAACCCCCUUCCUGGUUUUCAUUCCUACAGCCAUUUCUCUAAAGGCCUCUGUUCCUGGAAGCUGCUGAUACCCUAGCAGGACGAGGACCAGCUGGCUUCCUCAGGACAACUGGGCAUCCCUUGGCCCAUCCCUUCUCUGAUAGCGCGGCUCACUGUUUCCUCCCUGGUGCUGCUCUGGGCCUCACAUUCCCCUGCUUCCCUUCAUCUGGACAGUUAGGAAAAAUUGUCCGAGAUUUGGAAAUGGGACAAAGGGAUUCCUGCAAGCCCUUGAGUCAUGCUGGGCUCAGGCAUUGUCCAGCAGGCCUGUCUGGAGGGAUUAGCUGAUUUCCUAGGGGUGUGUACUUUUGUCUAGCUUGUCUAUUUACUAUCGAUUAGGGUAUUUUACAACUUUAUAGGGAAGGCAUAGAGGGGGCGCCUGGGUGGCUCAGUCAGUUAAGGGCCGACUUUGGCUCAGGUCAUGAUCUCACAGUUUGUGAGUUCGAGCCCUGCAUCGGGCUCUGUGCUGACAGCUGAGCCUGGAGCCUGCUUGGGAUUCUGUGUCUCCCUCUCUCUCUGCCCCGCCCCUGCUUGUGCUCUGUCUCUCUCUCUCUCAAAAAUAAAGAAACAUUAAAAAUAAAUAAAUAAGUAAAUAAAUAAAUAAAUAAAUAAAUUAAAAAUAAGGAAGGUGUAGAAAACAAGGCUAAAGUUUUAUUUUAUAUGAUAUAAUUUAACAAACUUAUUUCAGUAUUCUUUCUUUCAGUUACUACAAAGACUUAAGUAUCUUCUAUACUUUUUGGAAUCAGCUUUACCAUCCUGUUGAUUCUCUCCUUAAUUAAUUAAAAAAAUUUUUUUUAAUGUUUAUUUUUGAGAGAGAGAGAGAGAGCGCAAGCAGGAGAGGGGCAGAGAGAGAGGGAAUCUGAAACAGUCUCUAGGCUCCGAGCUGUCAGCACAGAGCCCGAUGUGGGGCUCAAACCCACUAACUGUGAGAUCAUGACCUGAGCCGAAGUCGGAUGCUUAACGGACUGAUCCACCCAGGUGCCCCUCUGCUUAAUUAAUUAAAUUCAUUUUUGAUACAUGUUCAGUCUACAUUUGUAUGAAAACUAUGUUUUUAAAUUUUUAAUUAAAAAAUGAACACAUAACAAAAUGGACUCUUUUUAUGUAUAGCUCUAUGAAAUUUUUUAAGGUUUAUUUAUUUAUUUUUGAGAGAGAGAGAGAGAGAGAGAGAGCAUGAGUGGGGGAGGGACAGAGAGAAAGAGGGAGAGAGGGAAUCCCAAGCAGGCUCCACACUGUCAGUGCAGAGCCUGAUAUGAGGCUCGAACCCACAAACGGUGAGAUCAUGACCUGAGCUGAAAUCAAGAGGCAGAUACUUAACUGACUGAGCCACCCCGCACCCUUACAGUUCUAUGAAUUUUAACCCAUAUAGAAGUUGUGCAACCACUACCACAAUCAGGCUACAGAACAGUUUCAUCAUGUCAAAAAAUUCCCUGCAGAAUCAUGUUUGUGUGUAUGUAUAUGGGAAAAAACCCACACAUCAUAAAAUGUACCAUCUUAACCAUUUUUAAGUCUAUAGUUCAGUAGUUUUAAGAAUUUUUACAUUGUUGGGGCGCCUGGGUAGCUCAGUCAGUUAAGUGUCUGACUCUUGAUUUUGUUUCAGGUCAUGAUCAAGCCCCACAUUCAGCUCCACACUGGGCAUGGAGUCUGCUUAAGAUUCUCUCUUUUCCUCUCCCUCUGGCCCUCUUCCCUGCUUGUGCACACUCUCUCUCUCUCUCUCUCUCUUAAAAAAAAAAAAGAAUAUUUACAUUGUUGUAAAACAGAACUUUUUCAUCUUGUAAAACAGAAACUUUAAUACCCAUUAAACAACUCCCCUGUGUCCCCUCCCACCAGCCCCUGGCAACCGCCAUUGUGGUCCUUGUUUCUACGAAUUUGACUAUUUUAGAUACAUCACAUAAGUGGAAUCAUUCAGUAUUCGUCCUUUUGUGACUGGCUUAUUUCCCUUAGCAUAAUAUCCUCAAUGUUCAUCCAUGUUGUACCAUGUUUUUGACCCUUUGAAAAUUAUUCUUUGACAAUUUGCAAAAGGAUAUCAGUGACUAGGGUGUUGCUGGCCUGCAUGUCUUUACUAAUCCAUCUAGCCUGGGGGGAAUUCCCAAUCUGUCCCUGUCCCAGGGAAAGGCUUGGGGUCUUAGAAUUUGGCUCUGCCCUGCUACCCCCACUGCCUGCUCUCCCUUGCAAGGCUUCCAGGAGCCAUUUGAAUUAGACAUGAGAACACACAGAAAAGCCCCUUAAUCAGCAGGGUGCUUGGGGGACAUCUCAAGAUAUGCAUGGUGGGAUUAACCACACAAAGUAUAAAUAACUGAACUGGAUAUAGGCACCCAAGCCAGAUAUCCCAUUAACUCUUCAGAUAGAGGCAGAUGUUGGGGAUAAAAAAGUUCACCCCUUUUCCUUUGCACGAUGAGAACUGGGAACAUGGCACAUAGGAGGAGCUGGGCAAACCUGGGGAAUGAGCCAGAGUAUAGAAAUGACUGGGCCAGCCCAGGUGAUAGGCGUCCCCAGGCAAAACUACUAAAUAAUUUAUUUGAGCCUCUAAAAUGGAGUCAGAUAGACAUGUGUAUCCUCUCUCUCUCUUUCUUUCUCUCACAUUCACAAAGAGCCUAAGCACCUUUUCACUCAGCAUCCAGAGAACCUUUGGUAUGUGUAAAUGCCAAGUAGUCUUCAUAGCUUUAAAAUCCAUCACUCUCUGUGGUGCCCCCUUAAAAGUAUUUAAAAACCUUUCAUUUGUCUUUAUAAGCAAUGAAAACAGACAUUCUUGGGGCGUGUUGUAUUUACCCCCGUGUGUCUCCCCCCACUUUCCAGAAGCCCCAUUUUCUCUGCUGGGAAGGGUGUGUGGAGGGGCUGGUAAGGAAGUAGCCUUAGAUACUGGUUCCAGCGAUUCCCAACAGGCCUCAUGGGCCUGGGAAGCUACUUAAACACCUGGAGCCUCAGUUUCGUCUCUUAAGAAGGAUUGCAACAGCCCUUUACCCAGAACUUGAUAGAGUGUUCCACCCGGAUUUCUAAGUUCUCUUUUCAUGUGAAUCCUUUUUUUUUUUUUUUGAGAGAGAGAGAGAGCAGGAAUGGGGUUGGGGCAGAGGGAGAGAGAGAAUCUUAAGCAGACUCCAUACUCAGCAUGGAGGCUGACUCAGGGCUCAGUCUCAUGACCAUGAGAUCACGACAUGAGCUGAAAUCAAGAGUUGGCCACUUAACUGAUUCAGCCACCCAGGUGCCCCUCAUUUGAAUGCAUCUUAUCUCUAGGGUGACUGUAUAAACUCUUCGCCUCCAAACCAUGACAUUUUUAAGAAUGAAAAGUGAUUCAAAUACUAAUUACACUGGGACAGGGUGUGUAAACUGGGAUGGUGGCAAGCAAACAGCAAAGUAUGGUGACUCUUCUUCCAGACUAAAUUGGAAAGCUUCUUCCAUGAAGAGGCCUUGACUAUACAUCUCAGCGUCCCCAUCUGUAUCUAUCCUAGAGUGCUGUUCAUAAAGAUGCUCAGUGAACCCUGAUAUCUUCUUCUUUAAACUGCUCUUUUCCCAAAAAAAAAUCUAACCUAGUGCAAAUGUAGAGGGAAAGGCUUCUUGAUUUAGCUUAAACACCUUAUUGUAGGGUUGGGUUGACUUUGGCAGUUAAAUAGCAUCCAUUGUGAAUAGGAGACAACAGGUGGCCCAUGACUGGAAGUGGACCAUUCUGGAGCAGGUCAGGAUUCGGCUGCUGAGGGUAAGUUAUGUCUGAUCAGUCACAAUCAUGUGGCAGAGGCUCCUGGGACCACAGCUAUACACAAGGAAAGGGAUGUGUGUUGGCAUACCCAAAUAGGAUUUCAGGUAUCCACUUUGCACAAGAAAGUGCCGGGACUGUCAGAAGAAAUGGAAAGAAUUUUAAGGAUUAACUGUUGGAGCCUAGAAGAGCAGGUUUACAUCUCUAAGGGGAGAAAAGACAAAGGUGACUUCAACUCCUUAACAGUAUGCCUGGUGGGCACAAAGUUCGCUUCAGUUUAGAAGGCUGUGGUUUGAAAUUUGUGGAGAAGAGUCUUUUGAAUUUCCCACAUAGAUGGUGGAUGGCAGUUGAUAGCUGAUAUGUUCUGACCCCGCCGGUUGAUGAUGGUUGAUGGCUGAUGUGUUCGGACCCAGCCCUGAGUGGAGGAGGCAAGGAAGCCUUAAGAAAAUGGAAGGAGCAGAGGUGCUUCUUUUGAAGCCAUAUAAGCAAGCUGUGAAUAUUGCUUUAGAAGGACAUAUCACCCAAGAGUGUCCGAGAGUGUGGGCUGUGCUCUGCUAAUUCACAUAACAGACACCAGAGACAAAUCUUUGCAGCAAAUGGCAGCCAAGUGUUGCAUCCUAAUAAAAUCAGAAUAUCAUGAUGGUUUCUGAUAGAGGAUGUCCAUUGUCUUCAGGAAGGGCAUCCUUUGUUCUAAUUGGCAUAAAGGCACAAUAUGGGGUAAUGGAGGCCAUGGUUGGAAUAGGCGGUGAUCUCCUCACUGGGCAGUGAUGGCAGCUACAAAAACCUGGGAGCUGUGUUGCUAAUGGCCAAUGUCCCAGUGAUGUAUGGAGUCAACAACAUUGGUCUGGAUGACAGCCAGGUUGGUGCUCAUAGCAAAGCCCUCUGCUGGUCCCAUUGAAACAGAGAGGAGAAUUGCACCAAAGAGAAAUAUAGAAGGGCUUUAUCAGCUGUGGUGGUAUUGAUGAGACAGCAGAGUCCUGCCAAGGGAAGGAGGGAACCAUGAGCAGAGGCCUGGAGUAGAAGAUUUUUCUGUCAAGCUGCUAUUGUGACCCAUUCCCUUAGGAUGCUGUGUCCAGAGAAAGAACAUUACACUGGGAUUGGAAAACAUUUAUUUAGGUUAUGUUCUUGAAAUCAUUUUUAAAAAUUAAUUAAUUAAUUAGUUAAUUUCCAAGUAGGAAACAUACUUUUAUUGGGGUGGGCAUGGAGCACACACUAGGCCAUGAUAAAAUGACUUAAGAGAAAGACCUGGAAAUGCUGACUUCUCACCCUGGCACACAUUAAGAAUGAAGCCUGGGCACGGAAUAGAUCCCAGCCAAGUCUUUAAGGCCCGUUCUGGAGAGUAGGAGCAGAGAGAAAGGCUCCCACACAUGCUGCUGGGCCACAGCAGGGCCCUGACUCUACCUGGCUCUAGACCCUUGCAGACACACUCCGGUUUUUCCAGAUGAGAAUUGGGGGGGGGGGUGGACACAGAGGGGGAUCUGGAGGUAGGUUGUGAAUAACAACAAUGUUUUUUAUUCUGUUUAUUUAUCUUGAGAGAGAGAGAGAAGAGAGAGGGGGACAGGGGGACAGAGUGAGGAAAAGAAUCCCAAGCACUCUCCUCACUGUGAGUGAAGAGCCCAACGUGGGGCUCAAACUCAGGAACCUUGAGAUCAGGACCUGAGCCGGAAGUCUGACGCUUAAACUACUGAGCCACCCAGGUGCUCCCAAUGUUGUUUUUUACAAAGCAUCUGCCAACAUCAUACUACUGGGUCUGAUGUCCCAUUUUACAGCAUAAAUAAAAACUCAAGGAAAAUAAAUGCAUUAGCUCCUAUGAGGUUGGAAGUGGUAUGGAUGGUAGGGUGUGGGUGGGCCAGUGGGGGGCAGAGCGAAUGUGGGGGUGGGGGGGGGCUUACACAAGGAGGGCGGGCUUGGAGCAGACAAGACACAAGAGGUACCUGUGGGGGAAUGAGAGUCUUAAGUGUCCUCUUAAGUGUCCUUAUGCAAGUCUGGGCUGUCAGGGACCUUGUGGGGGCGGGGGUGGGGGUUGCCCAGCUCUCACCCUCAAGGUCCACUUGUUCCUGGUCUCUCUACUCAUUGGCGUUCUUUUUGUCCCAUUGCUGAUGUAGGUAGCACAAAAGGAUGUUUAUUUUUUCUGUCACAAUGAUCUGAUCAAAUGGGUACUCCCACAUGGGCAGGUAGACUAAGGGACGUCGGUUCGAAGCUUUGCACACUGAGUCAGCAUGAAAUCGACUAAAGUUGCUUUUGUUGUAGACUGUCAGUUCUUUAAAAAAAUCUGCCAUCUUCUGUUUCCUCCGUCGCUGCCCCAGCCACCGCCGCCGCCCCACUGUAACUUCCAGCCACAGCACAGCCCACACCUAUUUAUUUAUUUUUUAAAGUUUUAUUUAUUUAAAUAAUCUCUGCACCAACAUGGGGCUUGAACUCACGAGCCUGAGAUCAAGAGUCACAGGCUCUGCUGACUGAGCCAGCCAGGCGCCCCUAAAUCAUUUCAGUUUACUUCUAGUGGCCUCAGCUGAUGUUGCCCAGGAGAAUCAUUAACCAUCAUUAAACAAAUAACCUCCGUUUCUCCUCCCUCACAAGAUACCCACGUGAGAAGCAGGUUGAGCCCCAGUCAGUGUUUGGAUGUGUGGCUCCUAAUCAACACUACUACAGUUGACCUUUGAACAGUACAGAUUUGAACUGCAUCGGUCCACUUAUGUGUGGAUUUUUUUUUUUGAUAAAUACAAUACAGAGCUGUAAAUGUAUUUUCCUUAUGAUUUCUUAAUGGCAUUUUCUUUUCUCUAGCUUACUUUAUUAUAAGAAUACAGUGUAUAAUACAUCUAACAUACAAAAUAAGUGUUAAUCAACUGUUUGUGUUAUUGGUAAGCCUUCGCGUCAAUGGUAGGCUUUUAGUAAAGUUUCUGGUGAAAAAUCCAGAUCCUAUCUGCCAGAUCACCAGGGAUCCACACUGGAGGAGUCAAAAGAUAUACAUGGAUUUUCAACUAUGCGGGCGUUGGCACCCCUACCCACCGUGUUGUUCAACUGUACAUAUUUCUUAUUAUAAAUCACAGUAUUAUACUAUCUUUGAAGUAAAUUAUUUUGGGUAUGACAUUUAGUACUUUAUGAGGGCAGACUAUCCCAAAUAUACUCUAAACAUUUGCACAAAAUGCAUGUAACUAUUUUCAUGUGAUAAAAUUUUAUUAAUUUCUUGUGGUUUAAUUCAUGAUUAUUUUACACUUGGUGACAUAGGCUGAGCCAGAAGUCAUGCCAAAUCCCCAUCAUUUUAAAAUCAAACUGUGUCUUAUGUUGAUUUUUCUUUUGAUAUAAACAUUACAUGUUCACUGUAAAAAGAAAUAAAAAAGACAGGCUAAAAGAAGAAAAUGCAUAGUCUUAGCCCAUUCUCAGAGUUAACCACUAUUCACCACCUGAUGUAUUCUCCCAAAUCUUUUUCUAUGUAUGUACAUGUGCAUGACUGGGUAUAAAAAAAAAUACUCAUACACCUGUAAAACACAAAUAAGGCUUUGUCAAGUUAAUAGCUACAUUACUCAUUUCUAAUAUUUCUACUUUGUAAAAUAUUUGCCUGUUUUUGUUUCAUAAUUACCUGUUCUUAUUUAUGGUGGCUAUUCUUUCAUUUAGUUCCCUGAAGUUUUAUUUUUUUUUUUUAAUUUUUUUUUUUUUUAAUUUUUUCUUUUCAACGUUUAUUUAUUUUUGGGACAGAGAGAGACAGAGCAUGAACGGGGGAGGGGCAGAGAGAGAGGGAGACACAGAAUCGGAAACAGGCUCCAGGCUCCGAGCCAUCAGCCCAGAGCCUGACGCGGGGCUCGAACUCACGGACCGCGAGAUCGUGACCUGGCUGAAGUCGGACGCCCAACCGACUGCGCCACCCAGGCGCCCCAGUUCCCUGAAGUUUUAUAUACAUUUUUAUUUAAAAUCUCUUCAAGAUUGUCUCCAGUUCCUUAAAUGUACAUUUUCUUGUUUAGGGGGUCUGAAAACCACCUUUAGUGUUGUUGGUCUUUCUUAUAGAUUUUGUAAUUCUUAUUUGUGGCUCAUCUUCCAUGGGAGUCAUCUUUCUCAGGACUUCUUUAUGUGCUCUGGGUGGGAGGGCUUCCUCAAGGGAGGUUUCAGUAUUUUCCUAUGGGUUGAGGCACUGUCUCCAGACCAAGGCUUAGGCUAGUGGACCAGAACUAUUGACUCCAUUUUCACACAUCACUGGGCAGAUGACUGUGUUGAGCCACACAACCUCUUAGGCUUUUAGUUCAUUGGCCAUUUAGCUCAAAGGCAAGCCCAGCUGCUCUUUCAGUCCUUGCUGGUUUCCUUGAUGGGGGUCUGGGGAAGGCCAUCCCAAAAUGUGCCACUUUGGCAUAUUGAUUAUUUGAAAUUAAAGUCACUUAAGAGGGGUUUCUGGGUGGCUCAGUUGGUUAAGUGUCUGACCGGCUCAGGUCAUGAUCUCACCACUUGUGAGUUUGAGAGCCGCAUUGGACUCUGUGCUGCCAGCUCAGAGCCUGGAGCCCGCUUUGGAUUCUGUGUCUCUCUCCCUCUCUGUUCUGACCCCCCUCAUACUCUGUCUCUCUCUUUAUCAAAAAAAUAAAUAAAGAUUAAAAAAAUUUUUUUAAUAAAAUAAGAUAAAGUCACAUAAGAAAUAGCCAGUGCCAGAAGAACACUCUGACUUGCCCCACCUGUGUCCCCAGAAAGCAGGAAAUAAACCUCCCAUGUGAAAGGUACCCUCCCUGUACCAGGAUGUAAAAAGACAUUCUAUCAUAGGGCCCCCAACAGGCCCACGGACUCCUUCUCUCCAGGAUUCCUCCAUGACUUUCCCCAGAUUGCCUAUGCAGCCUCUUGGCCCUUCUUGUACCAAAGUGAGGUGCCGGUGACCCUUCUUGGCAUCUUAUUUUUUAACCUUCUUCUCUCAUUCAGCUGCAGGUGUGUGUGUGGGGCGGAGGGGGGUAUACAAAGAACAUUUCCAUUCUGGGAUCCUCUGUUUCUUUCCUCCUGACACUUUUUAAGUCUUAUGUGGUUGUACUAUUUUCCAUAUUUGGUUGCCUCUGGUUAACUUUUGAUCUUUUUUUAACAAUUCAUUUUUUAAUUACUUUAAGGAGUGUGGGCCUGAAGGAGGUUGUGUGCUCUGGCCUCACUUGUACCACAUUUCCCCAGAGUCGAAGCAGGUGCAGCUCUCAAGAACUCACAAGAUGCCAGGCAGGGUCUCCUGGGUUGUUGCUACUGUGAGAGGAUGGUAUGUGCCCCUCAGGCCACAGACCUCCUCACAGUCGGCCGGUCCAUCGGUCUCUCUCUUUUUCUUUCAAGGCCUCCAACCCUCAAUUUCUUCAUCUGUGAUAUGAGUUAUUGUUGCCAGUAAGCUAUGUUGAAACUCUCUCUCUCUCUAAAAUGAAAUUAGACUUCCUUCCUACACCCAAACAUAGAGUUUUGGGGCCCAGGAUUUCUGAGAGUUUCUGGGGCACAGCCUGGCAUGCGCUCUUACUCAUCUUCUACUUGUCUUACUGCCAUGAUUCUGCCUCUGUAGCUCACGACACUAGUGACUUGGUGACUGCCAGGCCUCAGGAAGAGGACACGGCCCUCUCUCCCCCUCAGCCCAUCUGAAGCCAGGCUCCACUGACUGGGGAGGAAAGAAAGCAGGCUGAGGAGAGUAAUUUCCAUCUGCCUCAGAGGAGAAGUGACUGGCCUCCAUCUGGCAGGGGCCACCUCAGCCCCCACCAGCAGCAGUCUCCAGACCUGCACACUCCCCAGAGACGGGAGGAAAUCCUUCCCUCCCCCAGCCCAAAGCACUCUUCUUUGCCAGCUACAGGAUGACUGAGAGUGAGAGCACCCCUUUCUGUUAGGGGCAGUCUCCUAACAGAGAAGGGCAAAUAUUGCUGCUUUUCCCACCUACCUGGGGUCUCCCAGAACAUUUUAACCACUUGACAAAUGCAGGAGCCAUGGACGAUUCAAGGCCAAUUAAAGUUUCAACCCAGCUCCCCACCACCGUACCACCUCUACAAAUAUCACCUGUUGGGACAAGGGUAGACUGGAACGGGUAGGCUUAGGAGAAAUAUUUCCUAUUACUGCUUUGGAGAAGCUGCUGUGGCUGUUGCCAACUUCUUUGUUCUGGGCAGAGAAGGAAGCCAAAUGCCUGAGCCAGAGCCUAGUGCACUGACCGGGUGAGGGACUUUAGGCCACCUCAGGGCCUUGAAUCCAGAAUCAAGAGCCACAGAGAAUGAGGAACAGUUGUGGGAUCCUCUGUGGGUUAGGAUCCGAGACUUCUCUUUACAGCCAGAAAAAUGGCCAUUCCAGAGGGAAAUUGGAAAUCGUCUUUGGGCCCGAGCCUUUCUUCGUUCCUGCCUUUCUUCAGGGGUUGGAAUGUUCUGCAGCACAGACCUCAGGUGGGUGAGAUCAGACUCAGAGCUCACAAAAGCCAGCCAGGAAUCGGAGAGCUGGAGCUUCUGAGUCCUAUUAUCUAACAAGGGUUGGGUGUGGGUGGGAUUCGUGCCUACCUGCAGAGAGGCCUCCAAAAAUCAACCUUAUCUUGACCUUUCCUGUGAGCCAGCACGUGUGCGCUCAAAUUUUAACAAACAUCAUGACCUUUACUUAAUAAAGCCCUGGGGGAAAGCCAGGGCAAAUGUUCCCACUUUGAAGUGCUUCAUAAACCACGUGGCGUCUUCCAUGUGUGAGGAUGACAGGAGUGGCCCACUGUCACCUGAGUCAUUUUUUCCAGAUGUGGUGAGGGGAAAACAGCCAGCUGGUGUCACGGGGAAAGUGCUGUAUUCAAGUGUUGGUCAGGGUGUUGGCCAGUCACACGGUGCUGUGCCGCUGUUGCUAGUCCCACCUCCUUGCGUUGCCACUUCUCACCUGUGAUAUGGAGAUGGCGAGGGGACUAAGCCGUGCCUGGUAUUUCUCCCCUAGAAUGUGUGCACUCAUAGUUGUGAGAGCUCUUGAAAAAAAAAUCACAUGCCAAUGACUUGACAGGCUGCGUAGGGGAAUGUACACUGAACUUAGGGUUUAAAGACUCAGGUUGGAUCUGAGUACUUCUUAGUUAUGUAAAUUUAGGCAAGUUACUUAAGGCCUCAAGGCCUCCGUUUCUUCACCUGUCAAAUGGGUAUAAUCCCCUGGACCUGACUCCCUCAAGAGGUGGGUUAAGUGAGAUGGAAACGCACAGGAAGUGCUGUUAUUUGAUGCCGUCACAGGUGAGGUGCUCUUAUUUGGGCCACCAGGGCAGGGUCUUUCUUGGCCUCCAUCCUCUCUCAAGGGAGAAGAGCAUCUGCCAGUUGCCCUAGUAACCUGGACCAACGGCUGGCUUCCUGUAGGGGCUUUCCUGCUCGCACACAGUUUCGGUUUCCCCUCUUAACCCCUGCCAGUGGCUUAGAGUGGUGGUGGAGGGGUGCAGGUUGCUCGAGCGGAGGCCCUCUGCAGACCAUGCUCCCUCCACUGGCAUCGCUUGCCACGACUUUGCCCUGCUCUGCAAAAUGGAAAAGAGAACCUGGUUACGCAUCUCACUGGUUUUUCUGCUUUCUUUUCAUGACUCAUUUUCGGGAGUAUUUCAGGUAAACCACUUUUGGAGAAGGUACUUCUUGGCUCAGUUUUCUCCUCAUUUUCUCUGAGUCAAGGCUGACAAGUCUGCCUUCUGCGUCCAACCUACCAUCUCCAGAAAACAGGCCAGGCCACUGGAGAUCACCAGUUGCCUGGGCUGUCCCAGUGGGGACCUGAAGGGAUUUGGGCAUCUCUGUAGCAGUAAAAUUCACUCACUGGGUGUCCUCCAUGAGAAGUGGGAGCCACCUGUCCCCCUUCUGCCUUUCCUUACAGGCAACUGGCACUGGCUGAAAUCUCUCCAUUGGUGACUCACUUCUUUGUGUCUGAGUCCUAUAUUCAAUAUAAAAGCCCUGGGCAUCACUAUAGUCUUCAGGAGUAACACUUCCUAUUCCCAGAAAGUCAGGGACCAGACUAGAAGGACUUUGUAACUUCCCCAGGUUUGCUGUUCUUACUAUCCUGUGUUUCCUAUAAUCAUUAUCUGUGAAACCCAUGAAACAAAAAAGGCCUAUGUGUUUUAUCCAUGGGGGAUCCAUAAAAGGGUUUUAAGCCCGAGUCCUCUGUACAUGCAGAUUUCCUUGAGAGGUGGGUGGACCAGCUGCCUGAUGAGAAGGAGGCAGGCCUAGUCCCCAGACUGCAAGGAGGCAAGAAGUCCUAGGGCACUGAUACAGGACCUUGGGGCCUGUAAGCCCGACCUGUAGGGAGGCUGUGUGUGAGUUUCUGAUCUCUCCUAGCCAGGUAUUUAUAAAGAGCAGGGAGCACUUCACACACUUACUUAGUUCUUGCGGGAAUGGUCUCUGAGACUGGUUUGAAAGACAUUUAUCCAGUGAUCAGAGAGCUAUCAAAACUGACUCCUCACUUUAAGACUGGGAGGUGGUACUGUUAUAUUAUCUUCAUUUUACAGAUUGGGAAACCAAGGAGCAAUAACCUGGAUUAAGAAUCUCAGAUUCAAUUGGCUUUUAUUGAACUGUGUUGCACGUCAGGCAUCUGGCAGAUGUUUUCCCAAGGACUAUCUCCUGUAAUCCUCCCAAGAACUCGGUAGUGUCUGUAGGCUCUAUUAUCCCUGGUUUACAGGUGAGGCAUGUGUAGUCCUGUAAUAUUGUGAUUUAUAAUAAGAAAUUUAGGGGUGCCUGGAUGGCUCAGUCAGGACAGCAUGCGACUCUAGAUCUCAAGGGCCUUGAAUUCAAGCCUCACAUUGGACAUGGAGCCUACUUUAAAAAAAAAAAUGAAAGAGAUAUAUAUUUGAUCUUUGUCAUUACUCUGUCUUCGAGAUUGCUGAUCUUUUAUUUUUCCUGAAUCAUCUAAUCUGCUAUUGAUUCCCUGGUAUAUUUUUCAUUUCAGUUAUUGUAUUCUUUAGCUCUGAUUGGUUCUUUUUUAUAUGUUCUGUCUCUGUUAAACUUCUCACUGUCUUCAUCUGUUUUUCACUCGAGUUUGGUAGUUUCUUUAUGUCUAUUACUUUGAAGUCUGUCUGGUAGAUUGCUUAUCUCCAUUUCAUUUAGUUCUUUUUCUGAGGUUUCGUCUUGUUCUUUUGUUUGGACUAUAUUCGUCUCUCUCCCUAUUUUGCCUAACUCUCUUUGUUUCGGCGUAUUAGGUAAAUCAGUUAUGUCCCCUGGUCUCGAAGGACUAGCUUUAUGUACAAGGUGUCCUGUGGGGCCCAGUAGUGAAACCCCCUCAUCACUGGAGCAGGGUGCCCUAGGUGUUCAUGCAUGCAUCCUCCUAUUGUAGCUGGAUCCAGAUUCGUAUGGACUUGCCAGGGCAAGGGGCUGUCCCCCAGCUCGGCUGUCUGCAAGGGUUGGCCAUGACUACUACCAGUGUGCUGGUGGGCGGGGUGCAGGCCUUCAGUGCAGCUGGCUGACAGGCCUGGUGGCUGCAACUGUUACCAGUGCUCUAGUGUGCAGGGCAAGCUUCCCAGGCCAGGGGCCUCUUGGGAGGGCAGGUUGGGUGGGGCAAGUCCACAUAGGAACGCUGGAGCAGGGCGAGUGGUGCUAGCAAGUUAGAUGAACAGUGUUGGAACUGGCUCCCACCAGUGCUGGCCCAGCUAAGGAGAAGGGGAAUGAGAAAAACACGGUGCCCACCAGCACUCUGUCCCCAGAGAAUGUGCCAACUGAUCCCUGCUUCUUCAGCACAUGCCCUAAAAUUAGUAAAUAAAUUUCCUUCACGUGUAACCCGGGUGCUUUUCAAACUGCUGCCUUUGUGUUGGCUCUCCCAGCUAGUGAGCUCGUGUGCACCCUUGGAGAACAGUCUUGGUUUGCCCACUGCACUCUAGCUCUCCCAGACAGAAGCCCUGUUGGUUUUCAAAGCCAGACUUUAUAGGGACUCAUCUUCCCGGAGCAGGUCCCCUGGGCAGGGGUGCCUGAUGUGAGGCUUGGACACAUCAUCCUUCAGGGAGGGACUCUGCUGUUGCGAUACCCCUCCUCCUUGUGGGUCCCAGCACCAGGGCUAUGCAUCCUGACUGGACCACAACUCUGCCCCUCCUAACCGACUUGAUGUGGCUUUUCCUUUAUCUCCUUUGUUGUGUAAAAUCUGUUCUGCUAGUCUUCAGUUCGUUCACAGAGAUAGCUCUUCUAUAUGUAGCUGUACUUCUGAUGUGUCUGUGGGAGGAGGUGAGCUCAGGAUCUUCUUGUUCCACCAUCUUGAUCUCGCCUCAAGAUUGAUUCUUGCACUGGCUGAAAUCUACCCAUGAGAGUCUUCUUCUCGAUGAUUUGUAUUUUUUGUGGCUAACAAAGGUCUUGUCAGAUCUGAUUACAGCGUCAUAUUUUUAAUAAUCGUGGCAGCUGGCUUUUAUUGAGUGUUUACUCUGUGCCAGCGCUGUUCCCAACGCAUCACUUACUGCAUUAGCCCACUUAAUUCUCACAACCACUCUGAGGUGGGAACUAUUAUCAUGCCCAUUUUACAGAUAAGGUAACAAAGGCCCAGGGAGUAAGAUAACAGGCUCCUACAGCCAGAAAGAGGCAUAGCUGGGCGCAGGGGGACGACUCUGGCAGUUACGCUCCAGAUCCCAUUCUAUAGCCACCACCUCUGCCCCCUUUCCUAGCUGGGCUUCAUGUCAGUAACACAUGCUCAUAUCAUCUCCUUGAGGGAAACAAAGCUGCUGUUAUUCUAGCAGGCAAGGCUGUGCUAAGGGUGCAGACCAGGUGCAGGGUUGGUCGCCAGCUGCAAGUGCUGCCCUGAAACCCCUGCCUGCUUCUAGCUCUGAGCUCUAAGCUUUUUGAACUUGCCCAUUUAACGAAUGCUCACCGGCCUCACUUUUAUCAUUUAAAUCAGCCUCUCUCUGUGGGGUUGCUGUGAGGAGGAGAGGAGGUAUUUCUGCCAAGCACUUAGCAGGGCUUGGUGGGCAGAAAGCAUUUGAUGAGGAGGCAGGAAAGCUCUUGGGGUCUCAGUCCACAUGGCUCCGUUUCGUGCUGGAGCUCCCGUUCUGCCAAGAGCCCAUGAAACCAAAAGUAAUUUAAAAAUAACUCGUCUUUCACUUGCAUUUCUCAUCGCUAAGUGAACACACAGUCCUCAGCAUUGCUUUUGAUUUCUCUCAGUGGCAGUGUGAGAUUCUCAGUGCUUCUCACACUUCUCUUUCUGCCUUCUCUCGCCAUCGCUCUCACCUGCCGCAGAUGCCUCUGCUCUCCACCGGCUCUCAGCCUCUCCUGCCCUUGGCCGUUUUCCAUGCCCUCCUCUCUUCCCCUGAGUUGUAUCUCAAGAAUGGCUGAUAGAGCACCGCUCCUUUCCUCAGAGGAGGGGCUCGGGAGAGACCAAGGAGAGUGGAGCCAGGACCCUCAAAGAGAUGAGAGAGUCUGAGAACUUGUCCAUUAUUUUUAUCCCCCAACACCAACCAUUGCUAUUGUUUGGUAAAGGAGGAGGUGCCUGUAUUAGUCUCCUCGGGCUGCUCUAACAAAAUACCACAAACUGGGUGAUUUUAAGCACAAGAAAUUUAUUCUCUCACAUUUCUGGAGGCUAGAAGCCAGAAAUCAAGUGGGUAGUGGGGCCAUGGUCUUGCUGAAGGCUCUGGGAGAGGAUUCUUCUUUGCCUCUUCCCAGCCUCUCAUGGUUGUUGGCAAUCUUUGGCUUGUAGAUGCAUCAUGUCAGUCGCUAACUUCGUCUUGACAUGGCCUUCUCUAUGUUCAAAUUUCCCCUUCUUAUAAGAAUACCAAUCAUUGGACUAAGGCCCACUUUAAUCCAUUAUGACCUCAUUUUAGCUUGAUUACAUCUGCAAAGACCCUACUACCAUUCAGAUUCAGAGGCUAAGUCGUAUCUUUUUAAGGAACACAAUUCGACCCAACCACAACAAUGCCCUAUUGCUCAGCUUGAUUCUAAGCCAACCCAUUCCCAGACUGCAUCCCCAGAAUUGGUUCCCUCAAGUGUUUGAAGGUGUCUCUGACUUUAGUCCAGAUGAACCUGGGAGUCCUCUGUUUGUGGACCAAUUGUCGAAACUCCCACUAGCUCUAGUCUCUUAUGGAUCAGUCAGGUGCUUGCCUAAUGUCAUGAGGAACGCUGAGGAGGAAAAGGACCAGAAGCAUCACCAGUGAGGAAAUACAUUUUCCAGAAGUGAUAACUUUUCAACAGCUUUUUGAAAAGGUAAUAUAUUGACCUAAUGUUUUAUUUAUUUAUUUUUAAAUUUUUAUUUAUUUUUGAUAGAGAAAGCAUGAGCAGGGGAGGGGCAGAGAGAGAGGGGGACAGAGGAUCUGAAGCGGGCUCUGCACUGAGAGCAGUGAGCCCAACGUGAGCCUCGAACUCACACAGUGAGAUCAUGACCUGAGCCGAAGUCAGACAGAUGCUCAACCAACUGAGCCACCCAGGUGGCCCUUGACAUAAUGUUUUAAAGGUACUAUGUAGGCGCCUGGGUGGCGCAGUCGGUUAAGCGUCUGACUUCAGCCAGGUCACGAUCUCGCGGUCCGGGAGUUCGAGCCCCGCGGCAGGCUCUGGGCUGAUAGCUCAGAGCCUGGAGCCUGUUUCCGAUUCUGUGUCUCCCUCUCUCUCUCUGCCCCUCCCCCGUUCAUGCUCUGUCUCUCUCUGUCCCAAAAUAAAAAUUAAAAAAAAAAAAAAAAAAGGUACUAUGUAAACAUAAUAUCUUAUUAAGACUAUGAGUGAAAAAUGUUUUUCUCCUAUGAAGAAUCAGUCUGAAAUACAAUGUUAAUAGUUAUGCCAUAUUAGUGGGGGAAAGAGGAACUAUUUAAUAACUGGAACUAGAAAAACAUACAUAUGGAUUAAAAAUGAAACAGGAUCCCCAUUUAACACCACACACAUGAAAUCAACUCUGAAGGGAUUAAGGACAGUGUCGAAGCAUGUUUAUCUUUGUGGAAAAGAUAGAUGGCUAUCUUUCUUGCACCUGAGAAAGGAAAAUUUGGGGGAUACCUGGCUAGCUCAGUUGGUGGAGUAUAUGACUCUUCAUCUCAGGGUUGUGAGUAUGAGACCCACAUCGGGUGUCGAGAUUACCUAAAAAUAAAAUAUUUUCUUUUGAAAAAGGAAAAUUUCCUUAAGAAAGUAUAAGAAAGCACCAGCCAGGGCCGCCUAAUGCCUCCGUCGGUUGAGCACCUGACUCCAGCUCAGGUCAUGAUCUCACAGUUCGUGAGUUUGAGCCCCAUGUUGGGCUCUGUGCUGACAGCUCAGAGCAUGGAGCCUGCUUUGGAUUCUGUGUCUCCCUCUCUCUCUCUCUGCCCUUCACCUGCUUGCUCUCUUUCUCAAAAUAAAUAAACAUUAAAAAGAAAAAACAGGGUGCCUGGGUUGCAUAGUCGGUUAAGUGUCUGACUCUUGAUUUUGGCUCAGGUCACAAUUUCACUGCUUCACAGGAGUUCCAGCCCCUCAUCAGGCUCUGCACUGAUAUUGUGUUUCUGUGGCCUGAGGACCGGAGCACACCUCCUAUUUGAUGGAGGCGUUUCCUCCCCUUCCAGAGAGAUCAGCUAGGUAGCAUCUAUACUGGACACAAUGGCAGAGAAGAUGUCACAGCCAUUGUCAUUAAGGGACGCCUCCUUUUUUUUUUUUUUUAAAUUUUUUUUUUCAACAUUUAUUAUUUAUUUUUGGGACAGAGAGAGAGAGACAGAGCAUGAACGGGGGAGGGGCAGAGAGAGAGGGAGACACAGAAUCGGAAACAGGCUCCAGGCUCCAAGCCAUCAGCCCAGAGCCUGACGCGGGGCUCGAACUCACGGACCGCGAGAUCGUGACCUGGCUGAAGUCGGACGCUUAACCGACUGCGCCACCCAGGCGCCCCUAGGGAUGCCUCCUUUUUAAUUAAAGGAUUCAUGAUGGGCCAGCAGAGAAACACUUGACAGUUAUUUAAUCAUUUGCACUUGAUCUUACAUAAGAAAGGCUUUCCCACAACACGCAUGCCUGCUGAACCAGGGCAGAAGGUAACAGGAAGGAGGCCCCCUGAGUAUUGUGAUUACAGGGCCCACACCUGCCACCACACCCACACCCUGAGAUUCCACGGAAGGGGUGGGGGAAAUGUGAUGGUUCAGAGACAAGAAAACAGAGAGAUAUUGUUAUUAUCUCCAAAUUUUUUCCCAAAAUAUGAGAUUUGCAAGUGACUCUGGGGCCUUAUUUUCCCCGACCCCAUUCCACCCCCAGGCCAGUAUGCUUAACAAGAUGAACGAUGAUGGUUCCUUACAGUUUGCAAAAUGCUCUGUAUAACAUCAUCACAUUGGGACCCCCUUAAACACACACACACACACACACACACACACACACACACACACAUACACACACCCUGUGAGAUGGUUGUGAUUGUUACGUUUCAUUUAUAGCUGUCACUUUUAUUUUACUGAGGCUCAGUGACUUGUCUAAGGUCACAGUCUUAGUGGCAGAGCUGAAAGUAAGACUCCUGACUCCCUGUCCAGUAUUCUUACCCCAUGUUGUUUAUUUUUCACUAAGAUCUUUGAAGUUUCCAGAGAGAAAGCUAGGAAGGGCAUGUCGUGUCAGCAGGGAACGGCCACCUGCCCCCUCAGCUGGCACCUGGCCCUUUCCCAUGAAAAGGCAGAAUGGAAGCAGAGGAACAGAGCCUACAUCCUGGCCUUCUGCAGCUGGGGGGGAAGUGGUGGCUCUGAAAGGAAAUAUCUAGAGAAUGGCCUUCCUGCCACCUGAGCCAAAGAUAGGGAGGAAGGAGCUGUGUUUCAGACCAGCAGUGCUCCUGUCAUUUGUUGCACAAACCCUCCAGACCACCUCCCUUGGUGCCCCUGAAUAUGCUGUUUCCUCUGGCGAGUCUAGAAAAGGGUCUCUCGGGAAUUGUUCCACUGUCAUUUAAAACAGUCAUUUAAAGGAAAUGCUUCAAGGUGUUCUAGUUGUUUCUAUCAAGUACUGAUUGCUCAUUGUAAAAAUAAUUUGGGAAAAUACAGUCAAAUAAAAAGUAGGAAAAAAGGUCACACAAGUGCGAACUUACCCCUUGGCAGGGUAUCUGUACACACACAGAGCAUUCUUACCUCUCUUCAAGGCCCCAAAUAAAUUCUAACAGAAAGAGUUAUGUUUCUACUCAGGAUGUAGAAAGCUGCCCCAGCCUUUGCCAUUUUGGACUUAAGCUAAAGGAAUAGCCCCCUAUCUGGAAGGUUUGAGCUCAUGCAAGGGGGAAAAAGACAUGACAGAACCAUAUUAAGGCUCUUAAAACUUCUUUUUGGGAGUGGCCUCUGUGGCUCCUACUCACAUUUCACUGGCUAAGCCAAGUCACCUUCCAAGCAUGAUCUCAAUGGAGUAGAUAAGUAUUAGCAUCUUGCUGAGAGGAACAUUGAGUAAUUGAGACUAGUGAUACAAUCUACCUCAUGAGCAUUUAAGAAGACUUAAAUACAGCAUUAAAACUUUCAGGAACUGGGGUGCCCGUGUGGCUCAGUCGGUUAAGUGUCUGACUUCGGCUCAGGUCAUGAUCUCGCAGCUCAUGGGUUUGAGCCCCACGUCGGGCUCUGUGCUGACAGCUCAGAGCCUGGAGCCUGCUUCAGAUUCUGUGUGUCUCUCUCUGCCCCUCCCCCACUCAUGCUCGCGCUCUCUCUCAAAAAUAAACAAACAUUUAAAAAAAUUAAAAAAACACUUUCUGGAACUAAAAACAUGAUGUUCUAAUUAAAAACUCAGUAGAUUAAUUCAAAGAGCAUAAGGGCAGAAUGGAAAAAUGAAUCAAUGCCCUGGAAUAUCAAGUAGAAGGAAAUGUCAGACCACAGAACAGGACUACAAAGAGAUGAGGGAGAACAAUAACUGUGUUAUCAAAACGUGCGUAUAUUUAACACACUUACCUUUUACUAAAACCUAGGCAUUAAGGACUCUAACCCAUAUGACAGCUGAAGAAACAGGCCCAGGAGGGUUAAGGGUCGAUCCCAAGAUCCCACAGCUGUGGCAAACCUGGUAUUCACUCCCAGGUUGUCUGGUUUCUGUGACUGUGCUGUUAAAUACUACUGUUAACCACAUUUUCUGCUUCUUAAUGGCCAUGCUAUUUUGCCAUGAUAAGACGUGGAGGGCAUGCCUGGGUGGCUCAGUCAGUCGAACACCUGACUUUUGAUUUUGGCUCAGGUCAUGAUCCCAGGGUCAUGGGAUCCAGCCCCACGUCGUGCUGAACAUGGAGCCUGCUUAAGACACUCUCUCUCCCUUUACCCCUCCCCCACAUGCUAUAAAUAAAUAAAUAAAUAAAUAAAUAAAUAAAUAAAUAAAUAAAAUAAAAUAAAACUUGGAGGACAGAUUCAGGACACCUAAUGAGAGAAAUAGGAACUCAUGAAGGAUAAAAGGGAUUGCUGGAGGUGGUAUAGGAAUUAAAUAAAUGCUAGGAGAAAGUAAGUCUGACUUUAAGAAAGACUUGCAGUUUAAAAGAGCUCACUGAGUUCCAGGCUGAGAUUAAGAAAAAAGACAUCUGGUAACAUCCUGUAAAAUUCCUCAAUUCCCAGGACACAGAAUUUGUAUGAGCUUCCAGACAAAAAGAACAAAUAACUUAUAAAGGAGCCUCAGAUUGUUCAUCGGGAUUUUCUUUCCUCCCUCCCUCCCUCCCUCCCUCCCUCCCUCCCUCCCNNNNNNNNNNNNNNNNNNNNNNNNNNNNNNNNNNNNNNNNNNNNNNNNNNNNNNNNNNNNNNNNNNNNNNNNNNNNNNNNNNNCUUCCUUCCUUCCUUCCUUCCUUCCUUCCUUCCUUCCUUCCUUUGUUUCUUUUAAAUGUUUAUUUAUUUUUGAGAGAGAGAGAGAGAGAAAACAUGAGCAGGGGAGGGGCAGAGAGAGGGGGACAGAGGAUCUGAAGCAGGCUCCUCACUGACAGCAGCAAGCCUGAUGCUGGGCCGAGAUCAUGACUUGAGCUGAAGUCUGAUGCUCAAAGCUCAACUGACUGAGCCACCCAAGCAUUCCCGUGGGACUUUUCAUUUGCAACAUUGGAAGCUAGAAGACUGUGAAUAACACCUAAUGACAACUGAGAGAAAAUGAACUUGACCUAGGAAUUCUAUAAGCCCACCUGACAAGUCUCACCCGUCAGGGUGAAAGUUAUUUUUGAACAUGAUAUAGCAAAGAAAAGUAUAUCACCCACACACUUCAUUUGAGGAAUUUAUUCAGAAGAAGAGCCUCUUUCCAAGCAACAAAUGAAUCAAGGCAAAAAUCUCAGGAUAGGGGAAGAUGAAAAACAAGGAAAUAGUAAUGGUUAAGAAAUAAGGCUAAUAUUUAAUAUACAUUUGUAUGCCUAAAUCUAAAUGAAUAAUGACAGAGCGACUAGCAAUUUAUCCCCUAAGUUUGGAUUUACAAUUAUGAUGGAGAGUUAAAAACACUGCUUUAUAAUCAAAUCUAGCAGGAAAAAGAAAAUGAAAUCCUAGAGGAAUAGACUAUUUCAUUAACAAAUUAAAUUACAGUAAUGUAAGUAGGCACUCUGAUUAGAGAGAAUGAGAUAAGACCAGCUCUUCACGGGUGGAAUAGGACCCUGCCCCUCUCUGCAAACAUUCUUCUCCUGUCUGCUCACUGAAUUUUAAAUCAAGAUGAGAAACAAGUUCUUUGCUUUGAGGCUUUGUUCUCUGCUCAGAGAUCUCCUAGGACUUGAAAAUGUCUUUAUUUUAAAUGAUGGCAAUCACUGCCCUUCAGCAGGAUUUUGCUUGUUAAAUUUUAUCCUGAGAAGAGCUUUAGUAAGGAAUUUACAGGGCACAGCAUGAAUUCCAGGAAGGGGUGCAUGAAGGGAUAAGAGAGGGGGGCAAAGACCUGGAAGGAAUUAACGGGGAGGGGGGUGUUCUGCUCCACUUCAGACCCUCUGGUCUGCCUCACAGGUUGGCGUCCCAACUCCCAGCACUUCCCUUCCCUUCCUCUUCUCUCUGACUGUCCUUUGCCUUCAUUUCUCCACAACAGCAUUGAAAUUGUUAGUGUCAUGAGUGAUGGGACAAAGCAUUUCUUUUUCUUUCAGCCUAAUUUAUGAGAGAAACAGCUGCUACUCAUGGAAUUUCUCAAGCUCAGAGCAUAAUUAAGUGUGACUUUUUGCCCUGAAAAAUGACUUUGGGGAGCUCCUGGGUGAGCAGUCUCCUUGACAUUUAAAAGUGUGAACCUUAUCUGGAGCAGCCCUUUGCAGGCUGAUAGACCUCAUUGAACUUGAGCCAUUUCAGCCCCACUGUAGUUCUUUUUCAUUUCUGUUUUUCAAUUACACAUCAGCAGAAGAUUCAGUUUGAAUAUAAGGGCAUUUUUCGUUAAUCCAGAGAACCAAUAUAAAACUUAAGUGGCCAUAGUUUACAGAGAAUACAGGGAAAUAAAUAUUGCAUUGGUUUUCUUUCCUGUGUUCAUUUCCUCUUGUUGUUAUUGAUAUGCAAGGAACAUAAGCUGGAGGCCUGAGAGUUCUCUCAGGUUCUCACAUCUCCGGCCCCAAAGUAUCUUGUCCCUGGCUCCUCUGCUCUGCCAUGACCUUCGACAGCUCCAGUGUUCAACCAGCUGUACCUCUUUCUGCCUUCUUUCCCUGCCACAUUUGUAUCUAUUACAAGAAUGACCUCGUUGUAGGUGCCAGUAUUUUUCAAUUAUAAAGAUUGCUCCAUUUGGGCGUGAUUACACAGACAUAUCAUUUUUAUUACAAAUAGCUACUAUAAAGUGCAAAGGCACUGUGGUAGGCAUUUUAUACACAUUUUCUCUAUUCUUACACAACCAUGUACACUUGAUAUUAUGAUUCCUGUUUCACAGAUGAUGUUUUGGUUAUCUCUUGCUGUGUAAUGAUCACCCCCAAGACUUUCGUGGAUUAAAACAAUGAUUUAUAAUUAUAUGCUUAGACUUCUUCUGUUAGUUGGGAUGGUCAGCUGGGUGGUUCGCUCUUGGACUUUCACAUGUGGUUGUAAUCAGAUGGUGGCUAGGGCUGGAGUCAGUGAGACUGGACAUCUAAGAUGGCUUCUUUACUUAUGUGUCUGAUGUCUCAGCUGAGAUGACAGGACAGCUGGAGGCUGGCUAGGUAUAUAUAUUUCCACAUGGUCUCUCCCUGUUGGGCUCCCUCACAGCAGCAUAGUAUCAAGCCAGCUGGACUUCUUACAUGACCACUGGCUUCCCCAGAGCUAGUGUUCCAAGAGAUCAGGGCUUCUUAUGACCUAGCAUCACUUCUGCUGCAUCCCAUUGGUCAUUUUAUGCAGCCAAGUUCAAUGUGGAACUACAGAAGAAUGGGAACCCUGUGAGACAGGGUUCACUGUUGAGUAGAGGGCAUCUUCGCAGACUAGCUACCGUAGGUGAGGAAAUCAAGGGUCUGAUGGGUUAUGCCAUGUCCCCAAGAUUAUACUUCUAGUAAGUGGCAAAAUUGAGAUUUGAACCUAAGCAGUCUGUCUGACCCCAAACUCUUUCUUUAUCAUUCUAUUUCUUGUGUUUGGUUACUUUGGUUCUCUAGUAUAGCAUAUCAAAUACUGUCUCUAGGAUGGUCUCUUUUAACUUUUGCCAGUUGGCUGACAGCAUCACGAGUGGCUUGGCUGAGUUAACAGGGAAGAAAUCAGGUAAAAGGAGCAGCACAACUACCCAAAAUUCCUUUGGGGCCCUAUUUUUAGGAUGAAACCACUCAAAUGUUCCUCAAAUCAAAAGAUAUUUCAUUAGUGGCUGGUCAGUUAUGCUGCCAUCCCCAAAGAAGACCAAAAUGUCUCUCUUUUAGCUGCACUCUGGGGACCAUGAAAAUAGCCCUUCGACCAUUCCUACAGUUGAUCAUUAGGACAUUGAUGAGCAAUCACCUGUUUAGACAGAAUAUAUGUUGUCUCAAAAUGAAGACUUUGGCAAUGUCAGGAAAAGAACAAUUGGGGUAAUGACGAUCCCUUAUAUUUGUAAGUGUCCUGUAGCUUGUAAAGCACAUCCACAUAUUUUAUGGAGUCAAGACAGACUGGUUUUGCUUUAAAAAAAAUCCCAGUACCUUAAAACAACAAAGGUUUAUAUCUCACUCACGGUAUGGGUUCAUUACAGAUUACUCUGUUCAUAUACCCCUUCCCUCUCACUCAAAGGCAAUGGAGCAGCCACUAUUCAGAACAUUGCUAGUGAUCAUGGCAAUGUCACAGUAGGUCUCAGUCACAAAUUAAACAUUUGGCCCAAAAAUGACAUGAAUCACUCCUCAAAAUUUAUUAGCCAAAGAAAAUAAUUGGCUGGAACUGGUCACAUGACUGUACCCAACCACAAGGACACCAAUGUAGGGUUUCAGAACGAAUCAGUCUAAUAUGUGCCAUUUUGGCAUAUGAAUUAUUUUUUAGCUGAAAAUAAUCAAGGCCCAAAAGACUCAGGAAGAAACUUUGACCUUCCCCCUAACUGCCUAAAAGAAUUCAGAUAGAGGACCUGUUCCAGGAAGGGAGCUAUCACUAUAAUAACCUCAUCAGGAUACAAACUAGGGAGGACUUUAGCAUAAUCUGUUAAAAUUCUUCUCUCUGUCCCACUGUUUCUGUAUGGCCCAGCAAACAUUUGUUUGCAAACAUUUACUCUUUUUCAUCUUCCUGUAAAAUUUCUUCCUUCUCUUUGAAGUCCCAGACCCUACUCCCUUCUCCUUAGCUCAGAAUGGCAUAUAUACAUAAUUUUCCCUGACUGUUUUUGGAGUCCCUCAUAUUUAUGUGGAUUCCUCAUAUGUACAGACUUAAAUUUGAUUUUCUCCAUUAAUCUGGCUCAUGUUGAUUUGAUUCUUAGACCAGCCAGAAGAAUCUUGAAGAGUAUAGGAAAAAUUUUCCUUCCCAACAUCAAGAAGUAUAAUCUAACAUGUGUCUAGAAGGGGAUAAAACUGAAAUGACUAUUUGGCAAUAGCACUAAUAAUUAUGACAUAUAAAUGGCCUUAUAGUUUUUCUUAGCAAUGCAAGGAGUUGUGGAAUUAUUCUCAUUUUUCAGAAGUAUGGAAAAGGCAGAAAUGGCAGAGAAGCUUGUUACAGUAUGUGAAUUAUGUCUCAGUGGAGCUUGUAGGGGUGGAAAAAAUUUUCCCUUCUUCCCUUCUAGGUUCUUUGGCUAGUCUAGUAAUUAGAUGGAUAUAAGACAGAUUAACAGGAGAAAAACAAACAAAUUUCAUACAUACAGGAGCCCCAUAAAAAUAUGACACCCAAAGAACAGCCAGGUAAUUGAGGUUUAUAUAGCAUCCUGAGUUAAGGAAAAGUGUAGAGGUCUGGGAAUACAAAGGAAAGAAAGGACACUCACAGGAAGGUGAGAGGAGAUGUUUAUAAAACAAAGGUUACCCUACUAUGCAGAUAAGUUUCUUAGGUAAAAAAGUAUUUCUGGUAAUAGCUCUCCUUCUGGUACAGACCCACUUUCCAAUGUAAAUUUAGGCAGUUGAGGGGGAGGUAAAGAACUUUCCCUGGAUCUGCUGGUUUUUGAUUGCCUUUAGCUCAAAAUAAUCCUUAUGUCAGAGAGACAUAUUUUGGGGUGGCAAAAUCUGCUCCCCUUCAAGCUGUUAUAAAAAACUGAAGGUGGGUGAAAGAUGAGGUGGAGUGUAUGACUUAUAAGGAGAAUAAACUCUGUCUUUUACAAGCCUGGUUAAUAUACAAUCACCUUAGAGUUCCUAUCCUAUUCAUAGCACAUAAGAGAAGCAGUGGCUGUUAACUUGGGGUCUAUAGAUAGAGGGGGAUGGUUCACAAACUCACCCCAAAAUUGUAGAGAAAAUAAAGGUGUAUAGAUGUUCAUUUUGGGAGAGAGAUGAUCCACAGUUUGUAUCAGCUUCCUAAAGAAGUCUAUGAAUGCCAGAGGUUAAAAGAAAGAACAAUGGACCAAGAGUCAGGAAACUGAGUCCUAACUCUGCCUAGCUCUAACAAGCUGACAAAUUGCUUGUCUUCUUCAUUCGUAAAGUGAGAGGCAGGACUCAAGCUCCCUUCUAGCUAGGUGCACAAGGUGCAGGCUAGUUUAUGGUCAGACAGAUCUGAAUUUAUAUCCUGGCUCUACUUCUUACUAAUUGCAUGCCAUUAUGCCAGUUCUAGAAACUGUGUCAAAGAUGAAUACCAAUGCAGCAUUCUUGGGAGGAUUAGCAACCAGGAGUAGAGAACACCUGGCAGUCAUUAUUAUUAAAUGAUGCUUCCUAUGAGUCUAUGUCUGGUUUAAGUCCUGCUGAGCAUUAAAUACCUUCGGUGAAUGGGCAUGGUAUUCAGGGAACUCAGGGCAGUUGUGCCAAAUCCAGAUGUCAGCAAGGCCUUGCCCUUGGCUCGUUCCUACUCUAGAAAGGAAGUCUGGGUGGAAGCUUUGCCCAGCGUCAUCCAUGGACACACUAUGCCUGAUUCGUCCCCUUCCUGAGCUCCCCAGCAAGGCCAGCUCCUGCCCCUGCUUGCUUCUCUAGGCCUGAGGUCUUGCUGAGUUAUCAUCGUCUGAGUCAUGACUUCAGUGGAAGGCAUCUCUAAGAGACUGAACUCACAAAAAAAAUGCCAACACUGAUGGACCCACAAAACCACCCCCUUGGCCAUUCCAGCUUUCUUUACUGGCUGCUGCCCAUGUUGUUACUACAACCAUUAUAUCCCAGAUUGACUCAUUGCUUCUUGCUAUAGCUAGGGGAGGAAUUAUUACUCCUAGUUUAGACUUAAGGUGUCUGAAACCCAAAAUAAUCAGGUAACCUAUUCAAGGAAACACAGUGAGCUGGUGGUAGCGAGGUCAGACCUCCUGUCUCUUGGUUCCUUGUCCUCUCCAGGCACAAUGUUAUUGUGUUAGUUUCCUAUUACUGCCAUAACAAAUAACCACAUAUUUAGUGGCUUAAAACAACACAAAUUAAUUAAAAACAACAAUGAGAUACACAGUGAGAUACCCACUACAUACCUAUCAGAAUGGCCAAAAUCCAGAGUGCUGCCAACACUAAAUGCUGGUGAGGAUGUGGAGCCACAGGAACUCUUGUUUAUUGCUGGUGGGAAUGCAGAAUGGUACAGCCACUUUGGAAGACAGUUUGGCAUUUCUUACUAAAUAAAAUGUACUCUUACCAUAUGAUCCAGCAACAGUACUCCUUGGCAUUUACCCAAAUGAGUUGAAAACUUAUGUCUAUACAAAAACCAACACACAGAUGUUUAUAGCAGCUUUUUUCAUAAUUGCCAGAGUUGGAAGCAACCACAAUGUCCUUCAGUAGGUGAAUGAAUAAGUAAACUUUGAUACAGAAGUGUUGGUCAGCGCUAAAAAGAAAUGAGCUAUCAAGUCAUGAAAAGACAUGGAAGAACCUUAAAUGCAUAUUACUAAGUGAAUGACACCAAUGAGGAAAGGCUACAUAUUGUAUGAUUCCAACCAUAUGACAUUGUAGAAAAGGCAAGACUGUGGAAACAGUAAAAAGAUCAGUGGUUGCCAAGGUUUUGGAAGGUGGUGAACAGGAGGAGCACAGAGGAUUUUUAGGGCAGUGAAAAUAGCCUACAUGACACUAUAAUGAUGGAUGGAUGUCAUUGUAGAUUUGUCAAAAUUUGUAGAAUGUACAACACCAGGAGUGAAUCCUAAUGUGAAUUAUAGACUUUGGGUGAUUAUGAUAUGUCAGUGCAGGUUCAUCAAUUAUAACAAAUGGAUCACUCUGGUGGGGAAUGCUGACAAUGGGCAAGGCUAUUUCUGUGUGAGGGAAGGGGGGGUAUGUGGAAAAUCUCUGUACUUUCCCAUCAAUUUUGUUGUGAACCUAAAACUUCUCUUAAAACUAAAGUUAAAAAAAUUAUUAUCUAACAGUUCUGGAGGUCAGAACCUCAUUGGACUGGAGGCUCCAGGGGAAAAUAGAUUUUCUUGCCUGUUGCAGCUUCUAGAAGCUGCCUUCAUUCCUUGGCUCAUGGCCAUCUCCUGUCCUCAGAGCUAGCAGUGGCUAGUCAAAUUUUGUCUCAUCGCAUUUCCUUGAGACUCAUUCUUCUGCCUCCUGCUCCCACAUUUAAGAGCUCUUGUGAUUGCAUUUGGGCACACAAAAUCUCCCUAUUUUAAGCUCAGUUGAUUAACAACUUUAAUUACACCUGCAAACUUAAUUCCAUCUUGCCAUGUACCCUAACAUAUUCAUGAGUCCUGGGUAUUAAGAUGUGGACAUCUUUGGAAGGUCAUUAUCCUUCCUCCCAGGGUCAUGAAUCAGUGUCCUGUGGUAGGAGAUGGUGGUAAUAAUGGCACUGGUCAUAGUCCAGCUGAGCCUGGCUUGAAGCUACAGAUUAGUGUCUUUCUAAUUUUCAAAGGUGGUUGAGUCUCAUCAGCCCUUAACUUGGCUGGUGUCCCCAUAUUUUCCAAGCUCCCAUCAUUACCUUUUAUUUAAAUAUUUAGAGAAAAUUACUCAUAAACUGAGGCCAGAGGGAUUCCCUCUCAAAUAUUUCCAAGAAUUCCUGGACUUGUGUUCACCCUCAUGGUUUGUCUCUUCUCACUCCAUACUGCUCCUGGCUUCCCCUGGAUCUUUCCAAUUCCCCCAUCACAGGUUCUACACAAUAUCUACACUUUGCUCCCAGACAGGGACCUGCCCACCAUUCCUGAAACAGGGCUGUCUGGAGAGAAGUAGGCUAGGAUGCCUAAUCAAUUCCACUUAAGGUUUGAAGACCCUUGGAAGGGUUUAACAUGCAGGUGAGGGGAACCUCAUUGGGAACUUAGUACAGGCAGUCCCCAGUGCUCUGGUCACACUGUGUCGAGAGAGGCCUUUACUCAGGUCUUCCUCCUUGGGCCCACCCCAAACCCCUCUCUCCUCUGAAACCCCAGGCCCCAUGUUUCUUCUUCUAGGACCACUAAAGGAAACAGAAACCCUCGAAUAUUGACUUUAUCAUGCAGAGUUUAGCCACUUCAACCUGGCCUCCUACCUUUACGUAACCAAAAAGCCCAUUAAAGUGUUUUCCCAAACAAAAGAUAAAUUCUUUGCCUAGGAAUUCUUCUCCCACUCUUGGAAUGUGAAAAUGCUGCAGUUAAAAAAUACAGCGAAGCAAAAACAGCUCCCUUUAUUUCUAGUUUCAUUAUUUAGCACAGAAAUCAAGGGUCAGUAUGUGUGUUGUGAUGUAAAAGACACAACACACAUACUAAUACAUACACACACAUACAUGCACACAAACAACUUAAUCAAAGAAGUGAUACCCACCCUUAUUACUUGGGAUACACGUAUAUUUUCUAUUCAUUUUUUAAAAUGUUGAUCAGAACUCACUAAUUUUUUUUCACAAUCUGCUGAUGACUCACAACCUUCUCUUUGAAAAACAUUGCACUAAACAUAAUACCCCCUUCUCUUCCCUCCCAGGCCUAGGAUAAGUAUUUGCAUAAUGCUUUAAUGCCUACAAAGUGGGUUUUAAGGCAUACAUUAUUCCAUUUACUCCUCAUGCAGUAUUAAAAUGGCAAUAAUAACUCCCUUUUUACAAAUGGGGAAACCGAGAUCUGUUAAAGAAGUUCAUCCAGAAUCACACAGCCAGAAAACAAAGAGUUUGGAUGCAGAUCUUUGAGUCUAAACCCAGUGGUCUUUUCACUAAGACCAGACUCCCAGUUUCCUUUUAUACACCCUUGUUAAAUAACAAAAAUCCAACUGAGUAAAUUUGAAGAUAUAAUUGGCUUUAUUCAAUGAUUCAUGAAUCAGGCAGCAUCCCAUCUAGCAAGAGCUACAGAAAAGGAAAGGUUUUUAAAGGCAGAGAGGGGGUAGGACAAGAAAGUCAUAAAUGGAAAAAAAGGAUUAUUUUGGGCAAGAUUACUUGCGUUUGGGGGUCAAAAAGGGUCUACUAGACAGAUUACCUCACUAAUGCUGACCAGGAAAUUCCAGACUGACCAGUUAAGAUUACAUUCCUAGGGAAGGUUGAAACUGCAAUUAGGUUAGGUAGCAAGUCUUGGUUUGGGGAUAUGGACUUAACACAAGUGAUUCCACUUUGGGCCUAUCUCUCUCUCUUUUUUUUUAUUUUUUAAAUAUUUAUUUUUGAGAGUGAGACAGAGUGAGUGGGGGAGGGGAAGAGAGAGAGGGAGACACAGAAUUCGAAGCAGGCUCCAGGCUCUGAGCUGUCAGCACAGAGCCCAGUGUGGGGCUCCAACCCACGAACUGCAAAGAUCAUGACCUGAGCUGAAGUUGGACACUCAACCCAGGAACCCCUGGGCCUCUUUUUUAACAACUUUCACUCAUGAUAUAGUUUAGGUUAAACUAGACAAUAUAAGCCCACCCCCCCCCCCCCCCCCUUUUUUUUUUUUUUUUUUUUGCAUAUGCUAGAUUCUUAGCGCUUUUAAAAUCUCAUACCUCUACUUUGUCAGCCUAAAGUUGGCACACCUGCCCUCCUUCCUCCCUCCUCGGAGGCAAGAGGCCCUAGCACCUGCCUUGGCUUUCACUGCGGCUGGUCUUCAGACCAAAAGAUGCCUCCAAGAGCAGCAGGAGGGUUCAAUCUCUGCCCUGGGCCAGGAGGGAGCUUAGCCCUUGAAGCUGGGAGAUGAUAGUCAGGAAAGACAAAUUGUGGGCCUGGAAAGCCACGAGGAGAGGUGAUCUGGACGUGAGAACAAGGAGCAUUGGGCUGAGGGUUUCCUUCAGGAAUAUCAACUGAUAGAAGGAACUGGGCAUCAUAUAUCCAGAAAGUGCUAGGCAGGCAACUGAAGGAAAAUCUGGGGUUAGAAAACAUGGAUGCUGGUUUCCAAGUUCAAAUACUGCUUCUCCCUCUUUCUGUCUUUGCCAGUUCUACUUCCUUGGGUUUUCUACAAAAGCGAUUGUUAGGAGGGGAUUAUCAACCUUCAAACACAUAGGCUCUGUGUUUAUAGAGAAACCUAUCAAAGUUUCUAAACACUGACCUGUCUAGAGAAACUGGUAAAGAAAAGGUUUCUAGGGGCGCCUGGGUGGCGCAGUCGGUUAAGCGUCCGACUUCAGCCAGGUCACGAUCUCGUGGUCCGGGAGUUCGAGCCCCGCGUCAGGCUCUGGGCUGAUGGCUCGGAGCCUGGAGCCUGUUUCUGAUUCUGUGUCUCCCUCUCUCUCUGCCCCUCCCCCGUUCAUGCUCUGUCUCUCUCUGUCCCAAAAAUAAAUAAACGUGGAAAAAAAAAAUUAAAAAAAAAAAAAAAGAAAAAGAAAAGGUUUCUAAACUGGGGCGCCUGGGUGGCUCAGUUGCUUAAGUGUCCAACUUCAGCUCAGGUCACAAUCUUGCAGUCUGGGAGUUCGAGCCCUGCUGCUCUGUGCUGACAGUUCAGAGCCUGGAGCCUGCUUUGGAUUCUGUGUCUCCCUCUCUCUGCCCCUCCCCCCACUCACACUGUCUCUCUCUCUCUCUCUCUCUCUCUCAAAAUAAUAAAUAAACAUUAAAAAAAAAAAAAAAAAAGAAAAAGAGAAGGUUUCUAAAUAGACUGCCGGGCCAUUUAGACCCCUGUGAAGUGGUCUGUGAAGUGACCCCUGAGCUCAGAGAGAGGCUUAUGAUGGCCAAGAGGCCUGUUGGGGAGAACAGUUUCUCUUUUCUCUGGAUCCAGUCCUGAGUGCUUAGUGCAUCAAGCAUUGUGUCUCCUUCAACCACCAACAACAUCCCUUUGCCCCUCCAUCCCUGUGUGGGCUCUUGGGGCUUGAUCACCUGUAUGGCACCUAAUCUGAGACAAUACCAACUGUAAGCUGCACUGUUAUGUACCACUAAGCCAGAGAACUGCUGAAGAGAGAGUCUCCACAUAAGAGCUGGGACACCAGAGAUAAAGAAAUCUUCCCAAGGAAGAGACUGGCUGGAAAUGUGCAUGUCUCCAUCUUGGCACUGUGUAGAGUGAGAAAAACAAUUCUCUCCUGAGAAGUCGGACCACAAGCCUGUCUUCAUGGAGGUGUGAGGUCUGAAUCUGCACUGUCAGUGUAGCCUAAAGAAGUCAAACAGAAAAUGAGUGCAAGGUGACCUCAGGUUGCUGGUGUCCCAGAAGUGACCGGCAAACACAUAUCCUCUACCAGAGAACUCAGCUGUGAUCCUGGCUAACAGCCAUUGUAGGACACUGCUGAUUUUGACACAGCCUGGUUUCAUGUGAAGAAAUGUGUUCCUCAGAAUUCACGAUAGAGGGACAUGAAACAGAUGUGGCUGUUGGUGGCACUGGUGAUUAACUCAUCUGGGUUUGCCUGAAACUUUCUGCAUUUUAGCCCUAAAAGUCACACUUUCAGUGACAUCUCUCAGUCCUGGACAAAGGUUAAUCACUCCGUCUAACCCACUCCUCUUCUGGGAGCAUCUUCUCUGGCCAAAGGGUCUUGUUUUAUACCACACAUCCCUGCCUAGGGGUAGGCUGACAGCAGCAGGGUAUGCACCUAGGACCUGAGGCCUAACCCAGGAAGGUAAGAGAAUUUGGAAAUUUGCUUAUGAGAACCUGAAGAACCAGGAUGUUCUCUGAGAACACCAGGACUGGCCUGGCUAUUCAGGUUCUCUUGGGUUGCUGUGAAUUGAAAUCGUUUCUAUAAACUCCCUUUUAUUUAUUUACUUUUUGGAGGGUGAAGGAGUUAACUUCGGUAUGUCUUUGGCCCUUCUGGCUAAAGGGGCCCUAACUGAGGCAGGGAGGCUGUCCCGCAGGCUUUUUAGAGGCUAUGUGACCAUCUGAGGUGCAGCCAAAAAGGGACAAGCAAUGCCUGUGAGUGGGCAUCCUGCAUGCCCAGGAGACUGGCGCUCCUCAGGUCAGGUGCAUAAAUGAAGCACAAGUAACAUGAGUUCCAGACGAUGUAAUUAGCAGAGUGAUGUGAAUUAUUGCAUAAACAAAGGCCAAGAGAGCAGUUUAACAAUGUCUGUGGUUUGUGUACUAAAUAACUACUUGGAGUUGUGCUUGUUUCCAAGCUCCUUUUCAAAUGUUUGCUGGGGAUGAACAGUUAGAGACACCGAUACUUUGUGUUUACUCAGGGGCCUGGGCUUCUCCAGGUAGUUUCACACAGAUUACAUCCUGCAGGCUUCUCAGCAGCCCCUAGAGCAUCUGGAGGUGGGCUGGGAGAGCUGGGCCUGAAUCCCCCAGCUGGCCCCACUCCUCCGGAGCAACGUGCUCUUGGACAAAUUGCCUCUCUUCUCUCUUCCCUAGUUUUCCUCUGCUGUAAAAUGGAUCCCGGUCUCUGUGAGGCUCCAGAGAGCCUAUGUGUGCAGAGUACUGCAUAUAGUGCUAGGCAUACAACAGGUUCUGUCACGAGGUGACCAUGUUGUGCCCGCUGACAGAGUGUGUCUGCAGGGCAGGUCCCAUGUUAGAGAAACAAGCACAUUGUCUCUACCUCUCUGUGAGGUAGAUAUUCCUGCCUCCACUAAAAAUCAUCUGGGACUGAGUGAGGUCAAGCAGCUUUGCUCAAGUGGGGUUGCGCUGUGGCAGAGCGGGGACUCAGAACCCCGGAGGCAGUCUCUGGGUGCUGGGCUGACGCAAGCCCUCCAUGGUGCUCGGAGGGGUCUACACAGGUGAAAGACACAGGCUCUCUCUUUUCUAAUGGGCAGACAAGGGAAACUAGCAUACUAGAGCUUGGGAGGACCAGGGAGGGUUUCAUGCAGGGGGUGCCAGUGCUUUCCAGCUCUAGCCCAGCUCUGAAUCUCCUAUGGAGAGGGGGUGGCAGGACCCCCUGCUGAGGCUUCCACUGGCCUCACUGGCUGGAAUUCGCUAAGGCUUCCUUCUAAUUACUUCCAUCUCAGACCGUCUCCCUCACGUUGCUUGCCAGAGCUGGGGAGGAGGUCCUGUCAUAGACACCCCACACCUGAUUCAGGGAGGGAAGUCAUGCUCAUUUCCUUUCUCCUUGGCUCCUUAGCCCCCUUGCCAAAUGCUGAGCUUCCCUGAGCAUCCCUCCUUCCUUGCCAAGGCCAAGAGUGAACUGGCAGCUAGGAAUGGGAUCUCCAAGCUAGAGGCUAACGGUGGCCUUAAAAUUAUGUGCAGGAAUGAAUUCUGAGCCAAAGUGGCUUUUUCUUUCUCUCUUGAAAUUUUUUUAUAUUAAAAACCUUGUCAAGGGGCGCCUGGGUGGCUCAGUCGGUUGAGCGUCCGACUUCGGCUCAGGUCAUGAUCUCACAGUCUGUGGGUUCGAGCCCCGCAUCGGGCUCUGUGCUGACAGCUCAGAGCCUGGAGUCUGUUUCAGAUUCUGUGUCUCCCUCUUUCUCUGACCCUCCCCUGUUCAUGCUCUCUUUCUCUGUCUCAAAAUAAAUAAAUGUUAAAAAAAAUUAAAAACAAAAAACAAAAAAAACCUUGUCAAUGAUUUUUAAAUUGACUUGUACUCACUGCAACCAAUGAAGCUAUUGAAAGGAAAAAAGUUCAUAAACACCUUCAACUGGCCCAUAGCCCCUCUGGUGAUCAGUGCUAACUGCUUGUGGGUCAGCUUUCACAACUUUCUCUAUAUUCAUCGUUAUGGACUAAAUCAUGUCCCUUGCUACCAAAUUCGAAUGUUAAAGCCCCGCUCCCCACCCCCACUACCUAUAUUUGGAGAUGGUCUGUAAGGAGGUAGUAAAGGUUAAGUGACUAAUAUGGGUGGGGUCUUACAGAGAUGAGCCUUGAGAGGACACAGUGAGAAGACAGAGGUCUGCAAGCCAGACAGAGAGGUCUCACCGAGAACAACGCUGAUUGCAUCUUUACCUUGGUCUUCUGGCCUCCAGAAUCGUGAGAAAAUACAUUUCUGUUAUUUAAGCCACCUGGUCUGUGUAUUUUAUUAUGAGAGCCCUAGCAGACGAAUAUACUUGUAUAACCCCUACACAGAGAUCCAUGCACAGGGAAGAGUGGGUGCUUCAUUUGUUGUUUACUUGAACAAAAAUAGGAUCGUGCUAUGCUCACAUUGCUCUGAAGCUAGCUUUUCUCAUUAACAGUACUUACUGGCCACCUGGCUUCUUGCUCACACCCCACAUCCAAUUCCAAUAGGACAUCCUGCAGACCCCCCUUCAAAACUGAUUGGGGAUGUGACCACCUGCUGCUUCUGCCACAGGGUUAAGCUCCACCCUCUCUGUCAGGACAGCAGGCUCUUCACUCUUCUCGGCUCCCCCCGCCCCCUUGAGUCUGUUGUCACAGCAGCAGAGGGUGACGGUGCUUCUCAGCUCAGAACCCUCAGUGGCUUCCCAUCUUCCUCAGCGUACUUGAUGUUCCUAGAGCUCACCAACCACACUCCCAAGUCAUGGCUCUGGUUCCUGUCUAGACAGUCCUUCCUCCUGAAUGCCAUGAAGUUCCUUCCCUUACUUCCUUCCAGACUCUAUCUCCCAACCCACCUUCAUUAUUCUUCACAGCACCUACUUACCACCAUUACUUACAUAGUUAUUUGCUUGUCUGUGGUCUGUCUUUCUCCAUUAAGAGGUGAAUUCCACGAAUAGCAAACCUUGUCUUGUUCCCUGCUGUAUCCCUAGAACUUAGAAGAGUGCCAGGUUCAGGCUGAUGCUCAGUAAAUGUCUAAUGAAUGAAAAAGUGCAUAAAUCUCCAAAUCAGAUACAAGUCCCAGUCAGAUAUGUCAAGAUACAACUACCUUUUCAACAGUUGUGUAACAUCUGCUAAUGUGGAUGGACCCCAGUUUGCUCAACCAUCUCCCUAUUGACGAUGUUUAAAUUGUUUACACUUUUUCCUACUUUAAACAAUGUUUGUGCUAAACAUUUUUGCACAGCCACUCUAAUAUAUUGGUCCUUUAAUUUUUAUAGGAUAUUUUCCCUAAAGCUGGGUUGAGAUUGGCAUACUUAAAAUUUUAAUAGCCAUUACCAAAUUUCCUUAGUCACUGUUCACAGGCAAAUCCCAAAACAAGGCCUCAACCAUUUUCCCCAACCGGGUCCAGGGUAAUAUUGCCCUUAGAUCAGUCAAGAGUGCCUCCAUCCUGAGCCUCCACACUUUAGAGGGCCCCACAUGUCACAAAUGGAAGAAAUUAAAUGUCACAUGGGAACUUUUCUCCCAUGAGAUUCUGCAUUCAGUUCUGGGCUGGCACAGUGUGAUCUGUAACCCUGAACAUGAAUGCUCAUGACCUAAUACCCAAAGUCUCCACAUUUCCUCCUAUAAGUCUCAAAACAAAAGGCUGCUGAGUCCAAAUCCUGUGAAGGUUGUGCCCCUGCUGACCCUGGAGAUAGUCACUGCUUUGGAGUGAGAAAGAAUUUAAUUGGCUGGUAUGUGUCAAUAGAGAAGACAAAUUAAUUUGCUCCUCAGCUCAAAACCCUCUAGUGCCUUCCACUCCUCCCCUCAGAGAGCAUGAAUUCAGUGGGUCCUGGUGUAACUAAAUAUUAUUUCUCAGUGGUGCCAAGCAUCCACUUUUUUUCCCUUUUUUGUUCUCAUUUGUGGUUCCAGAGGCAUUCAGGAAUUAGCUUGUAUCCACAAUAGUUGCACACGAUAUCAAUGUCAGUUAUCGAUUGCUGUGCAACAAACCACACUGAAACUUAGUUGGUGGCUUAAAACAACAGUUUGCUUACAACUCUGGGCUACGCCAGCUGGGCAGUUUUUAUGCUGAUCUCCGUGAGGGUCGCAGCAGCACUACUGGGCCUGGAUGGUUCAAGAUGGCUUUGUUCAAAUGUCUGGCAGUGUGGUGGCUGUUGGCUGGGGUGCCUCAGUUCUCCAAAUAGCCUUAUACCUUCUAGACCUCUUUACAUAGUGGCAUAAAUGUCCCAAGAGGAAAGCAAAAGCUACAAGCUGCACAGUGUUACUUCUGCCUCAUUCUAUGGACCAAAUGAAGUAAGGGACACCCAGAUCCAAGGAGUGGGGUCCAAAGAAGAGAUUCUAUCUCUUGAUGGGAGGCAUGGUGAAAAUCUUAUUGCAAAGGAGCUGGGCGCAGGGAGGUGUGAUAUGUCAGGGACCAUUAUAUAACAAUAUACCUCUGUGUCUGGGGAACUUUUUGCCAUACAUUAGAAUUCAUAUUUUUCUUGCAUUUGUGUACGGGUAGUUGUGGUUGUAAAAUAUUUGAAGUGUGGUACCGAUUCUUUGCUUUGCUUUAGUAAGUGGACAUUAAAAUCCUAGAAUUAAUGAAGUUUUAUUUUUGUAACAAUAUUUAAUAAGAUUUAAUUUAAAAAGUCCAAAAAUUUAAUAUAAAAUGUGGCUUUAUUUAAAUACAUUUUAUUUAAAAUUUUUAUAUGAAUUAAGUUUUUUGUAUUUUGCUUUGUAAUGUUAAUAAUUUUGAAUGUUUUGAAAGAAAAACAGCUGUAUUUUGUAAACUCAGCUCUUUGGGAAUGAGUACAAAUCAAGUUGGGAUCAAUUUAGAAAAAAUGACAUUAAAGAUCAGAAAAGGAAAAAGGCAAAAAAAGAAAAGUAUUCAAAAAGAUGAUCAAAAAGAUCAUGUUUCUGGUAAAAACCAGAAACCUUGCAAGUGAGCAAUCUUCCAUUGAGCAAGUUUCUGAUAAAAUUUGUGAGCAGAGAACUUCACAGUUUGUUGAUUUAACGAACUUUUAAUUACUGAUAAAAACUGUGAAUGGGGUGCCUGGGUGACGCAGUUGGUUAAGCAUCUAUCUGACUUUGGCUCAGGUCAAACGUCACAGUUCGUGAGUUUGAGCCCUGCAUUGGGCUCUCUGCUGUCUGCGCAGAGCCUGCCUCAGAUCCUUUGUCUCCCUCUCUCUCUGCCCAUCCCCCACUGGUGCUGUCUCUCAAAAAUAAAUAAACAUUUGGGGCGCCUGGGUGGCUCAGUCAGUUAAGCAUCCGACUUUGGCUCAGGUCAUGAUCAACCGGUUGGUGAGUUCCAGCCCCCUGUCGGGCUCUGUGCUGACAGCUUGGAGCCUGGAACCUGUUUAGGAUUCUGUGUCUCCCUCACUCUCUGCCCCUCCCCCACUCACACUCUGUUUUUCUCUCUCUCAAAAAUAAAUAAACAUUAAAAAAAUAUAUACAUAUAGGGGCGCCUGGGUGGCGCAGUCGGUUAAGCGUCCGACUUCAGCCAGGUCACGAUCUCAAGGUCCGGGAGUUCGAGCCCCGUGUCAGGCUCUGGGCUGAUGGCUCAGAGCCUGGAGCCUGUUUCCGAUUCUGUGUCUCCCUCUCUCUCUGCCCCUCCCCCGUUCAUGCUCUGUUUCUCUCUGUCCCAAAAAAAAUAAAUAAACGUUGAAAAAAAAAUUUUUUUUUAAAUAUAUACAUAUAAAAAAUAAACAUUUAAAAAAACUGUGAAAAUGAACACGAAAAUUAUUCUCAAAUUCAUGACUUGAGCAGGUUAAAUCCUUGGAACUUCAUAUUUUUUGCUAAAUGAAGAUUCAAGUACAGAUCCACAGAAUAAGAAUGUGUGUGCCCUCCUUUUGCACUUUCCAGGGUCAGGGUGGUGAAAAUAUGCCCGUCAACUUCUCUCCCAGAGUCUGUUUUCAGAUUAAGCAGAACAGGGAGGAGACAUUCCAAGAAGCUGGUUCCUUGUCAGAUUCUUCAGGAGGGAGGGCCUCCCAGCUCACUCUGGGCCCCUGACGGCACUGGAGAAAGAGCUACAAAGAGCGCUCAAUCACGACAGCCUCUCUGGGUCCUGCCAGAGCAACCUGAAGGGGCUGGGCCCUGGUGCUCCGUUUCUGGUGUUCCCGCCACUGCACCCUUGGACUCCACUGGGCCUCUGCUCACCUGUCAGUCUGGAUAGGUGCAGGACCACUUCUGGAAACAAAGGCAGCUGUUUUUCUGUUUGCUUUUCCCUCCCAAAGCAGUGCAGAGCCAGCCCGGUCCAUGAAACGCCUAGCGGGGUCACUGUCAAGAGGCGGCCUUGUCAGAUCUACAUCUGGGGGCUGCCCCGAGUCACUCAGCGUAGUGUUAGAGCAUCAGUGCAAGGGGAAGGAGUAAACAGGGUCCUGCCUGGAGAGCAGAGCUGUCAGGGGAGGGCAUUCCCCGGAUGAGGUGAUGGAGGCCCAGAGAGGGGGAAGGGAUUUCUCCAGGUCACAUAGCUCCUCGGUAACAGAAUCAGAACUCUCAGUUUCCACUUCAGACUUCUUUCCAUUGUGUGAAUUAGGAAUACCGAGCUGUCUUGCCAUGUUGGUAGGAGCUUCUUAUUUUGUUUUAUUCCCCCUCCCUUUUGUAAGAUAGCCCUAUCGUGGUAAGUUAGUAGAAGGUGCACAGGCUCAGGGAUUGGGUGAGUUUAUCAGUGAGAAUACAAAAAUGUUUAAUGAAGAUAAUUACCUUCUCCCUUUCCCAGGACCCUCUGCUUCCUGAGGCGGCCCCACUUCCAGCCAUCAAAUCCUAUAGGAAACUUUUGUUUAGUCUGGGGUGUGGGUUACAUUUUCAACUGCAAAGACUUAGAACACAAGUUAGGGGGUCAUAAAAAGACCUCAGCAUCGUAUUUGUUAGGACAUGUGAAAAGUAAAUAUCCAGACUCCAUCGUGUGUAACAGCAAAAGUUUGGAAAUAAUUGUCCACCGAAAGAGGGCCGAUGAAAUGACUUACCAUACAUCCAUGCGGCAGCACGACGUGGAGCUAUAAAAAAGAAAUGACAUGAGAGCUUUCCUUUUUCGUUUAAAUUAAAGUUUCAGAUAGUUAAUAAUCUACAAGUAUAGUGAAAAGCCUCCCUCCCACUCUCUGCCAGCCACCUGCAGGCAACCAGCGCGAUCUGUUUCUUCUGUAACGUCCUGCACACAGGACCAUUUGCAUGGAUAGGCUUUUAAAAAAGAGAAACAUGUGGGGCACCUGGGCUGCCUAGUCGGUUAAGCAUCUGACUCUCGAUCUCAGGGUUGUGAAUUCAAGCCCUCUGUUGGGCUCCACGCUGGGUGUCGAAGCUCCUUUAAAAAUAUAAAAUAAAAAAGAGAAGUAUGUUAAAAACCACUUCCCAGUAUCUUACUUUCUCCACUUCUACAUAUUUAUUUAUUCAGUAAGUAUUUAGUGAGCACCUACUAUAUGUCAACCAUUCUUUUAGGCAUUUGGAAUUUGGUAGUGAACAAAAUAGAUCUAUUCUUUGCCUUCAUAGAGUUUACAUUUUUGUGGGAAUGAAUAAGCAAGUAUAUAUAUAUAGUGAUGUGGUAAGUGGUAUGGAAAAAAAAACACAGGAUAAAGGAAUAAGGAGUAUAUGUAUGUGUUGGUAUAUGGUGGUGGAGAUUGUUGCUAUUUUACAUAGAGUGGUUAGGGAAAGCCUUGCUGGUUGAAUGGUACUUGAGGUGAGCCUUGAAGAGAGUGAGGGAGUGAGCCCUGUAUAUAAUCUGGAAUCGAACAUUCAAAGUGGAAGUAAUAUCCUGCCCUAAGUCCCCGAGACAAGACAGUACUCUUUAUGAGGAGCAACAAAGCAAGCAUUGUAGCUGGAACUGAGUAGAUAGAUCUCAGAGAUAUUCUGUAUCAUGAGAACUUCCUAAUUUUUUUUUAACAUCUGCAUUUUAUUCCAUUGUGUGUAUGUACCAGUUUUAAUUAAGCUUACUGAUAGAAAUUUAGGAACCUAGUGGUCUCUUGUGAUUGCAAAGAAUCAUUUUAUUAAGUGGCCCUUUGCACAUGUGUGAGUUAUCUGUAGGAUUUAUUCCUAGAAGUAGAAUUGCUAGGUCAAGGGGGUGUGUAUUUGUAUUUUUUAAUAGAUUUUGCCAGACUAAAACCAUCAAAGAAGUUGUACUAUUUUUGCCCCCCUGCCUAUAAUAUGUUGAUUUUUUAAAAUCAUUCAACAAAUAUUUAUUGAGUACCUACCAGGGACCAGGUAAGUGCUGAAGAAUGGGAAUUGGAACAGAAACCACAAUUUGUCAAGCAUAUCUUGACUAACAAAACAGGUAAACUGUGCCAGACUAAGCUAUGAUGUACUUCACAUACUAUCAAAACUCAAAUACGUGCACCACUUUGUUCAGAUUCAUAAUUCCAAGGUAAGACCACUGACACAUUAAUUAUGUAGCUUACAAAAUCAAACCAAAGAGAUUAGAGCAAAGAGCACUCUGUGUCUAAAUAACAUCCAGGACAAAAUAUACCCAACAAUUAAGGAGAUCAUUUUAUUCAGGCUAGUGCAAUAGGAAAAGCAUUCAUUAAUGAGGAAAGCCUCAAGGAGGAGGAAGAAAACUUGUAGUUUUCUAAAGCAAGAUGGUCAUUGCAGAAGAGUAGAGGCAGGUCUUAUCUUGCAUAUAUGAGCCUGAGGUGAUCUUUUGGGGUUAGUCUUUUCUCUGUUAUUGUUCCAGUUUUAGCAUUUGUGCUUCUUAACCGAACACCCGUUAGCCGUUUCUCUGAACACAAAAAGGUGGGGGAUUUCUGAACUAUUAAAAAAUGCUAUCUCAGGGCGCCUGGGUGGCUCAGUCGGUUAAGUGUCCGACUCUUGGUUGCAGCUCAGGUCACGAUCUCACGGUUUGUGGGUUUGAGCCCCACGCUGAGCUCUGUGCUGACAGAUUCUCUCUGUGUGAUUCUCUCUCCCCCUGUCUCUCUCUACCCCUCUUCUGCUGUCUUACUCUCACUCUCAAAAUAAGUAAACUUUAAAAAAAUAAGAUAAAAAAUAAGAUAAAAUAUAUUUAAAAUGCUAUCUCACAUAGUUUUAUUUCUUUAAAUAAUAGCUCGAGAUAUAAUUUACCUACCAUACAAUUAACUCAUUUCAAGUGUACAAUUCACUGGUUUUUGGUAUUUCACAGAGUUGUGCAACCAUCAUCACGAUCAACUUUAGAACAUUUUCAUCACCUCUAAAAAGGCUUCAUGCCCGUUACAAUCACUCCCCAGUUUUCACUGCCUGGUGCUAGGCAACCACUACGUCACUUCCGGCCUUUCUGCUUCUUUCAUUUGGCUUCAUAAUUUCCAGGCUCAUCCAUGUCAAGUAUAAGUACUUCAUUCCUUUUUAUCGCCUAGUAAUAUUUCAUUAUAUAACGCAUUUUAUUUAUCCAUGUAUCUAUUGGUGGACAUUUGGAUUGUUUCCACUUUGGGACUAUUAUAAAUAAUGCUGCCAUGAACAUUUAGGUACAGGUUUUUGUGUGAACAUAUGUUUUCCAUUCUCUUGGCUAUAUACCCAGGAGUGGAAUUGCUGAGUCUGUUGGUAACACUAGAUUUAACCUUUGAGGGGCUGCCACACCGUUUUCCACAGUGAUCGUAACAGUUUACAUUUCAACCGGCAGUCUAGGAAGGUUCCAAUUUUUUAACAUCCUGCUGUAUGUUUAAGAACCUUCUAUAUAUUCUUUUCUGUGAAUUGUUUAUUUCCUUUGUUUUUCUUUGGUGAUAUUUUUUCUUUUUCUUGUUUUCUUUCUUCCAUCCUUUCUUAGCCUUUUCAAAGAAUCAGCUAAUUGAUUUACUUAUUAGUGCUACAAUUUGUAUAUAUUCGAAUUCAUUUAUUUCUCCUUCACUAAAGUAUUUUUGUUUUUAUUUUUAUUUUAGACAGAGAGUGCAAGUGGGGAAGAAGGGCAGAGCAAGAGAGGGAGAGAGAGAGAGAGAAAGAGAGAGAGAGAGAGAGAGAGAGAGAGAGAGAGAGAGAGAGAGAAUGUUAAGUAGGCUCCAUGCUUAGUGUGGUGCCCAACACAGGGUUCGAUCUCAUGACCACAAGAUCAUGACCUGAACUGAAAUCAAGAGAUGCUCAACUGACUAAGCCACCUAGGUGCCCCUAUUUCUUCUUUAUUAAUUUCUUCCUUUGCUUUUCUUAGGAAUAAUUCCCCAUUCCCCAACUUUCUUGAGUUUUAUGUUUAAUUUACUUACUUUAUUUUUGUUUUUACUAAUAAAUAUUUUUGAAUGUGUAUUUUCUCUCUGAGAACUGGUUUAGCUAUGGAUUUUGAUAUAUGCAGUUUUUAUUAACAUUAUUGUCUAGAUAUUCUACAGUUUCUUCUUUUUUUCCUCUUUUCCUUCUUUUCCCUUUUUGAACCCAGGGGGAGUUGUAAGUAUUCAAACAGUAAGGUCUUUUUAUUUUCUGGUUCUAUUAUUAAUUUCUAAUUUUAUUACAUUAUGAUUAAAGAAUGAUAUCUAUUAUUCUUUUUGGAAUUUAUUGAAAUUUUCAAUAAAUUCUUUUAAAAAGAUUUUUUUUUAUUUUUUUUUUAAAUUUUUUUUUUCAAUGUUUAUUUAUUUUUGGGACAGAGAGAGACAGAGCAUGAACGGGGGAGGGGCAGAGAGAGAGGGAGACACAGAAUCGGAAACAGGCUCCAGGCUCUGAGCCAUCAGCCCAGAGCCUGACGCGGGGCUCGAACUCACGGACCACGAGAUCGUGACCUGGCUGAAGUCGGACGCUUAACCGACUGCGCCACCCAGGCGCCCCUAAAAAGAUUUUUUAAGUUUACUUAUUUUGAGAGAGACAGAGAGAGUGAGGGAGGGGCAGAGAGAGAGAGGGAGAGGGAAAAUCCCAAGCAGGCUCGAACUCAUGAAACAUGAGAUCAUGACCCGAGCCGAAACCAAGAGUUGGACGCUAACUGACUGAGUCACCCAGGUGUCCCUGGAGACACCUCUUUUGACUUGGGAAACGCUUAACUGAUGAAGUUUGGGGAUGAUGGGGGGUUUGUGGUGUCUGGAGCCAACAGCCAAAAAAGAAUUCUUGAAGAUGUCUUUGGUGCAAAAAUGGUGAUUUUAUUAAAGCAUGGGGACAGGACCUGUGGUCAGGAAGAGCUGCACUGGUGUCAUGACAGGUAACUCAUUAUACACCCUCAGUUUGGCAGGGGGUCAGGGAUCGAGUAAGUCUCUAAGGAAUUUUGGAAGCAAGGUUUCCAGGACCUUGAGGGGUGAGCUAUUGCUAAGGUAGUGCCAUUUAUUACUGUUUAGUAAAACCUCAGUUAUGAGACCCUUCAGAUGUAUAUCAGGGGGCCAUAAGCUUGGAGUAUGAUUGCCAGCAUAUAUCUUGGGGCAGUUGAGAUAAAGGAAGUUGAUUUACAGGAUCCUGGAGGUUGGGAUAAUGUUAAACCAAGGUUCUCUUUUGCCCCUAGCAAAGUGUCAUCCUUGAGGCAGCUGAGCUGCUGGAGGGAAGUCGCUCUGCCAGUCUCAAGGACUUGUCAAUGGAUUACAGGCAGUAAAGGAAUUUAAUUUUUCAUUUGCUUUAGUUUCCCACAUUACCAUGGCAAGCGCUUAAACCCCUUUCCUUUGUUCUUGUGUGGCCAGGAGUAUCUGAGGAAUAUCACACAUACUCCACCUGGCAGGAGGGAUGAAGGGUGUGUGUGCCAUCCUGUAUUUUGCCCCCAGCUUGCCUCAUGCUCCCUCGUCAUUAACUACAUAACACAACAAUGUUACUUACCUUGUGUGUCCCUUGCUUUCCCAUAACUUGCCUCUCCUACCCCCAAACCCUGGACCUCUUUUCCCUUUGUAACCGGACCGACACGAGUUCACUCCUUGAUAAGUCACAGAUAUACCAGGUGGAGUUGUCACACACUCCAAACUGCAAAUUUUAUUUGCAGCAAAUCAGGAGAUCAAGGAAAAUAGCUUCCAAAGCUAUGAUUGCCGAGAGAGUGAAAUAGCUUCCAAAGAGUGUGAAUGGGUACCUUUUGUGUACGGUUAGGAUGAAUAUUGAGAUAAGGAAGUUCAGUUUUCAUAUGUAGAGGAGGGCACAAAGUCAUGUAUGUGCCUUCAGGAAACACGCCUCUACACACACUUUCUGUGUCAUGUCGGUGAGGCUUAUGCUCCUCCUUGAGCAGAGAUUUUAGUAUUAUAAUGGGGUAAAGGUAAUUGUCGGUCAUUUCACAGUCUGUCUGUACAGGCACAAGUCAGGGUUUUAGCUCAAACGGUCUGGGUGAAUUGUGUGGUGUGGGGGUUGGAUGUGGGGAGGUGAGAAUUUGGGGUUUUACUUGCCUGAGUUAAGAGAUAAGCCAGAAGGAAGAGCUUAAGAAAAAAUGUAAGACAGAGUGUAGUAAGUAUAAGCAGGUGGGCAGUAAUGGGCACAUCGUGGGAUCUAGCUGGUGACACCUUAUUUGGCUGAAGAUGGUAUAUAAGCCUCAAUCAUCUGGCCACCUCCUUGGCUCUCAUGUCUUUGUGAAACUCUCAUGCAUUGCAACUUGGAGGGAAAAAGGGAAGAGAUGGUUUUCUCCCCUUCAAUUACAUUACUUUUGGAAUUUAUUGAAGUCUUUUGUGACCUAAUUAUGGCAGAGUCAAUUAAUUUUGAAAAUGUUCUAGAGAUACAUGAAAAUAAAAUAAAUGUUUUAGUUUUCACAUUAUAAGUUCGAUAUACAUUAGGCAGCUCUACUUUUAAAAUUAUGUUAUUUAGGUCUUACCUUACGACCAUAGCCUAAAAGAGAGGUAAAUUAAUCUCACUUACUGAUGGGUUCCUAUUUCUCCUUGUAUUUCCUCUAGCUUUUGCUUUAUUAAUGUAUGCUAUUUUUACCCCAAUAUUUGUAAGUUAUAUCUUUUUUGUGACUCAUAAUCUUACUAUUAAAUAACUCUUAACCUCAUUUAAUGAUUUUUGUCCAGAAUUCACCCUAGUCUAGUAUGAAGAUCAUGAUGUGUGCUAAACUGUACACUUGCUUGAUAAAAACACCUUUUCUAAUCCUUUUCAAUCUUAAUUAUUUUGUUUUAUCAUUAGGUUUUACUUUGUGAUCUAAUAUGAGAGUCACUCUUAAUGGCUGAAUUUGGCCUUUUUAUGCUUAUUGAUAUGACAGUUAUGUUUGGGUCUGUUGUCUUUGUUUUAUCUUGUGUUUGUGUUUUUAGUGAGAAUUUGGAAGGGUUGUAUUUCUGUUCUAGUAGUUACCUUUAUAGCCUUGUUAAAAAAUGAUUUUCAGGGGCGCCUGGGUGGCUCAGUCGGUUAAGUGUCCAACUUCAGCUCAGGUCAUGAUCUCGCAGUUCAUGAGUUCGAGCCCCACGUCGGGCUCUGUGCUGACCGCUCAGAGCCUGGAGCCUGUUUCAGAUUCUGUGUCUCCCUCUCUCUGUGACCCUCCCCCGUUCAUGCUCUGUCUCUCUCUGUCUCAAAAAUAAAUAAACGUUAAAAAAAUUAAAAAAAAAUAAUUUUCAGAAAAAAAGAAAAGCAUGAUUGUUGCUUAGAUACAAGAAUGAACAUGUGUUAAAUAUUUUAUUUUACUCCUUUAUUAGCUAAAGAACCAGACAGGUGUUGUGACCGGUUCAGAGGAAAAGUCAAAGGAGCACAAAUUUAAAUGAAAUCAAGGGGUUGAAUUACAAAUGGAGGCAAAACUGGUUUUGCCUGGCUGGCUCAUUAGGGUAUGUGACUCUUUAUCUCUGGGUCCAGAGUUCAAACCCCAUGUUGGCUGAAGAGCCUACUUAAAAAUAAAUAAAUAAAUAAAUAAAUACGCAGUGAUUUAGAAAAAUAAUCCUAGUGCAACCCACACAUGUAUCAGAAUUUCAACAAUCAAUAAAUAAAGCCUUCUGAGGAUCUAAAUAAACCUCAAGUUUCUAAAUAAAAAAACAAACACAACAAACAAAAAAACCCCUGGUUUUUCCAGAAGGGGAAGGAAGUUAAAGGAAACUGCCAACCAAUACAGAUUUGCAUGAAAAUCAUUUACCUGCAGUUAACAAAGAAGUGCAAAAUAGCUCAAAGACAAUGAACAGGGCCAAAACGAAACAGCCAGAAGUGUGUAUAGAUGAUGCACAGCUUUUCAUUGAAGUACAUCUCCUUCUAUAGUCUUAAAAUUAUGUGAUACCCUUUUAAUCAUCUAUUUCCUUAAACAUAUGCACCAAUUUUUUGUAGGUUGAGCAGCUCAUCCUAUGUUCGGCACUGAAAGUCCCAUGUCCUGGGAAACCUUCAGUCCCUGGAAAACAAGGACAGAUGGUCACCCUAAUUUUCUAUUAUAAGCAAUGGUGGAAUUACUUUAUUUCCUCUUCCUUCCACUUCCUUUCCGAGGAAGCUCUUUCUAUACCAGUGGUAUGCAACCUUGACUGCACCUGAAGAAGCUUUUUAAAAUCCUGAUGCCUCGGCCUCACCCCCAUGGAUUCUAAUUCAAUUGGUCUGGGAUGUGGCUUGCACAUCUGGGAGCUUUAAAGGCUAUUUAGAUAAUUCUAAUGUUUAGCCAAGAUUGAGAACCACUGGUAUUUAAAGAUAUUGAACUUUCUUCAAGAUGUACGGAGUGCAGAACAGUGUGUGUGAUAUGCCCCCACUAUGUAGAAGAUGGGAAAGAAGAAGAAAAUAUUUAUAUAGAUGCAUAAACUAUCUUUGGAAGGACCUAGAAGGAACUGUUAACAUUGGUUCCCGCCAGGAAUGUCAGCUGGAGAUUGGGAAGGAGACUUUUCGCUGCCUACAUUUUGACCUUGUGAAUCUGUUAUCUAUUUUUAAAUGUUAAAGUUCUACUUCCUUAAUCUGGAAAGAGCAUCUACUGCCCUGAAAGAGUAGAUAUAUAAUUAAAUAGACAGUAUGAUCUUUUAUUUUUUUUUAAACUCCCAACAUAUACAAAUUUAACAGCAACACAACAAAAAGCUAUGCAUAGAAAACAUUUUCUGAGGAAGGAAAUUUAAAAUAUAUGACUACAAAAUUACAUUAAUAUAUUACACCACAAAAUUAAAAUAUAUACAUAUAUACAAAUAUACAUACACCUACAUAUAUAUAUGUGUGUAUAUAUAUAUAUAUAUAUAUAUAUAUAUAUAUGAAUACACAUACAAACACAUAAAACAAAGGGAGUUUCCAUGGUAGAAUUAUGGCUUUUAUUUCUUGUAUCUUUUUAAAAGCUAUAAACCAUACUCAUUAUUUUUACAAUAAAAAAUAAAACUUAAUAAUCAUGUUUUUAUCCAAAGGCAGAGCUUUGGCUCCGCUGGAAGGAGUCAGCUUUGUCUUGCUGAUGUGGGGGCUUUUGUUCUUCUUCCUUCCUUCCUGUGCCAUGUGGGAUCCUCUCUUGCUCAAGAGGAAGCCCUGCUGCUGAGACUUCAAAAUCAGCCCAUGUGCCUCAUGGCAACACCCGGAGAAGGGCCACCACUGGACCUGGGCAGCUGCCAGCGAAUGCCCAGGCAAACUUUACUGAUCGCUUCCCACACUAUGAACGCCGCGCUGGACUGUGUUGGGGGCAAAAGGUCAGCAGACAGGACUUUGCCAACAAGGCCCUGCCUGUCUGAGGUGGAGGCCAGGACAUAUGCACAUAAACAGGCUUGUCCUAACAUUUAUGGGGCCAGGACGAGAGUAUCAGUAGAGGCGCACACUACACUAUCCAAGUAUUUAAAAGUUGUAACACAAGCUAACACACUGUUGACUGAAAUAUUAUCUAUAUUCUAUUCCUUUGAUAAAUAUAACUUCAAAUGACCUGAGAAGGCCAGAUUUGAAUACAGAAUUCCCUCUUAUUCCUUGGAGUUCUGUGUAUGGACAUAGCUGUAGUGGGCAUCUUCUCACAUGCCCCCAUGCCAAUCUCUUGAUUGGGUAAUCCCCUCCUCUUGAGUAUGGGCAAGACCCAUCACAUGCUUCUAACCAAUUGAAUGUGGCAAACAGGAUAGGAUGUCACUUCCAUGGUUAGGUUAAAUAAAAUAGUGACUUCUGUCUUACUAGUAGACUCUCCCUUCCUGGCUUUGAUGAAGAAAGUUGCCAGGUAGGAGAGGCCUACGUGACAAGUGCAAUGUGGGUGGCUGCCAGUUAACAGUCAGUAAGGAACCAAGGUUUGCAGUCCAGUGACCCUUGAGGAACUAAAAUUCUGCCAACAGUAGUCUGAGCUUAGAAGCAGAUCCUUCCCCAAUCAAGCCUUCAGAUGACCCUCCAGCCCUGGACAACACCUUGUGAUAGAUCCUGAAACAGAGGACCCAUCUAAGCCCUGCCCAGAUUCCUAAUGCACAGAAAUUGUAAGAUAAUAGAUAUGUGCCAUUUUAAUCACUAAGUCUGUGGUAAUUUUUGACACAACAAUAGAAAACUAAGAUAAUGGCUCUGUUGGAAGAGUUGGCCUUCAGCUGUGGCUCCCAGCUAGUCACCUAUUCAUUUUCUCUUCCUACCUCCUCUCCUCUUGAAUCUUGAGGGGCCUCAAGUUCAUUUCUAUAGAUACCCCAGUUUUCAUGUCAGUUCUAUCAUUCCCACUCCCUACUCCUGGAUACCCUUCAAACCUAGAGGUAUGCACUUCCUUAGCUGGUACUACCGAUGGGAGCAAUGCUUCCCUUGGGAGUACAGGCCAGGGGACAAUUCCAAGCAAGCCCUGGGAAUGGCUCAAGGUCAUUUGUACAGCACAUUCCAGGGUCCUAGGUACUCAGAACAUCCUAGGAGUGGGACUUCAUGUCCUUGCCCUGCCCCACCCCUGACUCUCCACCCCCCUGGAAAGAGCAUGGCUAGAGAAAGGACAGAGCAAGGCUCACCAAAGCACAGGCCACUCUAAGGCCAACAACUGCACUCUCGAGAAGCACUGGUUGAGGCCCAGGUAGAUUGGAUCUGACUCAGAAAGCUGCCUGAAGAGCAUAAAUAAGCAGACUGCCGCACAUCUGAGGGAAAUCUUCAAAGGGAGCUGUUGGUUUAGCUGGACCAUAAAAGUGGGAGGGCUUAGGGAGCAGGAGGAAUGGGAAGGCCUCCAGCAAAUCAGCCAGAAAUGAGCUGUUGGUUCCCAGUGAUGUAGUUUCUUUAGAGCAGAGUGAUGAGGAGUUUGGGCUGUGGAGUCAGAGUACAUCUGUUCAAAUCCUGCCUCUACACCCUGGUAUGUCACUUUAGUCAAAUUACCUAAACUUCUCUGAGUAUCAAUUUCCUUACCUGUAAAAUGGUCAUAAUAAUAGUAUCUAUCCCAUAAAUUUGUGGAGAGGAUCAAUACAUGUAUAAUGUCUGGUAAAUGCUUCCUGAAUAUUGGCUAUCAUUAAGGAAACUGAGGCUCAAAACAGAUGAAAGAUUAUCUUUUUGCUCCUCAGUGCCACUUGCCUUGCCUUAGAGGCAAAAAGGAGAAGCAAGGAGGAUUUUAUUCAGUUCCUAGAACACUGAAUGAACAUGUUUCUUUCAUGUUCUAGAACAUGAAAGAACAAUAAGCUUUCAUGGUAUGGGAGCCAGGGGCAAGCCUCCCUAAGAUGGACCACUUUGGAAUGAAUAUUAUUUUGAGUUAAAAGCAAUCCAAACCCAGCAGAUUCAGGAAAAGCUCUUUACCCGUGCCCCCCCCCCCACCCCAACUGCCUGCAACCAGGAAAAGAGCUUUUAACAGAUAUUCCCCUUUACCUAAGAAACUUACCAGCAUAAUAGGGCAACCUUUGUUUUCCAAACAUCUCCUGCUAAGGGUCUCUCCUCCCUUUGUAUCCUUAGACCCCACUUUCUCCUUAGCUCAUAUAAGCAUCAUGUUGCCUCACUGUCUUUCAUAAUUCCAUGUCUGUGUGGAUUCCCGUACAUAUGCUAUUAGAUUCGAUUUUCUCUUGUUAAUCAGUUUCAUGUCAAUUUGACUCUUAGUUCAGCUAGAAGGACCUUGAAGUGUAUAGUAGAUUCUUCCUCCUCAAUAAUGACAACUUUCUGAGCAUGGUCCUAACUCACACCUUUCUUCCUCAGAUUUCAUGACAACCAAAAUGGGGCAAUGGGAAAGUGCUGCUGGAGUGACCAGAUCAGGGGGCCAUGGUGCGUGCCUAUCCUUGACAAUGGUGUGCCAUUGGACAAGGCACCUGGUCUCUGUUGCCUCAUCUGUGAAGUGAAGGGGUUACCAGCGUGCCUCAAAGUGUGGACCACAGACGUGUGGCCUUGGCAUCACUUGGAGCAUGUUAGAAGUGCAAAAUCUCAGGCUCCACCUGGACCUACUGACUCAGAAUCUCUGGGGCUGAAGCCUGAGAAUUUGCAUUUUUAACACACUCUCUAGGUCAUUUUUGGCUCACUGAGGUUGGAGGACCACUGUGGUGGACUGUCAGAAGUUGUCACAGACCUGACUCUGCAGAUCCCCUCAGGCACUGAUGCAAGAAGUCCCAUGGGCUGGGCUUCCUGGUACCAUGCCUGCCCAAUACUGGCCUCCACCAGAGGCUUCAUUUUCAUAGGCACCUAUGGGCAUCUAAGGAAACAGGUGUUGUGCUUUUGCUCAUUAGAGUUUAGAAACUGCUUGCUGUGGUAGGAGUGUUUGUGUCUCCCCAAAUUUGUAUCUUGAAAUUCCAGCCCCCAAAGGUGAUGGUAUUAGGAGGCGGGGCUUUUGGCAGGUGCUUAAGUCUUGAGGGUGGAGCCGCCAUGAAUGGGAUUAGUGCGCUUUUAAAAGAGGCCCCUACCCUCUUUGCCAUGAGAGGAUACAAUGAGAAGUCAGCAACUCCGCAGAAGGGGGCCCUCACUUGGCCGUGCUAGCACCCUAAUCCUAGACGUCUAGCCUCUAGAACCAUGAGGUAGAAAUUUCUGUUGUUCUGAGAUGUUUUUGAAAAGUAUCAGCCAGAAAAAGAAAAAUUUCAAAAAGAACAGGCCAAAAACCGCUCAACAAAAUUAAAAAGCAAAGAAAAUGACUGUUUCCUACAUAAAUAAAAAGUUAAAAUUGUACUCACUCCUAAUUUCUGCUAUCUAACCACUUUUCUUCAUCUUGUUCUCUGACUCAGUACAUUCCAGACUGUUCAAUGGGUUUGUAAUAAACCAUAAAUAAAUAUAACUGUCAUUUGUAAAAUCAUGUCAAGGUGCUAAAAUUAAACUAUAUUGAGAAAAAAAAAGAAAUUUCUGUUCUUAAGCCACCCAGUGUGUGCUUGCAAUAGCAGCCUGAAAAGACUGGGGGCAGGGCUGGCUAUAUAAUUUGUGGGGCGCAGUGCAAAAUGAGAAUGCAGGGCCCCUCGUUCAAAAAGCAGGAGAAAAGCUUUUCUCUUUCUUCUGUGGUCUCCCUCUUGACUUCUCCUGUGUUUUAAAAUUUGCCAUUUAAUGUCAUGGUCUCUUAGGCAUGGGGACACUUGCAGGGUGAGCACAGGCCCUCACAAGGCUUCUGGGGCACUUUGCCUCAACUCCCACCGUCCCUGUGUUUGCACCCAGGUCCCUGCUGAGGGCGUUGCAGUUUACAGGCAGACCUCUGAGCUCCGGUUGGAGGAAAAGUGAUCGCAGCUGGGAGAAAGCAGAGCAGCCAGCAGCAAGCAACAUGGCAUUUGGGGUGAUUAAUGAAUGCAUUUGGAAAUUUCCUCCUGCUUUGGCCUCAGCCUGCACCUGAACUGUGGUUUAUGCAGCAGUACAUUUCUGUAUAAUCUCUUUUGACAGCCAGGCGGAGGGCAAACCCACAAGACUAACCCAAUUACAGUAAAAGAGAGAUCUGGCUGCUCCCUGUUGACAAGGUCAGCACAAGGGCAUCCCAAUUCAGGGAUAUAGUGCUUCUGGACCAGUGAGCUGCCGGCACAGAAAGUACUUUCCUGUCCAGUCUUUGCCGUAUUUUUACUUCGUGACAAAUGGCGGCUGUCACUCCUGGGCUAUGUCAAGUAGGGUGAUGUGAAAGGGAGCCAUGUGGAAUGGGCUUCCUGUACCCCCGCAGCCAGGCCUGAGAUGCAUCAGCCCAGGAGAGGAUGUACAGUGGUCAGAUCCCUCCUCAGGGACUUAGAAAACCCGAGGUCUCUUCCGAUUCUGUAUCUCAUGGAGUGGCCUUGGGUAGACAUUCAGCCUCCCUGGGCCUCAGUAUUCUCAUCUGUAACAUAAAGAUGUUAACUUAGAUUUUUUUCCCCCAGCCCUGCUACUCUCUUAUUUGACAUUCCAUCUGGUCAAGGAUUUAAAAGAGUUAUUUCAGUCUGUGCAGUUGAUUUUAUAGGAAGAGCAUGAAGAACAUAGGGCAAAGUGAGAUAUAAACUGUAAGGUGGGUUGGUUACAUCAUGAAAGUCUAAAAAAUCAUUAAAGGAUUUGAUGCUUCUUUGUAGGCUAUGGGGAACCAUUGAAGGUAUGUAAAGAGGAAAGGGAUAUGUUCAGGGCUGAACCUGAGAAAGAUGAAGUAGGAUGCCAAGUUUCAGAAGACCUGAGGAUAAAAGUAGCCAGUUAAGGGGCUCUGCGCAUGUGUUUGCCCUUACCAGACAGUAUCAAAUUGCCUUCCUGAGGACUGAGUUUACACUCCGCUCAGCAGGCUAAGGGAGUUAUUUCCUCAUACACUCAUUAUUAUUUGGCAUUAUCAGACUUCUGCAUUUUUGCCAACUAAAUGGGUGUGAAUUCACAUUUCAUAGUAAUUUAUCUUGCAUUUCGCCGGUUAGUAAUAUGGUUGAACAUCUUUUUGUGUAUGUAUUUGAUUGUUUUAAAGUAAUCUCUAUACCCAAUGUGGGGUUCAAACUCAUGACCCCAAGAUCAGGAGUCACAUGCUCUACUGACUGAACCAGCCACGUGCCCCACGUUUAUUGGGUAUUUAUGUUUCCUCUCCCGUAGUUUCCUGUUCAGUCUUUUGUCUAUUUUUCUUUAUGUUGUUUUAAAAUCUCCCCUACCCCCUUAGAUUCUGGAUACUAAUCUUUUGUCAGUUACAUGCAGUACAAAUGUAUUUUCCCAGUUUGUAGUUUUGUUUAUGGUGAUUUUAGAAAAGCAAUCAGGUAAUUGUUACAGUUGAACUUGUCACCAUUUGUACUUAUAGUUUGUUCUUUGAUAUCUUUUGAAGAAAUUCUAAUCUACUCUGAAAUCAUAAAGCUAUUUUUUUUCUCCUGUCUUUUCUAAAAAUUUUAAUGUUUUCUUUUUCAUUUUUAGGCCUUUGCACACUGAACUUAGGUUUGUAUAUAAUAUAAGAUAAGGAAAAUAGGUUUGUGUAUAUGUAGGAUAAGGAAAGAUCAGAUUGGAUCUAAUUUUAUCUUUUUUCACAUGGAUACCUAGUUGUCCCGGCACCACAUCCUGAACAGGUUCAUAGUUCAGCCAGCAAAAGGUAAGGCUAGCCAAGUUGCCCACUCUCAGGAUGGCAAGGAUCUGGAGCUGAGAGUGAGCACCUUCAUUUUUGCACCCUGGGCACCUUGCUUUCCUCAUUCUAUCCCUGCCUUGCUGUCAUUCUUCCCUUCCAGGGAAGCCAGCCUCUGGCAGAAAGGCUUGUCCUGAUUCAGACACACGUAAGACAUUGGAUCUCCUGUCUAGGAAUGUAGGUUCCUGAGACAGGAGAGUCUUUGUUUAGAAAUUUUAAUUUCAGUACAGUUACCAUACAUACACAUUAGUUUUAGGUGUGCAAUAUAGUGAUUCAGCAAUUCUGUACAUUACUCAGUGCUCAUCAUGAUAAAUGUGCUCUUAAUCCCCAUCACCUAUUUGACCCAUCCCCCACCCAUCUUCCCUCUGGUAACCAUCAGUUUGUUCUCUACCGUUCAGAGUCUGGUUUUUGGUUUGUCUCUUUUUUUCAUUGUUUUGUUUUUUAAAUUCCACAUAUGAGUGAGAUCAUAUGGUAUUUAUCUUUCUCUGGCUUAUUUUGCUUAGCAUUGUAGUCUCUAGAUCCAUCCAUGUUGUUGCAAAUGGCAAGAUUUCAUUUUUUUUUUUUUUUAAUGGCUGAGUAAUACAACAUUGUGUGUGUGUGUGUGUGUGUGUGUGUGUGUGUAUCUUCUUUAUCCAUUUAUCUAUUGAUAAAAGAUAUCUUCUUUAUCCAUUUAUCUAUUGAUAGACACUUGGGCCGCUUCGUAAGUUGGCUAUUGUAAAUAAUACUGUAGUAAACAUAUGGGUGCAUAUAUCUUUUCAAAUUAGCAUUUUCUUAUUCUUUAGGUAAAUACCAGCAGUGGAAUUACUGGAUCAUAUGGUAGUUCUAUUUUUAAUUAAAAAAAUUUUUUUUUAACAUUUCUUUAUUUUUGAGAGAUAGAGCAUGAGUGGAGGAGGGGUUAGAGAGAGAAAGGGAGACAUAGAAUCUGAAACAGGCUCCAGGCUCUGAGCUGUCAGCACAAAGCCGGCUGUAAGUCUUGAACCCAUGAACUGUGAGCUCAUGACUUGAGCUGAGGUUGGAUGCUUAACCAACUAACCCAGGCACCCCUGUUUUUAAUUUUUUGAAGAACGUCCAUACUGUUUUCCAUAGCAGCUGAACCGAUUUGUAUUCCCACCAACUGUGCACAAGGGUUCUUCUUUCUCCACAUCCUCACCAACACUUGUUUGUUGUGUGUAUAUUUUUUAAAGUUUAUUUAUUUUUGAGAGAGAGUGAGUGCGUGCAUACACACGUGCUGGAGUGAGGGAGGGGCAGAGAGAGAGGGGGAGAGAGAAUCCCAAAUAGGCUCUGUGCUGUGAGGAUGGAGCCCUGACUGGAUCUCAGGAACCGUGAGAUCAUGACCUGAGCCAAAAUCAAGAGUCAGACGCUUAAUUGAUUGAACCACCCAGGUGCCCCUGUUGUGUUUUUAAUUUUAGCCAUCUGACAGGUGUGAGAUGAUAUCUCAUUGGGGUUUUGAUUUGCAUUUCCUUGAUGAUGCGUGAUAUUGAGCAUCUUUUCAUGUGUCUGUUGGCCAUCUCUAUGUCUUCUUUGGAGAAUGUCUCUUCAUGUCUUUUGCCCAUUUUUUAUUUGGGUUUUUGCUAUUAAGUUGAAUAAGUUAUAUAUUUGUUUUGGAUACUAAUUCUUUAUUAGAUACAUCAUUUGCGAAUACCUUCUCCCACUUAGUAGGUUGUCUUUUACUUUUCCUUUGCUGUGCAGAAGCUUUUUAUUUUGAUGUAGUCACAAUAGUUUAUUUUGCUUUUGUUUUCCUUGCUUCAGGAGACAUAUCUAGAAAAAUGUUGCUGUAGCUGAUGUCAGGGAAAUUGUUGCCUGUGCUCUCUUCCAGGAUUUUUAUAGCUUCAUGUCUCAUAUUUAGGUCUUUCAUACAUUUUGAAUUUUCUUUUGUGUACUCUGUAAGAAAGUGGUCCAGUUUCACUCUUUUGCUGGUAGCUUUCCAGGUUUCCCAACACCAUUUAUUGAAGAGACCGUCUUUUAGUUAUUGCAUAUUCUUGCCUCCUUUGUUAUAGAUUAAUUGACCCUAUAAAUUUGGGUUUAUUUCUGGGUUCUCUAUUCUAUUUCAUUGAUAUAAAUCAUGUAGGUGUCUAUUUUUGUACCAGUCCCAUACUGUUUUGAUGACUAUAGUUUGUAGUAUAUCUUGAAAUCUGUGAUACCUCCAGUUUUGUUCUUUUUUGAGAUUUCUUUGGCCAUUCAGGAUCUUUUGUGGUUCCAUACAAAUUUUAGGAUUUUUUGUUCUAGUUCUGUGAAAAAUGCUCUUGGUAUUUUGAUAGGGAUUACAUUGAAUCUGUAGAUUGCUUUGGGUAGUAUAGACAUUUUAACAAUAUUUGUUCUUCCAAUCCAUGAGCAUGGAACACAUUUCCAUUUAUUUAUGUCAUCUUCAAUUUCUUUCACCAAUGUUUUAUAGUUUUCAGAGCAUAGGUCUUUCAUCUCCUUUGUUAAGUUUAUUGCCAGGUAUUUUACUAUUUUUGGUGCAAUUGUAAAUGGGAUUGUUUUCUUAAUUUCUCAUUCUGCUACUUCAUUAUUGGUGCAUACAAAUGCAACAGAUUUGUUAUACUACAACCUUAUUGAAUUCAUUUAUCAGUCCUAGUAGUUUUUUGGUGGAGUCUUCAGGAUUUUUUUAUGUAUAAUAUUCAUAUCAUCUGCAAAAUAGUGACAGUUUUACUUAUUCCUUACCAAUUUGGACGCAUUUUAUUUCUUUUUCUUAUGUGAUUGCUGUGGCUAUCUUGGGGGAAAGCUCUCAGUGUUUCACCAUUGAGUAUGAUGUUUACUGUGGGUUUUUCAUAGGGGUUUAUCAUGGUGAGGUAUGUUCACUCUAAUCCUACUUUGUUGAAGGUCUUUAUUAUGAAUGGAUAUUUUACUUUGUCAAAUGCUUUUUCUGCAUCUAGUUGAUUGAUUUGCAAAUACUGAGCCACACUUGCAUCCCAGGAAUAAAUCCUAUGUGAUCGUGGUGAAUGAUUUUUUUAAUGUACUGUUGGAUUUGGUUUGCUACUAUUUUGUUGUGGAUUUUUGCAUCUAUGUUCAUCAGAGAUAUUGGCCUGUUAAUUCUUUUUUUGUAGUGUCUUUAUGUGGUUUUGGUAUCAGAGUAAUGCUGGCUUCAUAGAACGCAAUUCAUAGAAUGAGUUUGGAAGCUUUCCUUCCUCCUCUGUCUUUUUGAAUACUUUGAGAAAAAUACGUAUUAACUCUUCUUUAAAUGUUUGGUAGAAUUUGCUUGUGAAGCCAUCUGGUCCUGGACUUCUGUUUGUUGGGAGUUUUUUGAUUACUGAUUCAAUUUCAUUACUGGCAAUCGGUUCGUUCAAAUAUUCUGUUUCUUCCUGCUUCAGUUUUGGGAGGUAAUAUGUUUCUAGGAAUUUAUCCAUUUCUUCUAGGUUGCUCAAUUUGUUAGGCAUAUAAUUUUUCAUAAUAUUCUCUUAUAAUUCUUUGUAUUUCUGUGGUGUUGGUUGUUAUUUCCUCUCUUAUCUGAUUUUGUUUCAGACCUUUCUCUCUCUCUCUCUCUCUCUCUCUCCCUCUUUCUUUCUCUCUCUUUUUGAUGAGUCUGGCUAAAGAUUUAUCAAUUUUAUUGAUCUUCUCUUUUAAAAAUUUUUUUAUUUUAUUUAUUUUUUUAUUUAUAUAUAUUUUUUCAAUUGUUGAUCUUUUCAAAGAACCAGCUCCUGGUUUCAUUGAUCUGUUCUAUUGGCUUUUUGGUUUCUAUUUUGUUUAGUUCUGCUCUAAUAUUUAUUAUUUCCUUCCUUCUACUGAUUUGGGGUUUUGUUUGUUCUUCUUUUCCUAGCUCUUUUAGCUGCAAGGUUAGGUUCUUUAAUUGAGAUUUUCUUGCUUCCAUAGGUAAGCCUGUAUUACUAUAAACUUCCCUCUUAGAACAACUUUUGCUGCUUCCCCAAGAUUUUGGACCAUUGUGUUUUCAUUUUCAUCUGUCUCUGUGUAUUUUUAAUUUCCUCUUUGACUUUUUGGUUGACUCAUUUAUUGUUUAGUAGCAUAUUAUUUAAUCUCCAUGUAUUUGUGCUCUUUCCAGAUUUUUUCUUGUGGUUGAUUUCUAGUUUCACAGUGUUGUGAUCAGAAAAGAUGCAUGAUAUGACUUUAAGUUGUUUUAACUUGUUGAGACUAGUUUUGUGGCCUAAUAUGUGGUCUAUUCUGGAGAACGUUCCAUGUGCACUUGAGAAGAAUGUGUAUUCUGCUGUUUUAGGAUGGAAUGUUCUGAAUAUCUGUUAGAUCCAUCUGCUCCAACAUGUAAUUCAAAGCCACUGCUUUCUUGUUGAUUUUCUGUUUGGAUAAUCUAUCCAUUAAUGUAAGUGGGGUGUUAAAGUCCCCUACUAUCAUUGUAUUACUACUGAUUACUUUCUUUAUGUUUGUUAUUAGCUGCUUUAUUUAUUUGGGUGCUUCCCUGUAUGGUUCAUAUUUACAAUUGCUAUAUCUUGUUGCUGGAUUUUUCCCUUCAUGUUUAUAUAGAAUCCUUCUUUAAGGCAGGAGAGUCUUUAUGAAGAAGAAAGAAAAGGAGCCCUGAAUCUCCUGUCUGCUCCAGGCUAAAGAAGGAGAGAAGCCUGGGUGGGAGAGGGAGGGGAGAACAGGUCCAUUGUAUUGCCCCUGAGGUCCUGUUGAAGGUUUCAUAGUUUUAUGACACUUCUGGGGGGAAGGGGCUGGUGCAACAGGGAUUGUCUCCUCCAUGCUGUCUUGAGUGGACCCUGAAGGGUCUGGUACUUGUAGAUUCUGCUCCUUGCCUUCUCCAGAGAAUGUGGGAAGUUCUUGAGGGCACCCUAGAAAGUUUAAGCUACUGCAUAGAUGUAGGACAGGGAACAGUAGAAGUAGAGAAAGAUUUUCUUCUUUUAGUUCUCUUUUAGUCUUCCUAAAUGUAUCUGGAAGAAACCCUUCCUUUGUUCUAUCUGGUCUAGCCUCUCCUAAUACUUGCUAACCUCCUUUUUAACUCCUAGAGAUUGGACCUCAGGCUGUGGAACCUCAGGGGCUAUGGUAUCUGACUAAAUAUUUAAUCACAUUGUUUUGUUUUCAUUGUAUUCAUUUUUGGAGGUUUGCCUUCUAUUCUGGCGAGUAAUGGCAGUUUGCUAUUACUGAUGCUAAUAGAAAGUUCCUUUUUAAAAGUUUAUUUAUUUAUUUUGGAGAGAGAGGGAGAGAGAGAGAGAGAGAGAGAAGAGAGAGCAAGUGGUGGAGGGGCAGAGAGGGAUGGGGAGGGAAUCCCAAGCAGGCUCUGCACUGUCAGCGUGGAGACCAAUAUGAGGCUCGAACUCUUGGACUGUGAGAUCAUGACCUAAGCAGAAAUCAAGAGUUGGAUGCUUAAAGAACUGAGCCACCCAGGUGCCCCCAAUUUUUUUUAAUAUAUGCAUUAGAGCAAAGAAGUUUGUCAUAUGUAUAUAAAAUCUUAUGGAUGUGUGCAUUUGGAUAAAGAGAUGUAGGAAAGGAGGGUCACCAAAAUGGUGAUGGUGGUUAUCUUACAGUGAUUUUUGUUUUCCUUAUUUUUGUGUGUGUUGUUUGCAUUUUUAAUAAUGAGCAUAUAUUAUUUACAUAACCAGGAAAUAACUAUUUUUGUUAUGGAUAAAGGUGUGUGUAUAUAUAUAUAUAUAUAUAUAUAUAUAUAUAUAUAUGUAUAUGUAUAUGUAUAUAUAUUUAAAGGAAUGUAUUAAGUAUGUAAUAAUAUAAGGAAUAUGUGGAUUUGGCUACAUGGUUGACUUAGCCUGAUGAAGGUAGGGCUCAUUCUGGGAGACUGUGAAGAACGAGGAGGAGCUGGCUGAACCCAGGCUAAGAGCAAGGACAGGUUUGCUAUCAUGGAAAAUUAGGUGCCUAGCUCACAGGGGCUGUACUUUGUUCUUUCAGUAUUGUUCAGAAGAUUCCAUUUAAGAAUCUCAGUUAUUACUUCUGAAUCAGGUAAAGUAUUGGUCCUUUUUGGUGGGAUGGUGUGUUAGAUCUUUGCCUAGCCUACAUUUACAUGCCCCCGGUUGAGGUGGACAAAGGGAACCUGGCCAGGGUCUAGAUGUUUCUGAUUUGUGAGUGCUGUCCUGUGAAUAGUCUGUUGUACCAGAGCAGACAGGAGAUAGACUUCUAUGCUGGGUUGUUCCCCAUCUGCAGAGCACCCACCAUCUGGUUCUCUUCUCAAAGAGUCCUGGCAGCUAGUGCCAUUUCAUGGUGCUGGCCCUUUCCCAGGGAGGGCAUAAUUUAACAGGAGUCCCUUGGGCAAGCAUUCCUGAUAUGUAGCCCUAGGAAUUUACUGCCCUCAGGAGAAGACUCUUUUUCAGAUCACACCCAAGUUACUGUUUAAUCUUCAGUGGAGCCAACUUUGUCCAGACACAACAAAGAACAGACAAUCCUAGACCUUCCUUGGGAAUUUACCUGCUUUAUGAUCUGAUUCCUGUUCUGGGUGUCUGAUUAUGGGCUAGAGAGGGGUUGGGCUGAUGGUGUCCACCAAUCAUGAGAUAAUACAAACUAUGUAGCCACUAAUCAGUGGGCACUGUAAUCACUAGGACCAGACAAUCACAAGCCCUGCCCUCUUGGAGGUGGCAGUGUGAUGGGAAGAUGGACACAUAAUGGCAGGUGUGAAGAGGGUUUAUAGCACAGGAGGGGGCUGCUGCAGCACACAGAAGUGAUCUCUGAAAGGGGGGCAAAGAAAGGUGUCUUAGCAAUAGACAUUUAGACUAAGACACAAAGAAAGAGUUUGCCAGGUAGAAGAUGUGGGGAGGAGAAAUCCAGGAAGAGGGAACAGUGUAUGCAGAAAUCUGGAAGCUAGAGGAACCCUGGUGUGUCCAGCUGGGAGAUACCCUUUAGGUGGUUAAAUAAGAGAGAACAGGGUGAGAGGAUGGGUAGGUCCCAGAUCCUGUAGGACUUCCUAGGACACAGGAGUCCUCAACCAAAGGUAAUUUUGUCCCCCAGGGACAUCUAGCAAGGUUGUCACAACUUGGUUGUCACAAAAGUGUGUGUGUGUGUGUGUGUGUGUGUAUGUUUGUGUAUGGGGUGGGGUAUAGGGUGUUACUGGCAUCUAGUGGGAAACCAUUGAAAGUGCCGUGAAACAUCCUGCAAUGCAUAAGACAGCCCCCAGCAACAAAGAAUUAUCCUGCCAAAAUGUCAAUAGUGCUGAGGUUGAGAUACCCUAAUCUAGGACCACAAGGACCACUUCAAGGAUUUUGUUCCUUAUUUUAAAGCCAAGGAAGGGAAGACAUGAUAGGGUUUUACAUAGGAGAGGAACAUGACUAAAUUUAUAUUCUGCAGUGAUUAGUCUGGCUACUUUGAGGAAAUUUUAAGAUCUAGCUAUUCUAGUUUGUGGCAACUCUCUUAGUAGUUCUGAACCAUUCUUCAGCCUUGGAAUUUCCAGCCUCUAUGAUUUUCUUUCCCCCCUGGGGCUUACCUUUGAUUACUUUGUGGCCAUCUAGGUAUCUACCAGGGCAAGGAAAACAAUUCAGAUAUAUAGUCAGAGCUAAGCAGACCAGGGAGUUUUCUACUGGAUACAAAAGGUACUCCACUAAGGCCUACAAAAUAUUUAAGGCCAGUGUGGCAGGCAGAAAAUGCCCCUCCAAAGAUGUCCGUGUCCUAAUCCUCAAAACCUGUGAAUAUGGCAAAGGGAUUUUGCAGGUAUGAUUAAGUUAAGUAACUUGAAAUGGGAAAAUUCUCCUGGAUUGUCUGAAUUUGUCAAUGUAAUCACAAGGGUCCUUAUAAAAGGGAGAUAGGAGGUCAGAUUCAGGAGGUCAGGAGAUAUGGUGACAGAAAUAGAAGCCAGAGAGAGAAAAAAAGAGAGAGAGAUUUGAAGAUGUCAUGCUACUGGCUUUGAAGAAGGAGGAUGGGACCAGUAGUAAAAUAAUAAAUUUAUGUGGCAUUAAAUUUCUGGCAAUUUGCUGAAAUAGCAACAGGAAACUAAUAUGGCCUGGAAAAAGUUUUAAGUAAACUCUACCCCCAAUGUGGGGCUCAAACUCACAACCCCAAGAUCAAGAGUCACAUGCUCUACCAACUGAGCCAGCCAGAUGCUUGGGCCUGGAAAAAGUUUUAAUUAACUCUGAAAUAAACAAGAAAAUCUACAAAAUAGAAAUUAAUAAAUGUCAUUUAUUUUAGUAUAUGUUUUAUAAUAAUUAAUAGAUUCAAAAAGGUAUAAAGACUAACACAACACACAACCAGAUUAUUUUCCACCUGACUCAAGGAAUGAAGUAGUUCUAAUAAAGCUAAAGACUCUUGCAGACCCGUCUUGGAUUUCAUUUCCUUCUCUUCCUUGCAGAGGUAAUCAGUAUCCUAAAUUUGGCAUUUAUUAUUCCCAUACAUAUUUAAAUACCUGUAUCACCAAACAAUAUGUAGUACUGCUUUGCAUGCUAUUUUAUACACAUGACAAUGUAAUGUAUGUUUUCUUAUGCAACUUGCUGUUUCUAAAAUGUUUUGAGAAUCAUUCUUAUUGAUGGAUGUGGUGACUGUAUAUUACCCUAUUGUGUAAAUGUGUCAUUCUUAAUUUAUCUAUUCUGCUGAUAUACAUUUAAGUUGUUAUCAGUUUUGACUAUUACAAACAAUGGUGCCAUAAACAUUUUUGUACCUGUCUCUUGGUACCUUUCUGCAAGGGUUUCUCUAGGGUUGGUUCCUAGGAGUGAAACUGUUGGGACCUUGGAUAAACAGCUUUUCUGGAGAGUUCCAAACCACUCUUCAGAUAGACCUGGCCAAUCUACAUUCAACCACCAAUGCAUAUAAACCUGGCAUUGGUGUUGGUCUUGUUAGUCUAUAAAAUUUUUUGUUGAAAUGAUGGAGGUGAAAUGAUAUGUUAUUGUGGUUUUAACCUUCCUUUUCUGCAUUACUGUGGAAUUGAGUAUCUUUUUUCUAUGUUUAUAGAUCAUUCCUGUUUCUUCCUCUGUGAAUUGCCUAUUCAUCUUUUUUGCCCAUUUUUUUUUUUAUAGGUCUGGUUGUCUUUCUCUCUUUAGUUUGUAGAAAUUGUAUUGUUUUGGAUACUAAUUUUCUGCAGCUAUAUAUGUUGUAAAUAUCUUCUCCCAUUUAGUGGUUUGUCUUUUCAUGAAUACAUGGUGUAUAUUGAGGCAGGGAUAUCAUCUCAUCCAAGACAGUAUUUGGGCAGGAAUUCAGUUCCAUGGUCCCCAUAAGAUUCUGGUCUGUUACUUAGCUUCAAGGUGUGGCUGAUGCAGAUAGUUAAGUGGUGCUCCAUAAAACAAUUUUCAGGGUUGAGGAGUAUAUUCCAGAUAUUCUCAGUUUUGUUAAUAAUUCAUUAUGAAAUGAUAUCCACAUAUUUAUUUAAACCAGACAUCAUGAAUUCAAUGCCUAUAGGAGGCCAGGUGGGUAAUGUAAAGACUGCAGUGGGCUGGUGGGGCAUGUACCCUUCUUGGAGGCACCUACUGAUGCUGCCCUGUGUUUUAAUCCUCACCACAACAGUGAAGUGGAUACCAGUUUAACCUUCCUUUUACAGACAAGCAUACAGGUUUAGAGAGGUUAAGCCACUUGCCCCAAGUCACAUAACUAGAAAAUAAAAGAACCAGGAUUCAAACCAGGCUGUCUGCCUCUAUGGCCCAUACUCUUAACUCUGAUGCUAAAAUGCUGCUCAAGACACAAGGAAGAUGUCUUGUUUCUCUUAACCCCACUAUAAGAAAUAUGGUAAUGCAGAUGAGAUUAUAAAUGGCACCCCGCAUUGGGCCUCAGUGUGGGGAGUAUUAGGGCAUGGUGAGGACUGCAGCAAGCUGGAGAGGAAAUGCCUGCUAAAUGGGUCUUCCAUUCCAGCUGCCUGAUGUCAGCAGGGAACACAGACCUAGUAUUGCCAGAUCUUCUGAUUUUUUUCAAGAGAAGCUAGAAAUCCAGAUUUUUGUGGGAAUGGCAACCGAUUUUUAAGUACUGGCAAUCAAAUUCAAUAAUAUUACAAUAUGGCUUAGAUCAAAUAAAAUAUUUUUAUGGGCUGUGACUCUAUGACCUUUUAUUUGGCCCAGAUGAUUUAUUUGUUUACAGCCUGAACCACCUUUGAGAGUAUGCAGUUCCAUAAGAACUAUAUGAAACAACAUUUUGUUCUACUUGUAAUAACCUCUUUCAAGUAACAAGUAUUUCCUGUAUUGUAAUGCUUAGGCAUUUGGAGUCCCCAAUACAAUCGCACAGACUUUGAUCAUUUCUCAUAUUAGUCGUCUUCUUUGCAGACAGAAGUUAAGAUUGAUAAAAUAAUCACAGAACCUGGGACUGAGGUUCUGUUGAGCCUUAUGGAAAUGACUGCUUUUUGAUCCCAUGCCAAAGCAAGUGUCUUGAUGUCUGUAAUUUGCUUGAAAACACUGCAGUAUUGUGGUGUAAUACUGUGUACUUGCUAGUUAGAUUAAGUUUCAAUUCCAAGGGCAAUCUAUACCCAUAGAGUGUCAGCUAGCAUUAUAUCCAAAAGGCCAUCUGCUAAGGUGCUCCCUGCAAGUGCUUGAGUAAUCUGUAUUUUGAUGUACAGCAGAUACUGUGAGCCAGCCCAAUAAAUAUUAUAAGUGGAUGAAAUUAGUGGCCUGAUUAACUAGUAUGAAGAAUGAUAGAAGGGGGCUCUCACUGAUGAAAUUAAAAGAGCCAAAAUAUGUGAAUAGGCUAAAAUAAUUUAGAGGCACUCUUCACAUUUGCCUGAACAGGAGCUUAGAGUCUAGCAAGGCCUUUAGCAUGCACCUGUAGGGAUGGUGCCAGACAUUCGACCCUGAACCACUCCUAUUUCCAUACAUAGCUUUCAGAGAGCUUCUAGGUGCCUGAUCCUGACCACAAGGAUAAUGAAAUCCUGCCUCUGCAAUGUUGUUGAUUCUCCCUUCAGUCGACCAUUCAUGCCAGGUAGUGGAUGGAUCACUUAAAAAGACAAGAGCUGGGCCUUCAUGGAACCCACAGAGCAGGUUGCAUGAAACAUUCUGUGCCUAAUUGCUCAUGAAUGUUUGUUUAAGAAAUGUCCACAGAGGGUGUAAAGUUUGGUCUGAGACUUGCUCUCAUGAUAAUUUAAUAACAAGAUAGUGAGUGAACAUCUGACUCUCACCUACUUCAAAAUGCAUGGGCUACUUAUAGACUAAAAUUAACUCAGACUAGUUCCCAGCAAGAAAAUGGAGGAGCCAGACCUCAGAGAUGAGAGGUGGUAACUAAAAGCCCCAGGAGUAUACGAUCAUCCUUGCUUCCUGUGCCUUCCAUGGGUCAGAUGGACCUUUCAGACCAGCCUGUAGAUGCCUUUCUUCCGUUUCUUUCCCCAGCUUUGUGAGGUUGCCUAUGGGGGGUCUGUUGAGAAUCUGAGUUUGCAGAAGCCCUGUAGAAUCAAGUAGCUCCUGGAAAUCUGGCCCUUACCACAAAAGGAAGUAAGCAGAAAAGCUGGGCUUCAGGGAGCCAGCUCUGUGGAAUCCUUUCCAGGAGACAUUUUAAUCCAAAGUCUGAAUUAGGGAAGUGGUUUUCAGUAUGUAUUUUUUUCAAAAAGUAUCCUCCAUGGCUACACUGUGCUGAAAUCUGGGAGCCUAUAGACAGACCCUUACCUUGUUCUUUAAAGGUUAACAGAGUAUCUUUCUGUUUCAGUAAAUAGAUUAGUAAAUAUAAUAAAGCUCUCCUUUAGGGAUUAGCAUAGCACAAACCAAUUAUUCCCUGGAAGAAACUCCUCUGUUUUACCCUUUCUUUAAGUCCAUUUGUUUCUCUGUGAAAUCUUGACUUUAUAAAUCUUUCCCUUUGAUAUGUAUGUAUGUAUGUAUGUAUGUAUGUAUUUUGCUAUGGUCCCUAAAGGCUUACUGUGGUCCCCUUCAAACUUCCAUCUCCUCUUCAAUUUUCAUUCAUCCUCCUUGGCCUACAUCUUCAAAAUUACACUCCAGUUGGGUACUCUGCCCUGUUCCCAGCAGAGAGGAGUGUCACUGAUUCCAAAGCAUCCCUCUGUUUCAUGAAUAUAUACCUUUUCUCCCAAUGAUAUUUUAGACCUAUCAAGGACAGGAUCUAUUUUUAACUUCUUUUGUCCUACAGUACCUGUCCUACAGCACCUACUCUACAAAUAAAUUCUCAGUAAAUAAUCACUUCUCCCCCCACCUAGAAGAUUUACAAUCUGGGGCACCUGGGUGGCUCAGCCAGUUAAGCAUCUGACUCUUGAUUUCAGCUUAGGUCAUGAUCUCACAGUUUGUGAGUGAGAGCCCUGCAUCGGGCUCUGUGCUGGUAGUGCAGAGCCUGCUUGGGAUUCUCUCUGUCUCUCUCUCUCUGUCUCUGUCUCUCUCUCUCUCUCUCUCUCUCUCUCUCUCUCUCUCCCCCUCUCUCUGCCCUCCCCCUGCUUGCUUUUUUGCUCUCUGUCUCUCAAAAUAAAUAAAUACGCUUUAAAAAAAAUGAUUUACAAUCCAAAAAUGUAUAAUUCUAUUUAAAGUAAAUGGAACUCUAGGUUGGGAGUAGGGUCACCAUGAUUAUAGCUAACAUGUUUUUAGCAUUUAUAAAUCCAGAAUUCUAUUUAAUCCUCAUACAACAAUCCUCUGAAGUAGGCACCGUCAUUAUCCCCAGUUACCAAUGAAAAGAUUGAGACAUAAAGAAGCUUAGUAAUUCGUCCAAGGUCACAGGAGAGCCCAGUCCUGGAGGAGUCCCAAAUUCUGCAAAAUGAUCUGAUGGAAUAAUGGGGAGGGUUGCACAGGGAGAGAGAAAUUGACUUCUCAGCAAAGCUGUAAGGCCUCUUUACUAGUUUAGUAGUUUAAACAUGUAUUUACAAAUUCUUUGAUAUUCCUCCUGUCAAAAAAUGGAGCCUAAUUACCUCACCUUGAGAAAGAACUGUCUUGCAUAUAGAAUAGCAGUGGCAGGAAUGACAAUGUAUGACUCCUGAGGCUAAGUCAUAAAAGGCAUUAUGGCUUUCUCCUUACUCUCUCAGUCACUCACUCUGGGGGAAGCCAACUGCUCUGUUGUGAGGACAUUCAAGCAUCCCAAUGGAGAGAUCUGUGCAGCAAGGAGUGGAGGCCUCCUGCUAAUAGCCAGUAAGGAACUGAGGCCUUCUUCCAGCAGCCAUGUAAGCAAACCAUCUUGGAAGCAGAUUCUCUGGUCCCUGUCAGGCUGUCACAUGACAGCAGUCGCAGCUGACUUUCUAACUACAACAUCACAAGAGACCCUGAGAAUCACUCAGCUACACCACUUCUCAAUUCCUGCCACACAUAACCUGUGAGCUAAUGUUAGCUAUAUUACACUGUUAAGUUUUGGGGGGUAAUUUGCUAUACAACAAUGGGUAAACUAAGUUAACCUCUAAGUGAGUAGUUCUUACCAUUUGGGGUGUCAGGGACCCUUUUGAGAAUCUGGCAAAAGCUGUAAAUCCUCUCCUCAUAAAAAUGUACAGACACAAGAACACAUUGCUCAUGGUUUCCAGAAGAUCAUAUAUUUUGAUAAAGCCAGUUGAUGGAUCUCAGUUUCAAGACUCUUUCUCUAAAUACUAGAAUAGUCGAAGUGUGAGUUUUUUUUCCCACAAAAUCUCUUUCCUGUGGAUGACUAACUUAAAACAUUUAUUUUUCCCUUCAGUUUAUUUUUCAUUGAGAUGGAAGAACCAGUUGAGGAAGAACUCCCCCCAACUCCCAGCCUAUUCCCCAGGCUCUUUCCACCCAACAGAUUUCAGGGAGCAAAGGGAUCAAAUUAACUUUUCUCAUGGUUCUAUUUUUGUGACUCAAUUCUUUUGGAGGAGAGAGUCAGGAUGACUGGUGGGAUUUCCAGAAAAGCCAGAAACAGUAAUUGCUAGAAAUACAGGAAGGAAGUGUGUUCUUGAAAGAUUAAAGCUGCAGUGUUCAGAGCUGUGUGAGUUGGCUUGAUUUGUAUUCUCAGGACACAUUAGAGUAUUUGGGGAAAUCCUACUGUGUUUACUUUUUAUCCACUUGGGCUUCUCCAUCCUUGUUUUCACAUAUACCCAUCUCCAGGCUGACAUUACCAAUGCAAGGGAGAAGCAUAGUUACUCCUCCACAUUUUCUACUAGGGGAGAUAAAGAACCCGAACGGGAUACAGUUACAGGAGGAAGAACAAUCAAACUUCCUCUCUGAGGUCACUAUCUGCUAAAUCCCUCGAGGUCAUGCUUUCCGAUCAGACCAAAGGCAGUCAUUGAAGUUUUCAAAGUGACUUCUGCUUUGGGGUCCCCAGAAUGGUUCUCAUUUCCAUUUAUGAGCAUGUUUCCCUGGGCUGCAAAAAUGUAGCGUAACCCAGGAAGAGAGAGAGUUUGGGGCACGAUCAUGUGUUAAUUCAGGGUAAAUUAAGACAUCCUAUAAGAGUUGGAUAUUUGAGAAUAGAAACCUAGAGAUAUCUGGUUUGGAGACAUCUGGUAGUUAAGACAUGAGGAGAGAAGAGCUUGCUCACUGCAUAUAGAGCCCUGAAUAUAGGACUUACGGGUAGGGGAGGAAAAGAUGCCCAUUAAAGAGUGAGGGGAACUACUGGAUGGCCUGCAGUAAGAACUGGGGGAGCAAUCAAUGUGAGAGGAAUCAAUGGACACAGUGUUUAAAGAUGGAGAACUUGUUGAGUAGUUUCACAUAUGAGCAGAGGGAUUAGGCAAAUGGGAAGUGAAACAUAUCAUUCUUAUUUGGCAUGAGUAGGGGCUUACUGGUGGUCUUAGAAAGAGCAUUCAGUAGAGUGGAGGGGGCAGAGCCUGAUCACACAGGCUGAGGAGGACCGAAUGAGCUGAAAGAGUGGCUCACAUAAAAAUGGCUAAACAUAGACACCCAAGAUUUGAAAUCAGAUAAGGCAGGGGUGUCAGCACCCAUUGUGGGCAGUAGUCUAAAAGGCCGCAGGAAGGCUGCGGUUGAAGGGCCAUCUUGUUUUGUUGUUUGUUCAUAAUCUACCUUCAGUGAAUGCCUAAAAUUAUAUUUUUAAUAAACGGAGGUAGUUCUCUAGAGAUGUAAACUUUGAUGUGGAGAAAAUGCAACUGACUAAGCAGAAGUAAAUAGAGCAGCAGCCAUCUGCCCAAAUUACAGCUAUCAGAGAAGAAAGAGCCUCGCCAGGCACAGUGACACUCAUAAGAAGCUGAUCAUGAAUCAAAGAACUACAGGGUAUAAAGGGUGUGGGAAGAGACACAGGUAAUCUGAAGGUUGAAGGUCGGGGUGGGAUGUGAUCUCUGCUGCCUCAUCUAAAUAGAUAUAAGCUCUGAGACACUCAGCCUCUCUGAGUAAUUAGCACCUGCCUUAGAUACAUGUAGUGAGCAAAGAGGAGAUGGACAAAUUGCAAGAGACCAUUUUAGGACCUAGAUUCAGAACAACAGAGAACAUAAGAUUUACAGUAUUACGUUAUUUGAAAUACAUUGACUUCCUGUAUGUUUUAACAAAUAAUUUUCUGUUUAAUAAUAGUCUUUCUAAUUAAAAAAAAAAAAAGAGUGUAGACAACAUUUUCCAAGAAGUUUCCCAGGCUGCCGUUAGGUGCUGUCCUCAUGGCUCCUGCUAUUUCUCUGUGCUCAACAUUCACUGAAGACCUAUACCUGCCUCUAUAAGUGUUAUAUCUGGGGUUCUGUCCCAUGGAGACACUGGCCACAUGUGAUCUUCAGCCUUUUGGCAGAGUCCAGUACGCAGGUCCUGUGUGCCACACUCCCUUAGGCCAUCAUUCAGGUUUAGAUGAUACUCUUAGGGCCUCAGGCCCCUCAAGGAGUGUCUGUCCAAGCUGGGACCCUGUUCAUCCUUAGACUUCUUGCUGCUGCCCUCCUGCUUAUCCUUGUACUCGGUGUCUCUGAGCUGGUGUCUCCUGGUGCGACAUUGUCAUGUUUUAUAGGAUAGAAAGAUCAAAUGUGAGGGCCAGCACCAACUUUGAGGAAGUAAAGCCGAAAGCUCACGACUCACAAAACCCCAGCUGCCUGCGUGCUGUAUCCACAGAAACGUCCAGUGUUUCCAUUAAAAUACAGGAAGAGAAGUAAUAAAAGAUAAGUUUCCUGCCAAGCAUUUGGGGGCAACCAGAUAUAAGAAGAGGAACAAUAAAAUAUGAUUAUGAUGAUGACCGUUAUGUGCCCAAAUGCCUUUCCUGUUGAAAAAGUCCAGCUUGCAGGGUGGAUUGGGGAACUUGAUCACACAGCUGUGAGCUCAGGACAGUCAUGGGUGAUUCUGAUGGUUGGGGGUCCAGAGGGGCAGAGCCAGCUUAUAGGUUGGUUUCUAGGAGCAUUGGCUUCUUUGAUGUCACAAUAAAGCAAAUGUUGGACUUUCUCAAGCGAGAAGGCAGCUCUGACUCAUUUUUCUGAUCUUAGAGGACAUGUGGCUUCUUUGGGAGCUGGGUCUACUGUGGAAAGUCCUUAAUACAUGUGGUGGCAUUUACAGUGGGGACUUUUCUGCCACAGCAGCUAUGAAACAGGACUCCCAGCUGUGGAAGGGCCCCUUAACAGCCCAGGCACCUUGUGUUGGCUCUCACAGCAUCCUUGGACCCCACCUUUUGCCUGCUGGACCCACCUCUACCUAGAACCUGAAGUUGAGUCCCACCCCCAAUGCCUACAAAGAAAGCUGUUAGGAAAAAAAAAAAGUAAAAUAAUUUUUACUGUUUUUUGCUCAGAAUAACAGCUGUUUGUUAUAAAAAUUAAAGUAAUACAGAAAAGUACAACAAAGAAAGUUAAAAAAAAACCCACCUCACUUAGAAACCCUACUGCUCAGAGACAACCAUUCCUAACAUCUUUAAAAUAUCCCUAAAGACUCCAUACCUAUGGAGAGAUAGAACAACCAAUGACAUUUUGUGAAAAUAGGAUCCCACUCUGCAUACUAUUUUUAGAUGAAAAAAAUUUAAUAUUGAUUUAGUUGAAUUUAUUAUCAGAAAAACUGAAGACAAAUUUAGAAAUGACUAAAUUGGUGUUCCUUCACAAGUUUUCAAAAGAUUAAUUUAGAAUUAAGAAAAAAAGAAUCAAAAACAUUGGUUGAAUUUGCUAUGCUCUUUUUUUUUUUUUUUUCUUAAAGACAAGUUUGGGAUACCUGGGUGGCUCAGUCCAUUAAGCAUCCGACUUCGGCUCAGGUCAUGAUCUUGCAACUCAUGGGUUCGAGCCCCACAUCGGGCUCUGUGCUGACAGCUUGGAGCCUGGAGCCUGCUUUGGAUUCUGUGUCUCCCUCUCUCUCUGACCCUCCCCUGCUCUUGCUCUGUCUCUCUCUCAAAAAUAAAUAAACAUUAAAAAAAUUUUUUUAAUUAAAAAGACAAGUUUGUGUGUCAACAAUCCUUGGAAAAAAAUUUUUUUAAUUAAAUUUAAGCUUAAAAAUGAAACAAGUUUCAAUUUUACAUGGCAUUUCUUGACUUCCUGCUAGCAAUGAGGAUUUACUCACACUUACACUUUAUCCCACUGACCCACUCUGUCUCUUGAUUUUUAUUAUUUUCUAUUGUCAAUGUUUACCUCCCUUCAUUUUAUUCUCUAACCAUACUCCUUACUCUUGUUUAGUUUUGGCUCUAUGUUUAACGGACUCAGUUUAACUAUGUUACCCCUUUGUGUAACUCCAGUGUUACAGGUUCAAUUGUAUCUUCCCCUCAAAAAUGUGUGUUGGAGUCCUAAUUCCCAGUGACCUUAUUUGGAAAUAGAGUGUUUAUAGAGGCAAUCAAGUUAAAAUGAAGUCAUUAGAGCAGGCCUUAAUCCAAGACCACUGGUGUUUUUACAAAGGGGAAAGCUAGACACAGACAUGCACAGAGGGAAGACUGUAUGAAGACAUGUAGGGAAAACACCAGGUGAAAAUUGGAAUUCUGUUGCCACAAGCCAAUGAACGUUUGGGGCUUCAAAAAGCUGGAAAAAGCAUGGAAGCAUGCUUCCCUAGCUCUUUCAGAGGGAACAUGGUCCUAUUAACACCUUGAUUUCAUAUUUCUAGACUCCAGAACUAUGAGACAAUAAAUUUCUAUUGUUCUAAGCCACCCAGUCUCUGGUUCUUUGUUAUGGUGGCCCCAGAAAACUGAUACACCUAGAUUUUCUAUUCCAGAAUUUAUUUUGUUUAAAAAAAAUUUUUUUUUAAUGUUUACUUAUUUUUGAGACAGAGAGAGACAGAGCAUGAGCAGGGGAGGGUCAGAGAGAGAGGGAGACACAGAAUCUGAAACAGGCUCCGGGCUCCGAGCUGUCAGCACAGAGCCCGACGUGGGGCUCGAACUCAUGGACCGCGAGAACAUGACCUCAGCUGAAGUCAGACGCUCAACCGACUGAGCCACCCAGGUGCCCUAUUCCAGAAUUUAUUUUGACUCAUCCCCUUGUUGGAUAGAUUUCAUACAUAAGUUGUUUUUCAAGAAGAGUUCCUGGGUGCUUUGUUCCCUAAGGUUUCAAAUGCCUGAGAAUGCUUGGCUGUUGCCAUUAUGCUUGAAGGUAACUUGACGCAUACACAAUCCUUGAAUCAUGUUUUCUCCAUUCAGACCUUUUUAGAUGUUGGUCUGCUGUCUUGUGGCAUUGACAUGAAACCCAAAGAAAUUUUAUUUUUCUCUCUGAACAUGGUUUACUAACUACAUGGCUAAAUCCAUGUGAGAUUUUCUUUAUCCUUGGUGUUUCAUAACUUUACUAGGAUAUAUCUUGAUGUUGAACAGUCUAUGUCAAUUUUUCUUGGGAUGUAUGUGCCCUUUUGAUUCAAGUCAUCCUCAUUUCAAGAAAGUCCUCUUCUAUUUUAUUUUUCAAAAUAAUGUAUAUUUAAUUCCUUUUAUUCUCCUUCUUCAGAAAUUACUGUUCUCCUUCAGAAAUGCCAAGGAUCCCUAUUAUUGGUCUUCUAUAACAAUAGCAAUUUUCUCUAGAACUAUGUAAAAAUUGAGUCUCAUGCUCUACUGACUAAGCCAGCCAGGCGCCCCCUUAUGCUUCCAUUUUUAUCCUGAAUGUACUACUUUGCUUUUUACUCUCCUUUUUUCAUUUUUGAAAUCUCUUUUUUGAAUUCUUAUGUCUUUUCUUUGGGGUCUUUUUCUAGAUAGUGUUGUCUGAAAUUUCUCUGAGAAUAUGGAGACUUUAUUUGAACAUCUUUGGGUAAUACCAUGCCUUGGAUAAUUCCUCUUGUGUUUUUUUUCUUUCUUUCUUUCUUUUUCUUUUUCUUUUUGAUCAGCCUUUUGUGUAAUACUCCUUUCCUCUGCCAUUUCUUUUUUUUUUUUAAUGUUUAUUUACUUAUUUUGAGAGAGAGUGCCCAAGGAAGGGAGGGGCAAAGAGAGGGAAAGAGAGAGAGAGAGAGAGAGAGAGAGAGAGACAGAGAGAGAGACUCCCAAGCAGACUUCACACUGACAGUGCAGAGCCCAAUAUGUGGCUCCAUCUCACAACUGCAAGAUCAUGACCUGAGCCAAAAUCAAGAGUCAGAUGCUUAACCAACUGAGCCACCCAGGUGCCCCUCCCUUCCUCUACAAUUUCUAUGUGAAUCCCAACCUGGUUUGAAUGGCAGACACUACUGGCUGAAUAAUGGUAUAACACGUGAAGAAGUUGGGGAGAUUGGAGAACAUGUAGGAGACUUAAAUUUUAAAAGACUUUGUUGUCUUAAACACUUUCUCAGUUAUUUCCUUUUCCUUGGGGACCAUCUCCUCUGAGCUUUUGGUGUUCUGGAAAUCCAUGUGGCUCAGACUCAUAGGCUCCUGGUGGUACAAACUGUGGUGGUUCCUGCCUCUACCUCCUCCUUCCCCUUGCAUCAUGCCAUGCAUCAUCCCCACAUAUCUGCCUCUCUGGAGGUGAGUUUGGUAAGGUGGUUCCUGCAGCCCCAUCACCCAGGCCACUCUGCACAGUGAGUCAUGCUCUCUGUGGGACAUUCCCCCAGUUUCUAGAGUCAGCCCCUGAUACCACAGCUAGUGGGUGGAGUAAAGUGGUCAUCAACUAAACUUCCACCAUGGACCUUUGAUGAGAUCUGGGUCCUACUGUGCAUCCAAGGAGGCACCUGGCAUCUCUCUUUUCUUGUUCCAGUUCUGAUCCCACAGUAACCAGCAAGUUUGCUUCAUGGUUUCUGCUUUGGUGCUCCCUUGCUUAUUUGAAAGUGGAGGCCUCCCUUUGUCUAUUUUUCAUUUCUUUUGUUAUGUUCAGUGGGUUUCAUAAAAGAAGAGUGGGAUAAAUAUUUUAACAGGAAGUUUCUUGUUUUAAAAUGGUAUUAUAAUAAAUCCUUUUAUAGCUGGGGAAGAUUUAUCUUUAUUAUAUUUAUAUGUGAAUAUAUAAUAGAUUAGAAAUAGGAACAUGAUGUAUUUUUCCAUUUGUUUAUAUUCUUCUUAGCUUUAAGUGUCCUUGCUUAUGUCAUGAACAGCACUCUAUAUUCUGUUUGUUUCUUUUCAAAAUGAUGAUACCUUUAUUACUUUUUAUUAUAAAAAUAGCAGAUGUUCAUCAUAAAACAUUAAACAACACUAAAAAAGAAGAAUCACAGUGAACAUCAUCUGGAAUUCUGCUAUCUAUACAUAACUGAUAUUAGGUUUGUGUAAUCAUCUUUUGAGACAUUUUUUGAGUAUACAUGAAUGUAUGUAUAAUUGACAAAACAGGAUCAUAGAUGCUGUUUAGGCGAGUUUUUGUUUAAUUAUAUAAGCACUGUGUUAACACUUUAUCAUUGGAAGAAACUCAAAGGAAGCAGACAAGCCAUUUCUUACUUUCUCUCCAUUCUCUUCCCCUCCCUUGGGAAAAGCACUUAUCUCAGAUUUUCAGGCUAUUUGCUAUUCAUUUACAUACAUAUACAUAAACAUAUGAACAUGUAUGAGUUUUGAAGGCAUAGAUUAUACUGAAUAUGAUUAAAACUCUCAUUUGAUAUUUUAUUUUUUGUUACUAUUGUGAAUAGGAUCUCAUUUUUUAUUAAAACUUUUAAUCAGUUGAAAGGAAUUAUAUUGUGUUUUGAAUAUAUAGUAUAUCUUUUUUUUUUAAGUAGGCUACACACCCAACAUGGGGCUUGCAUUCACAAACCUGAGAUCAGGAGUUAUGCUUUACCGACUGAGCCAGCCAGUCACCCCUUGAAUAUAUAGUAUAUUUUAUUUUCAUCUACUUUAUUCAACUGUUCUAUCAAUUUGUAUGAAUUAUAACCCAUGACUUUCCUAAGUUCCCAUUUAUGUUUGCAUAUUCUAUGCAAGUUUUUGCAUAUUCUGUUCUAAUAUUUACUUCUCCCAAUAUUAUGUUUUUUUAAUUUUUUUUAAUUUUUUUUAACGUUUAUUUAUUUUUUUGAGACAGAGAGAGACAGAGCAUGAACAGGGAAGGGGCAGAGAGAGAGGGAGACACAGAAUCGGAAGCAGGCUUCAGGCUCUGAGCCAUCAGCCCAGAGCUGGACUUGGGGCUUAAACUCAUGGACCGCGAUAUCGUGACCUGAGCUGAAGUCAGACGCUUAACCGACUGAGCCACCCAGGCGCCCCUAUUAUGUUUUUUUAAUGCUUAUUUUAUUUUUGAGAGACAGAGAGAGUGUGAGUGGGGGAGGGGCAGAGAGAGAGGAAGACAAAAAUCUGAAGCAAGCUCCAGGCUCUGAGCUGUCAGUACAGAGCCUGAUGUGGGGCUUGAAUCCACAAACUGUGAGAUCAUGACCUGAUCCAAAGUAGGAUGCUUAACUGACUGAGCCACCCAGGCUCCCCUCCCAAUAUUGUGUUUAAGUAACAGUGCUAAUGUAGAGAAGUGAUUCUAAGACUUUAUCAUGCAUCAGACUCACUUGGAAGGCUUAUUAGGGAUAAACUUGCAAGAUCUAUACCUACAGAAUCUGAAAACUGUAAAAUACUCCUGACAGAAAUUAAAGAAGACCUAAAUAAGUGGAGAGAAAUUAUAAAUUCAUGGAUUUAUAAGAAGACCCAAUAUUGUUACAUGUCAAUUCUCCCCAAAUUUAUCUGUAGAUUCAAUGCAAUCCCAAUCAAAAUCCCAGAAGACUCUUUGUAGAAAUUUAAAAACUGAUUCUAAAGUUCAUCUGGAAGUUUAAAGGGCCUAGAAUAGCCAAAACAACUUUGAAAAAGAAGAAUAAAGUUGGAGGACUAACUCCACUUGAUUUCAGACUUAUAGAGCUACAAAAAUCAAGGCAAUAUUAUAUUGGUAUAAAAACAGACAAAUAGAACAGUGGAACAGUCCAGAAAUAGACUCACACAUAUGUGGUCAACUGAUCUUUUUUUUAAAAUUUGUUUAAUGUUUAUUUAUUUUUGAGAGAGAGAGAGAGAGAGAGAGAGAGAGAACACAAGCAGGGGAGAGGCAGAGAAAGAGGAAGUCACCCAAUACCUGAAGCAGGCUCCAGGCUCUGAGCUGUGAGCACAGAGCCUGACGUGAGGCUCAAACUCAUGAACUGCGAGAUCAUGACCUGAUCCAAAGUCAGAUGCUUAACUCCUGAGCCACCCAGGCACCCCAUAGUCAAUUGAUCUUUGACAAAACUGUCAAGGCAAUUCAAUGAGGGAAAUGAUAAUCUUUGAAAAAAAAAUAGUGUGGAAUAGUUGAAGAGUCAUAUGCAAAAAAAAUAAACCUUGAGUUUUACCUCAUGUCAUAUAUAAAAAUUAACUUGAAGGACAAGGAAAGAUUGAGGAAUUGUCAUAGAUUGGAGAAGACUAAGGAGUUGCAACAAAAAAGGGACAGUAGGAGGAAAUGGGUGAAAUUUAAAUAAAGUCAGUAGCUUAGUCAAUAAAUAUUAACUUCUCUCAUUUGGUAAUUGCUGUAUGGCUUAUGUAAGUUGUUAAAUUGGGAGAAACUGGGUAAAGCAUACAUGUGAACUCUCUGUAUUAUUUUUGCAGUUUUUCUGUAUAAACUUAUUUCAAAAUAACACGUUUCUUAAAAUGAACUUUAAAUGGAUCAUAGACCUAAAUUUAAGAGCUAAGUUUCUAGAAGAAAAUUUAGUUGAAAAUCUUAGUAGGCUUAAGUUUAGCAAGAUUUUUUAAAAAAAGACACAGAAGGCACAAACACAGACUUCAUCAAAAUUUAAAACUUUUGCUCUUCAAAAGACACUGUUACAAAAAAAAAAAAAGGUAGGCCGCAGACUGAGAGAAAAUAUUUGCAAAAUAUAUAUUGGACAAAAGACAUGUAUCUAGAAUAUAAGAAGAACUCUUGUAAUUCAAUAAGAUAAACAACCCAAUAAAAAAUGGGUGAAAGGUUUGAACAGAUACUUCACCAAAGAAGAUAAACAGAUGACAAAUAAGCACACAAAGAUGCUUCACGGUAUUAGGCGUUAGGGAAAUGCAAAUAAAAACCACAAUGAGAUACCACUACACACUUUUCAGAAAGGCUAAGAUUUAAAAAGACUGAUGACCUUACCAACUGUUGACAAGGAUGUGGAGGAACUGGAAGCUCACACACUGGUGGGAAUGCAAAAUAGAACAACCACUUUGGAAAAGAGUGUGGCAAUUUGUUUAAAAGAUAAACAUACAACUACCAUAUAAUCUAAUAAUUUGCCUUCUAGGUAUUUACCCAAAAGAAAUGAAAGCACAUAUCCACACAAAGACUUGCACAUACAUGUUCAUAGUAGCUUUAUUCAUAAUGGCUCCAAACUGGAAACUAUCCAAGUUUUUAUAAACAGGUUAAUGGAUACACGAAUUGAGUAUAUCCACAUAAUGGAACAAUAAAAAGGACUGCUAUAAAAAGGACUGGAAUCUUGACACAACAUGGGUGAGUGUAAAAUUUAUUAUGGUAGGUAAAGGAAGAUAAAGAAGGGGCGCCUGGCUGUCUCAGUCAGUAGAGUGUGUGACUCUUGAUCUCCAGGUUGUGAGUUUGAGCCCCAUGUUGGGUGUAGGGAUUACUUAAAAAUAAAAUCUUAAAAACAAAGAAGACAAAGAAUACUGUGAUUCUAUAUAUGUAAAAUUAUAAACAUUUGCAAACGAAUCUAGAACAACACAAGAUCAGUGGUUGCCUCAGGCUGUUGAGAGUGUGUUUGGAAAGGGGAAGGAGGGAGAGAUGACGACGGGGGUUGAAGAAACUUUAGGGAUGAUGAAUAUGUGCAUUAUCUUGAUUGUGGUGAUGGUUUUAUAGGUAUAUACAUAUGUUAAACUCAUUAAAAUGUGCACUUUAUGUGUAACGUAUUGUAUGUCAAUUAAACCUCAACUGAGCUGUAAAAAAUUAAAAAAGGAAGAAAGGAAGAAAUCUCCUGGAAGACUCAUUGAAAAGUUUGCUGGGCCCCACCCUAGCAUUUCUGAUUCAGCAAAUCUAGGGUAGGACCGAGAAUUUGCAUUUUAAGAUGCUCCCAGGAGAUGCUCAGGUUGAUGUUCCAUACUUUGAAGAUCACCGGUAUACAGGAUUUGGCAAACAGCUUUGUGGUGACAUUUGUCUUUUCAUUUGCUCUGAUGAUUAAUUUUUUGUGUCAGAUUGAUUAGGCUAUGGGAUGCCCAGAUAGUUGUUAAUAAAUUAUUUCUGGGUGUGCCUGUGAGGGUGUUUCUGGAAGAGAUAGCAUUUGAAUUGGUAGACUGAGUAAAGACCAAUGAGGUGGGCAUCAUCCAAUCCAUCGAGGGCCAGAAUAGGACAAAGGUAGAGGAAGGGUGAAUUUGUUCUUUUUGCAUAAGCUGGAACAUCCAUCUUUUCCUGCCCUCAGACAUUGGCAUGCCUGGCUCUCUGGCCUUUGUAAUUAGACUGGGAUUUAUUCUUGGCCCUCCAAUUCUUGGGCCUUUGGAUUCAGGUUUAUAUCAUCAGCUUUCCUGGUUCUCAGGCCUUCAGACUCAGACUGAGUUGUAUCACUGGCUUUUCUGGUUUUCCAACUUGCAGGUGGCAGAUUGUGGGACUUCUUGGCCUCCACAAUUGUGUGAACCAGUUCCUAUAAUAAAUGUUCUCUUCCGUUUAUCUAUCUGAUCAAUCUAUUGUCAUCUAUCAUCUAUCGGUUCUAUUUCUCUGGAGAACCAAGACUUACACACAUCUGUCCAGCAUCCCAACACCCUUGUUACUGUUAGGGAAUCUAUACAGUGGAGCCAAGACUCUGCCUCCCACCACAGAAACAGAGAGUGUAGUCUGCUUUUUUUUUUUGCCCCCCCCCCCCCCCAGCAACUAGAGUAUUGGCUUGUGGCCUCUACGUGGCCAGUCAGAUGCUUCACGUGGACUUGCACUGUAAGAAGCUGUGUAGGAGUGAGAGCCUGAGGCUCCAGCAGGAGGAGUCCUAGGGACCAGACUCAGCAGAGCAGCUGCAAUGACCAGCUGCAGUGGGGCCCGCAGUGGUCAUGGCAGAUGUACCCUGUUGGUGAGCUCCAGAGUUCUAGGCUGUUUGCUCCUGACGCAUCAUCUUGAUAGUCUUCUUCCUUUGGCUCCUGUUCAAACUUCGUGUGUUGGCACUGCUGCUGAUCCUACGGGCUACUGAUAAUAUAUCUCUUAAGAGUUGAGUUGUGUCCCCCAGAAAUUCACAUGUUGAAGACCUAACCCCCAAUAGCUAAGAAUGUGAUCUUACUUGGAGAUGGGAUUGUUGUGGAAGUAAUUAGUUAAGAUGAGGUCAUACUGGAGUAGAGUGGGCCUCUACUCCAAUAGGACUAUUGCCCUCGUAAGAAGAGGAAACUUGGACAUGGACACACACACAGAGGGAGUGGCAUGUGAAGUUGAAGGCAAAGAUCUACAAGCCAAAGAAUCCAAAGAUUGCUAGCAGACCCCUGGCAGCUAGGGGAGAGGCACAGAACCAAUUCUCUCACAGCCUCCCAAAGGAACCAGUCCUGCCAACACCCUAAUUUCAGACUUGUAACCUCCAGAACUGAGACAGUUUCUGUUGUUUAAGCUAGUUUGUGGUACUUUGUUAUGCCAGCCCUAGCAAACAAGUAGAAUACUCUGAAUAAAUUUGGUUUCUGCUUAAUACAUUUUAGUUUUUGUUGUUUGCAACUAAGAUGUAUGACUAGUACAAGCUCCCAAAGGGUGUUGGCAAAUCACCAGCUAUGGAAGUAUGUACAAAUAAACAGUGGGUGUAAGGGAAUGAGUCAGCAUGAACAAUCUUAAAGAGCAGUAAUAUCUUGUUGAUGUCCCAGAGGGAGUGCAAACAGACAGGAACAAAAGGGGCAGGGGGAACCCAAGUCCUGAUCAGAGUUGACGUCUGUCUGAGGCCCGAUGCAGAGAUAUAUAAUUCCAAGGAAAUUAGAUGAUGCUCUAAGCUAAGUAGGGUCUAAGGCAAUAAGAUUUAUAGGAAUACAGCAAGAAAAGUCAGACUUACCCAGGAUUCAAGAUCCUUCUUGAAUUACAGAAAGAUAGAUAUGCCCAGGUGCCAAAGAUUCAGGAAGCUGCCAUCAGAAAACAUUCUUAAUAUGGAGGUUGAUGUUGACCUCCAGCCACUCUGGACAAAAGUCAGUAGCGGACUAGCUGCAGACUGACUUGUAGGUGGGAUGAGGCCUCCUCAUGGCUGCAAUGCCAGAUGAUCAUUUUAGGUGGCUGGGAUCAAGGUUUUCUGUUUUGUUCCUAUUUUUAAAAACAAUGCUUCUGCUUUGCAUUAAAGAUAAAACCAGCUUUGUUUUAAAUAGCUCUGUAUUUUGCUAUUGUAAUAUAUUUCUAUUUCUCCCUUGAAAAAAAAUUUUUAACAUUUAUUUAUUUUUGAGAGACAGAGACAGAGCACAAGCAGGGGAGGGGCAGAGAGAGGGAGACACAGAAUCUGAAGCAGGCUCCAGGCUCCAGGCUCCGAGCUGUCAGCACAGAGCCUGACGUGGGUCUCUAACCCACAAACUGUGAGAUCAUGACCUGAGCCGAAGUCGGACAUUUCACUGACUGAACCACCCAGGUGCCCUUAUUUCCUCCUCUUUUUAAAAUAAGAAGUACCUAGGGGCCCCUGGGUGGCUCAGUCAGUUCAGUGUCCAACUUUUGAUUUCGGCUCAGGUCAUGAUUUCUCAGUUUAUGGGAUUGAGCCCCACAUCCAACUUUGAGCUGGUGGUGUGGAGCCUGCUUGGGAUUUUCUCUCUCCCUGUCUCUUUGCCCCUCCCCUGCUCUAUCUCUCUCUCUCAAAAUAAAUAAACAUUUAAAAAAUGAGAAGUACCUAAUGAAUUUAAUCAAGUGCUAUUUCAGCAUCUGUUGAAAUCAUUGUAUUUUUCAUUAUUUAAUCCAGUGAUGUAGGUGGUAUUAUUAUUAUUAUUAAUAAUACUUGCCUUUGUGUCAAACAUUUCAACCAUCUUGGGAUAAAGCCUCUUUGGUCAUGGUGUAAUGUUUCCCAUAAUAUAUUAAUGAAAACGACUUUAUGUAAAUAUAUAUAUUAUAUUUAUUUAUUUAAAAAAAUUUUAAUGUUUAUUUAUUUUGGAGAGACAGAGAGAGAGACAGAGUGUGAGUGGGGGAGGGGCAGAGAGAGAGAGAGAGAGAGAGAAAGACACAGAAUCUGAAGAGGCUCCAGGCUCUGAGCUGUCAACACAGAGCCCGAUGUGGGGCUCGAACUCAGAAGCCAUGAGAUCAUGACCUGAGCCGAAGUUGGAUGCUUAACCGACUGAGCCAUCCAGGUGCCCCUACAUAUAUAUUUUUGUAAAUUCAACUUAUUUAAACAAAAACAGUUUACCCCUGUUUCCUGCCUCCACUCCCUGCCUCUGGUAACCACCAAUCUCUUCUCUGUAUCUGUGAGCUUGUUAAGUGAUUGAUUGAUUCCACAGAUGAGAGAAAUCAUAUGAUCUUUGUCUUUCCCUGUCUGAUAUAUUUCACUUAGCAUAAUGCCCUUGAUAAAAUAUCUUGUAUAUUUUAAUGUAAGAUUUGUGUGUGGCUUGAGGUGAAUAUUUCCUAGAGAUGUGCUCUUAAAGUCUUUCUCAUUAUUGCCCACCUAAGGAGAACUUCUAGGUAUUUUUUUUCUUAGCUGUCCCUCUAUGUAAUUUCAUGUCCACAGAUAUGCUGUAUAUUAGUGAAUAUACUAUAUGGGUAUCUUCAUUUUUUACACAAAAAAGAGGAAGACUUUUUUAGCCCCCUCAAGAACCAAAUUGCUCCCUUGGAAUGCACUGAGAUUACACCACACUGAGAACACAUGGCCUAUAGUAUUCUUUAUUUGUACAUUAUAUUUAUUAGAUUUCAGGAUCAAGCCAUAUGGUUUUACAUCUUGGAAAGAACUAUGCAAAAGGCCACACUUUUCAAGGUUCAGAAAUGAGGUAUGGAAUAGCAGAGAUGCUUUAAGGCCAAUACAUUUUAGUAAAGACCAAGUCUGUUCAUCAGCUCCUCUCUGACCAUCUGUGAUUCAGAAUAUCUGUAACAGUUUUGCAAGGACAGGUUAUAAGAUGUGAGGGGAGACCAAAGGGUGAAGGCCUAGAAAGUCACUAAAUCCUCAAAGCUGAAUGUAUUGAACAUAUGGCCUGAGCGGGAGAGCCAGGCACCCAGGGAGAGCAAGACUCCAUUGAGGCAGCUCUUUGUCAAACCAAGAAAGUAAAGCCAAGGAUUGACAGUACAGUGACUGGGUUUAAAUUGAGGGAGAAGAAGUGGAGGGCAGAGGUUGGAGUUACAAGCUGAGCUGAAGAUCAAGGAUAUAGCAAUAAGUAUUAAGAUGCCUAAGAAUGAAAGUCUGAGGCUUUGUUCUCAAAGGUUUAUUUUGCUUGCCACACAUGCCUCUUUGGGAGCUUCAGUCUUAUCUUAAGGAGACAGAACUCUUGUUUGCACUUUUCAAGAUAGAUAACAAGCCUUUGAAAGUUUGGCAGGGUUUAGUAUUCACCCAUACUGUGGUGGAUGCACCUGAGGUGACUUCCGAUGAGUAAUGCUCCUGUAUAAUCAAUCCUGUCCCAUUAAAUGCAGUGAUUUGCUUCUAACCAAUAUACCAUGGGAAAGGUGAUGAGAUAUCAGUAUAUGAUUACAUUAAUCAUAUAAGACUGUCUAAGUAGACUGGAAAGAUUCUGUUGCUGGCCCUGAAGAGGCAAAGUGCCAUGUUGUGAACUCCUUAUGGAGAGGGCCACAUGGGAAGGGACUGCAGGUGCCCUAAGGACCUGAGGAUAGCCAAUCAUCAGUAAGAAGCAGGGCCCUCAGUCAUACAGCCACUAGGAAAUGAAUUCUGCCAACAAUCAAUGAGCUUGGAAGUAGACUUUCCUCAGUCAAGCCACCAGAGGAGAACAUGGGGCAGCCACUUCCUUGAUUGUCACUUGUGAAACUCUCAGCCUUGUGUCCAGCUAAGCUGUACCCAUGAGCCAGUUUUCCUGAGCCAGGAAAAUUUUAAGAUAAUAAAUUUGUGUUGUUUUAAGCUACUGAGUUUGUGAUAAUUACAUAGCAACAAAAAAACUAACACAUGUAUAUGUAUACUUAGACACUUCUAGAUGAAUAACUUUCUACAUAUCUUCCCCCUUCUCAAGUUAUUAUUUAAUAUAUAUUAGAUUAAGGUUGGAGUUUUAUAUUGUAAGAAAAUUAUUCUUUUCAUUUGUAUGUUUCAAUGUUAUUAGCAUAUAUUGUUGUGUUCUAUUUUACUUUAAACAUUUUAUAUAGUACCUGGUGUCUCCUUUCUCAUUUCAAAUUUCAUUGAAUUAUGGCUUUACUUUUAAAUAUGUUUGACUUUAUUUAUUGAGCCCAUUGAAAUUAUUUUUCAUUUUCAAAAUUAUCUCCUGCUUUUAUUGUAUUUUUUUUCCUCUUUAGUUUGGCUUGUCUUCUCAUUACUUUUCUAAUAUCUUCAGUUGAAUUAUUUAUAAAAUGUUCCCUUUUUAUCAACCACCAAAAAGAGAACAUUUUAAAUCAUAAAAUUUCCUGAAAGUCGUGCUUUGAAUAUACUCCACAAAGAUUACUGUGGUAUAUUUUAGUCAUUAUUGUUUUCUGAAUAAACUCCUUUUCUUUUCUUGAUUUCCUUUCCAGUUCAAUUGUUGAUUCAGUAAGAAUUUUUAAAUUUCCAAGUAGUUGGUUUAUUUUUAUUUGUUUUGGUUGUUGCUUUAUAUUUCAUUUUAUUUUGGCCAAAGAACUUAACAUGUGUCAUUUCUGAUCUUUCCAAACUAGUUGAGAUUAUGUUUGUGGCCUGGUGAUAUAUGAGACCAAAUGGACAAUGGUUGUGGACAGUUGGAAACCAUACAUAGUACAAGUUUAUCUAUUAAUUCUAUCUCAGGAUACUUUUUUCUUGGUUGGGACAGCCUCAGGGUCCAAACUAAGGGUAGAGGAACAUCCAUGGGUGUGGUUACUAGGGGGACACUGGUUCUAUGCUGAGCUGAGGAGGGCACCACUCAAACAACCUGCAAGUGUUACCAAAAUAGUUAAAUAAUAGCUGGUAUGACAGGCAGUUCACUGUAUGUUCACGUGGCCUUUCCUUGACGAGUACUCAUGGAAAGUGAGAUCUCUCCCUCUUUUUAUAAGGGCAUCAUCCCAACAUGAGGAAAUCACCCUCAUGACCUCAUCUAGAUCCAAUAACUUCCCAAAGGCCCCACCUCCAAAUACCAUCCCAUGGGGUGGGGUGGGGGGGGCAUGGAGUGGGGCCUAGAGCAGCAGCAUAUGAAUUUUGGGGUGAGGACACAAAAUUCAGCAAGUAACGUUGUUUAUUGAAGUGUGUGGGGCAGACGCUGCUACUUGAUAUAUAAUCUGAUAUACAUUUUCUCCAUUCUCCUUUACUAAGAUAACAAUUUUGUUCAGGAUGGCAAUGCACCCAGGCAAAAAUACUGCCUCACUUGCAUCUGGUAGUGAUCAGGUAACCUAGUUGAGGCCUGAUGAGCUAUAAAAGAGAAGCUAUUGGGUGGGAUUUACAGGAAAGCUGUUGGUUUCCUAAUGAAGAAAGACUAGUUCAGCUGGCACAUGACUUCUACUCUCUCUCCUUCCCUUUCUUCCUGCCUGAAAUACAGAAUCAAUGCCUGAAGAUAUAGUGGCCAUUCUGAAUAAUGAGGUUGUAGAGGAGGAAACUCUUCUUCCUUCUACCUCCUAGGUGUUCCAGCUGGGGCCCUAUAAAUUUGACAAAAGACAGACUAACAAGAGAAAAACCACCAGUGCGUGCAUCAUAUAUACACACGGGAGCGCUCAAAGAUGAGUAAUUCAAAGAGGUAGUUACAACUUGAGCUUAUCCAGCAUCUCAAGAAAAGAACAAUAAGUUUUUAGAGAAAUGACAAGAGGAAGGAAAAGGAUUUUCAGUUUCUAGGAUGGCAAACUGUGAGGAGGUAAAUAUAUGAGGGAAACUAAUCGAAGAUAAGGGCUAGUUAGUAAGGUUUGUUACAUAGAUUUCCUCUGGUGCUGUCUCCAGGCUGAUAAAGGUUUAAAGUUGUCUCCAGUGAUUAACUUCUGUUCUGGUGGGAAGGGGACACCUUUACAAAUUUAUGUCCUGCUUCUAGGCAAAUAGAGGGAGGGCAGAGGACUUUUCUUGUGUUUACUUCUCAAUUGCCUUUAGCUCAAAAUAAACUUUAUGCCAAAGUGGGAUUUUCUGCUGCCCUUCAAGGUCAAGAACAGAACACUGUAGCAGAGCAUGAAGUUAGGAGGAGCCUGAAUACCAGAUAAUUUCCACAACCUCUGCAUUGGCCCUUCAGGCCUUGUGCCAGACUUCUUAUUAUUGGGGAAAAUUAUUCCAUUUAAUUCAGUUGCCAUGUUUGCAAUUUUAUUAUUGUGCAACUGAAUUUAAGCCUAACUGAGGAUAGGACGGCAAGACUUCUUACUAUAAUUGUGUUUUCUGGAAUGAAAUGUCCUUGUUUUUAUGCCCAUUUUUGCUUUAUUGUUUUAUAACCGUAUAUGGGGGUGAUAUAUGCUCACUGUUCUUAACAUUUUAUUAUUACACGUAUCUUUUCCAUUAUAUGAUAAUCUUUCUCAUUCUUUUGAAUACUUUUUGCUUUUAUUUUGUAGGCAGUAAAAAGCCAAAAAUUUUUUCUCAUAGAAGAGAAUGAAAAGUUCUGAGUAUUGUUAGGACUAAAUAUAGAAAAGAAAAAGGUUUUUUUUCUGUUCUCAUUGUCUCUCUUCAGAAAUUAUAAUUGAGUGAAUAAAUAAAUGAAUGGAUAUCCAACUAGCCAAAUUUCCACUUUAACAGAAUUACUAACCUAGUAGAUACAGAGAAUAGCAAAUUACAAUAUAUCAUAUUUUAGCAAGAGCUUGGACAGACACUAUUCUUUGGACCAGAUGGAAAAAUGUAAACCAGAUGAUAAUGUAGUUUCAUGCAUAUUCAGCUGAUUUGCUAGACAGAUCUCGGGAAUAUGGAUUUCUGGAAAAUAAAACUUUUAACUUCAUGUCUUUAUCUAUCCGUGAUGUACAAACUUCCUAUGGAUCCAUACUCAAUCUGCCACAAAUAUUAGAACGUUUAAUAAUUGGCCUUUGAAGGAAAUCAGUUAUUAUGAAGAAAGGAUGUGUUGUACAUCCAAUAGAAAAGUAAACAAUAGGGGCACCUGGGUGGCACAGUCGGUUAAGCGUCCGACUUCAGCGAGGUCACGAUCUCGCGGUCCAUGAGUUCGAGACCCGCGUCAGGCUCUGGGCUGAUGGCUCAGAGCCUGGAGCCUGUUUCCGAUUCUGUGUCUCCCUCUCUCUCUGCCCCUCCCCCGUUCAUGCUCUGUCUCUCUCUGUCCCAAAAAUAAAUAAACGUUGAAAAAAGAAUUUAAAAAAGAAAAGUAAACAAUAAACUUUCUAAUUCCUUUCAGUAGAGUCUUAAGCACUAAAAAGAAUAGUCAAAACAAGCAUCAGUCAACUAACUUAAAAAAUUAGCCAUAAAAAUUGAAAUUUUCCCUUUAUUUCUUUAUUUUUCCAGUUUUACUGAGAAAUAAUGAUAUAUACAUCACUGUAAGUUUAAGGUAUACACCAUGAUGGUUUGAUUUACAUCGUGAAAUGAUUACCACAGUAGGUUCAGGUAACAUCCAACCUCUCCUAUAAAUACAAUAAAAAGAAAAGAAAGAAGAAGAAAAAAAAGGAAAACAAUGUUCUCCUGGUGAUGAGAACUUUUAGGACUGACCCUCUUAACAACUUUCUUAUAUACCCUACAGCAGUGUUAGCUCUAGUCAUCGUGUUGUCCAUUACAUCUCCAGUGCUUAUUACUCUUAGGACUGGAAGUUUGUACCCUUUGACCACCUUCCUCCAACUCCGCCCCCGCCUCCCCCCACCCCCCAACUCUGGUAACUACAAGUCUGAUCUCACUUUUUAUAAGUUUGAUUUUUCUUCAUUGCUUUAAGUUCAUUGCCCAUCAAUGCUGGAAAAAAAAUAUGACUUACAUUACAUACUUACUUAUAAGGUACAAAUAAACAAAAGGCCUAAUGGAAAAGAGGCAAGGAAAUACAAAAAAAAAAUUGCCUGCAAAAAUUAAAACAAAAGAUGAGCCCAGGAAAUGACUAAAUAUAAUGGUAAAUGAAUGCAGUAAUAAUUUUUCUACUAAAAACAAGAGCCUCGGUUGAGAUUGAAAAAUACAAUCCAUUAGUAAAUUGAUUAUGAAGUGCACUCAAAUGUGUUUUUAAAAAGACAAAAUCUAGAAAGUUAGAUGAAUGUUUCCAUCAAAAUCAAACAAAGAAAGGGAAAGGAGAAUUUCCAGAAUCAAUAGUGGUGUCUGAGGCUUCUUCUCCUCCAUCCAGUUCUCCCACAGGGAAGAGAUCAAUGCCCCCAAAUGCUCAGCUCUGAGUGAUGCUGCAAGGGGGUUUUUAGGGGUCCCCAGAGGCUCCCAUGUGUAGUGGGUACAAAUCUCAGUCCACAAACUCAAGUGAGGAAGAAACCUAACCUUCUCUGUUUUCCUUAAUACAACUGGUCUUCUAAUACAGGCUCCCAGUCCAUCAAGGAGUCCUGAUCUUCAUCCUAGUCAUUUGGAAUCUACCCCCUUUUCCCGGGGUUGUCUAGUUCUGGAGGACUUCCCAGGGCACGCAGCUGGAGCAGGGCACGCAGCUGGAGCAGGGCACACGCUCCAUGGUUGCUAUGGAGACGCAGGUCCCUCAGGACUGGGCAUCUCUCUACUUCCGUGUUGCUCUUGAGCACCUGCCAAUCACUCCACCAGGCCACAACAAGCCCUUCUGUGGAGUCUUGCUACCUCUCUGACUGGGAUUCUCUCUGGAAAGUGAGACACGGGCACUCCUGCUCUCAGAUCCUACAUGUUCAUUGGGGAUUUUGCUCUCUCCUUGGGGGCUCAGCUCAGGACAGAGGUCCCUGAAUCCUUUUGUCCGUGAUCACUAACAUCUAAGCCAGAGGGAACAAAUUAGUAGCCUGCAGGUCAAGUCCAGUCCAGCAGGUAUUUUGUCUGGCUCAGACAGUAUUUAAAGAUUCUUCUGAAAAGAUUAUGACCAUUUUUGUUUGAAGUAGAGCUGUAGCUUUUAGAUCCAACUACCAAUUACUGGGAAGUACAGAAAACAGAGAAGCAUGUUAAAUGACACCAGCAAAAUCCCGACUAUGGGAAAGUACAUAACAAAGGAUGUGGCUUCUUUAACAAGUACAUUGUAAGGACAGAAAGAUGGGGAUCACACCUGUAGGUUAAAAGAAACUUAAAAACACCAAUCACUUGCAAUGUGUGACUUUGGAUCCUGUUUCAAACAAACUGUAAAAAAUAAAGUAAUAUAAAAUAAACGUUUAUGACCUUCAUGAGAAAAUUGUAAAUUUUAACACUGACAGGCUAUUUGAUGUGUAAUUAUUGGAAUUCUGUUUAGUUAUGAUAUUGUGUUAUAGUUAGAAACAUGAGCCCUUAUCUUUACCAAAAAAAAGGCGUAUCUGGGAUUUACUUCAAAAUAAUUGAAGAUGGGGGGAAGUGGGUGGGGUUAUGGAUGAAACAAAAUUGGCCAUGAGUCCAUAAUUAUGGAAACUCGGUGAUGAGUACAAGGAAGUUCAUUAAAGCACUUUGUCUAUUUUAAAUAUGUUUGAAGUUUUCCAUUAUAACAUUUUUUAAGGGGAGCUUCCACAUAAAACAUCUGAUUUUGGAUUCUCUUGGAAAAAAGGACAGAGCUGGUAACACGAGGAUAGACCACCAUACUGCAGCAACCAGCCAGAGUUGAGAAGUGUUACAGGAUAGGCACCCAGAAAACUAUAGUCCCUGCCAUCCCUGUUGUCCUUAAACCUGGCUCACUUCCCAUGUUUAUGGUACCUGCCUCAGCCAUCAGUGUUCUAAUCUGCAACCCACAGGAAAUUUCCUUCCAACACUCCCCUCACCCAGGUCACCCACUGUUGUUCAGGUGGGGCUGUGCCAAAGGGGGUACCUGUUUUUCCUCUCCUUUUCAUGAUGCUUUUCCCCCAAAUCCUUUCUCUGUGCUAUGUGCUAUUCUUUUUGGGCCUCCAACGGUCUAGGAUUUUGAAACUCAAAAGCCAGAAGGAAACACUUGCCCCUCCUCCCCAUCUUCUGCUUUUGGCCAUUACGCCCCUUCCCUGAGGGAGUGAGAACAGAACAACCUGACACUGGAUGAAAAACCGGGGAACAUUUGGUUAAGAUGUAGAUACAGGUCUUAUACAAUAUCAGAUUGGCGAAUAUUAAAAAGUUGGGUAAUAUCAAGUGCUGCCAAAGGUGAAGGAAAACAAACUCUCAUAGGAGUGUCAAUUGGCAUAACUUUCCGGGAAGCAGUUUGGAAGGGUUAAGUGAAGCAAUACAGAUAGACCCUACAACCCAGCUCUCCUGGAUGCGGAGUCCAGAGCAACUCUGGACUGAGCCCCCAGAGAAACACCUGUGAACAUGUUCUUGUAGAAUCAUUUGUAUUAGUGAGAAUUUGGAAAUACCUGGAUUAGAAGUUUAUUAAUAGAAAAGCAGAUACAUAAAAUGUAUCCAACAAUGAGGACUGUUCAGCAGAUAAAAGAAAUGUUCUGGUUCAUGUUUAUCCUAUAACUUGGAGCCAUCUCAAAAUCUCAUCAUUGGGAUUUUCAUCACUGGACAAAAUCUCACCUCUGGACAAAAGUGAGAAGAGAAUGAUAUGUAUAUACCAAAAGGCCACAUCAGCAUAUUUUUAAAAAAUAUGCACAAAAUAAUACCACUACUGGGUCUUGAUACAAAUAGGCAUAUAGAUGGGCAGGGCACACAGAAUCACAGCAAUGGUAAGAGGGAAAAAAAUGAGGCUGGAGAUGGGACAAAAAGAUGAAAAAAGAGAGUAAAAUAAAAGUGAGCCCUGAGAGCAUCUGUCUGGCCUAGUCGGUGGAGCAUGUGACUCUUGAUCUCGGGAUUAUGGGUUUGAGCCCCAUGUUGGCUGUGGAGAUUGCUUAAAAAUAAAAUAUUAUAGGGGUGCCUGGGUGGCUCAGUUGGUGGAGCAUGUGACUGUUGAUCUCAGGGUUGUGGGUUUGAGCCCCAUGUUGGCUGUGGAGAUUGCUUGCUUAAAAAUAAAAUCUUACAAGGUGAGCCCUACACAUGCUAAUAAAGGUGGUGUGCCUUCAACCAAGGAGUAUGGCUGAUUCAUUCCCAGCACAUGAGCUUUCAGCAAACAGAAAAUCAAACCAAAACAAAAUACUAGUUAAUAUUUAAAAUAUUAACCUGAUGCAUGUGGAAAGAGCACGUGAGUGAGUGGCUAUGAAUAACCAGGAGGCUAAUGUGUGCCCAGAGGUGGCAGAGAGAGCUAUCACUUAGGGUUCUAGGCAGAGUGGGGCCAGACAGUGGGCUUGGGCCACCUCAGGGGACACCAGGUGUCCCCAAACCUUUAGUCUCCUGUGAUUCUCUCCAAAAGCGGAUCUCAUUCUGGGGUCACCCCUGUUGUGGCCUUGAGUUGCUUAAUCACAGACAUUCACCUCCUGUCAGCACUGUUGGCUGCUCUCAGGUAACCUGCUGGGUCACAGAGAUUGUCGCCAUGGAGUGGUUUCAACUUGUUAAUAGCCUCCAGCUCCUCCAGUAAAGUCAAGAUAUCCUGGGUACAAAUACUCCUGCAACUCCCCCCGUUUUUACAUGCCUUCAAUACCAAAAGCUACUUUUCAGAUAGUGCGUUGUAUGAUAGAGACUAGAACUGCCCGGCUUUCUUUGGUUGGGCUGUGGAGAGGCAGAGAAGAGUGGUUCUGGCAAACAGCCCUGAUUUUGCUUGAAACCCCACUCUUGGGAAUGAAGGGGAGAAAGAAAGAUGAUGUGCUGUUGCUGUCUCCUGAGCCCAUUCUUCUACUCUCUCCUCCCCUUCCCUCCUUUCCUUUUACAAACAUGUCUUCAGUGUGAAUAUGCACCAGGCACUGUGCUAGGCACCAUACAAUUUGAAUCUGACAUUGUUGCUGGCCCUGAAGAAGAUUUAAGUCUAGUGGGGAGCAAGCAGUGAGCAGGGUCAAGCGUGGUAGAGAUCUGUGGGGGGUGGGGAUGCUUUGAGGCCACAGAGUAGGACAGCUACAUCAGAUGAGAGGAUAUCAAGGAUGGCUUCUUGGAGGUGGUGCUCCUUGAGCUGAGUCUGAAAGGAUAAAUGCAGUUAACAAGCAGGGGAAGGUUAGGGAAAAGGUAUUCCUGCUGGAGGAAAGAGCAUGUGGAAUGGCUAGGAGGCAUGAAACAGCAGGAAGCAGUGGGAAGCUGUCACCAGUUCACCAUAUCUGGACUUGGGGCUCAGGAAGGGUCUUGGGUGCUAGUACUUAACUCAUGUCCUAUCUUCUCCCUGAAGCUUGCAGAACUACCCCAGCCCCAUCAUGUACCCCUCUUCUAUAAUCUUGCGCCAACAUCUUCCAAUCAAAAAAUUGCAUAUUAUUAUUAUUAUUAUCAUUAUUAUUUUCGUGUGAAGGCUUUAUUUUCUGUAUUUCAACUUACAAAAGGGCACAUGAGCCCAGUGCUUCUCCCAUCCGGUGCCUUGCGUUAUAGCCUUUGUUCCACCAUGGGGAUGACUCAUGAUCCAGUUCUGAGUGGAUUCAUGAUCCAGCUUUUCCGUGAAGAGGCAGACUGAGGCAGUGGGUAGAAGCACCAAAUCCCACCCUAGUGCACUAGGUUUUUAUCUGAGAGGCUUCUGCAAUUGUGUACCUGAGCCAGACUGACAUCUGGACCAGUGCCCAGGUGAGCAUUCUUCUGGGAGGGUGUGGUAGAUAGCCUCUGAGAUGGUGCCCAGUGAGCCCCAUCUCCUGGUUUUCAUGGCCUUGUGUAGUGUCCCACAUUGUAUCAGCGUUGAUCUGUAUGAUCAGAAAAAUGUAACAGAAGUGACAGGACAUGCCUUUAAGCCUGGCUCCAUAAAGACAUUAUGACUUCUGCGUUCAUUUCCGUCUUGGGCUGUGCACUCUGGAGGAAGCUAGUGUAUGUUGUAAAGACACAUCAGCAGUUCACGAGUUCACGGGGUGAGGAACUGAGGCCUCCCACCAACAGCCACGAGAGGAGGCAUUGUAGAUGUGGAUCCCACAGCCCCAGCCAAGCCUUCAGAUGACAGCAGCCCCAUCCGACAUCUUGACCACAGCCUCAUGAGAGACCUUGAGCCAGAACCAUCCAGCUUAGCUGCUUCCAAAUUCCCAACUGUUAGAUACUGUUAGAGAUGAUAAAUGCUUACUAUUUAAGCCAUGAUGUCUUAGGGUAAUUUAUUACAUAGCGAUAGAUAACUAACAAAGUGUACUUGGUAGCUCUAAGUGGCUUUUCCUGCUUGUGUCUGGGGAGGCUUCCUGAUGAGGCUUUUGUCUCCUCUGAUAGGCAGAAGUGUUGGGGCUCCCCAAAGGCCACAUCCACUCACCCCGAUUCCUUCCCUCAUUCCUCCCUCCCCAGGUACUUCCCUUGAAGUGACCAAUAACCCAACAGCAGAUGCAGAAGAACCUCGUCCGGACUUCCCUUAUGUGACUAGCACAGAGCUUUGGGAGAAUGAGCCACCACACCCGACCCCCACCCCUCCAGGGAGGCUUCAGUCAGGGAGGCACUGACUGGCACAGGGACAUUCCCAAAGAAAUGGUGUAAACACACCUCAUCAGAACCUGCCAUCCUUUGAAGCACUAGCCCCUUACCCCUUUUAUUAAAUUGGGAUAUACAUCUUUACCCCUGGUUUUCCAGUGACUUACCCAUUACUCGGUGCUCUGGAACUCGGUGUGUGCACACACUUUUUCUUUUCUCCUGUGAAUCUGGCCACUAUCCCCACCCUCAAACCUGAGUUAGUAGAGGAAAAAGUUGUCCUUCCAACAAUUUCAAAUCAAAGAAAUCCCCAGGGGCCGUCCAAUGGGAAGUUCUGAGGCCCUCUGCACUGAGUUUUGUCUGGUCAAAGGAACUGAGUUUAAGAGCAACCACCUCUGCAGGGGAGAUGCCCCAGGGAUUCACAGCCCUUUCAACCCUGGUGCAGAUGGCCAGGGCCCAGAGACACACAGCUUCUGGGCCUGAGGUCACAGCAGAGGCAACUUCUGACUUAUAAAAGAUUGUGUCUCCUGGUCUGUGGCGGCUUCCUUUUGGUUUUUUGCUUACUUAACCAACCCUUAGUACUUGCUAUGUGCCAGACUCUGUUCUAAAUACUUUACAAAUAAUAAGCCAUUUAGUCCUCAGAAUGACCCUAUGAGGUAAAUGUUCUUGUUGUCUUCAUUUUACAAAUAAGGAUCAGAGAGCACAGAGAUGUUAAGCAAUUUGCCCAAGGUCACACAGUGAGUGGGUAGCAGAGUAAGGAUUCACACCCUGGUAGUGCUUGGCUCUAAGAUGAGAAUUGACCCAAUGUCUAUUCAGUGAGCAUUCUGUGCCUCUGGGCACUGUUCUGGCCAGGGCUCCUGGGGCUGGACAAGGUUAUGUAUUUGAGUCCUGGCUAUGGGCAAUCCAGAGGUACACAUCCAAGCAGGGCAGUGUCCUGAAUAAGCUAGGCACAUCCUUAAGAAGGAAAACCAUGGGGUUGUUCAUCUUCCAAGACUAACCUCUGUACUCAACCUUGCAGGCCUGCCUGAGCCCUGCCUUGGGCAGGAGGGUAUCCUCUCUGAUCAUGCUCAUUCCUGCCUCCUCACCUUAGCUCAGCCACAUACCUGGGGGGAUGUCUCUGCACUUCCCCAUCUGCCUAGACUAAUGGUUCUCGACCAAGGGCAAUUUUGCCUCCUGGAGAUAAGAGGUGAUGUCUAGAGACAUUUUGAUUGUCACAAGUAGAAGGCUGCUAGUGGCACCUAGUGAGCAGGGGCCUGGGAUGCUGCCAAACGUCCUAAAAUGCACAGGAUGACACCUCACCACAAAGGAUUAUCUGGACCAAAAUGUCAAUAGUGUGCAGGUUGAGAAACUGGCCUGGGUCCAUCUCACAGCCUCCUUAAGGCUAACGACCACCAUCACCACCACCCCCUGCCCCCCGCCACACACACGUGAUCUGAUUCUUAUUACAGUGGUGGUCCAGGGUCCUAGUGGGGCUCCAUGCAUCCUCACUUCAUCUCUCAGAGGCCACAGCAGAACAUGAAAGAUCCAGUCUGCAUGCCAGCUACAAGUUCUUAGAAAUACAGCAAGGAUUUUGAGGUACUGACAAAUGUAGCUGACAUUAUUUUGUAUCAGGCUCUGUGCUAAGCAUUUUGUAUAUUUUGUCAUAUAUAAUUCUCAUAAGCCAGCCUUAGAUACUAGUAUCAUCCCUAUUUCAGAUUGGGAAACUGAGGCUUACAAAUGUCAAGUAACUUGCUCAAGGUCACACAGCUAAUAAAUGACAGGGCCAAGUUUGUGCCCUUCCCUGGCAGUCUGACUCUAGCACUGAUAUACAUACUGAGGCAAAGUAAAGAUGGUAAAUGUACAAGAGGCCUGCCUGAGGUCAGGGGCCUCCUGGCCUCCUGUGGGACAGAGGGACCAGCACCACUCACUCUCCAUAACAUAGUUGCAGCCAAGACUCUUGGAGCUGGGCAGAGAGAGGCUAGACCUGCCAUGGUUCUUCAAGAGGGAAGAACGAUAGUAGAGAGAAGGGAGAGGUGGGUUGGUUUUUGUACGGGGACCGUUGAGACAGGACCCGCAAGAAAGAGAUGGGUAAGGAAGGAGGCCUGGGAGCUUUUUAUUAUUUAUUAUAGCAAGAAAGAAUGGGAAAGAAUAGGAGGUUUGUUUCUAAGCUAUAAAUGCCCUCCUUUGAUCCCUGUGCAUAUCAGAGAUAAAUGAGUCACUGAGGCCUCAGAAAUUAAUGAUUGUCCUAAUUAUUACCUCAAGUGACCUUCCAGCAUUAGUAAUUCUCCUCACUCCCUGCAAAGUAGCUGUGGCAAAGUUUGACCAGGUUUGGGGAAGAGGCAGGACUAACGUGGGUGAGUUUCUGCUGGGACAGGCUCAGUUGGCAGAGAUGAAACCGGCCUCAGCUCCUCAGGAGAACAGAGAGCCGGACUCCAAUGGGAAAGGCCCUGCCCUCCCAGUGUUUGCCUUCAGGGCCUGGUGGGAUCCCGAAUCCGCUGAGAGGGGACAGUUUGGAGGCGUUUGAAGAGCUGCUGGGCCAGCUGAAAGCAAAAGGGCGGUUCCUGCAGAGUUAACAUCCGACCUUCCGCAGGCCCUUCCCCAUUCAGAUUCCCGGAAAAGCUUUGAAGUUUCGUCUGUGUGCAUGUUUUCAUUGCCCUGAUCUUGCCGUACGGGUAUUAGCCUGCAGCCCUGCCCCAUCCCUGGGGAUUUAUUCCCCAACUGCAAAAAUCUUAGGAAAAUACUGCAAGCUCCACCCACCAUCCCCAAGCCUCUGGCUGCUUUGUCCUUAGGCUAGAAUAACAAAGGAGACCUCAGAACCCUCACCAGGGGACAUUCUCUUCGCGUUUAUAGUUUCUCCAGAGACAUUCCGGUGAUGACCUCCGGGACCGGAUCUGAGGACAGAAGCUUCCAAGUUCGGGGAGGUGGGGGGGAGGGAGAAGGUGGUAAGAGGAAGGGUGAGUGAACAAGAUUGUCCCGGAAGGCCUCCCCAGGCGCAGGCCAGGUCCAGGGCAAUUACAGCAGGACCCAGAGAGCCUCUUUCCAAGUCUUGUUCAAUGAGCCAACCACUGUGCUUUCGGUACCCAAAUAUCAGUGUCAGGGACCUUUGCUGCUCCCAGCUUCACACAAGGUCCUCUGCUAUCACAUUGCUCAAGGCCACCAGCGAGGCGUAAGUCAGGAUUGAAGAAGAAGAGGAGGGGGAGAGGAGAGAAAAGAGGAGGUGGAGAAGAAGAAAGAUGGAAGACAGACUGAGACAGAGGAAGAGAAGGAAAGCCGGGAAUCCCAAACCAGCCUGAUUUUGCUUUUCAGAGCAAAGACUCUGAACAAUGGUGCCAUCUUGUGGCUGUGAGGAGAAAUUACCACCAGGACUUGCACUCGUGUUCUCCCUCCCUCCCUCCCUCUCCCUCUCUCUUCCUUUCCCUCUCUUCCUCUGUGUGUGUGUGUGUGUGUGUGUGUGUGUGUGUGUCUGCUUGUGUUUCUUUUUCUGUCUAAUCACCCUCCCCCCCCAUUUCUCUCCUUCCCUCUCAAUGUCUCCCGCCCACAUGCCCCUCCUCUUCAUAUUCCAGAGUAAGACUUCUAUAUACAAGUUUCUAGAAUGGUACUGUCCAAAAGCAGUAACCACUAGCCACAUAUCACACAUUAUACUCAAAUGUAAAUUAAUUAAAUGAAAUAAAUUUUAAAAUUUAGAAUUCACUUCCUCAGUCACACUAGCCACAAAUGCUCACUAGUCCCAUGUGACUGGAGGCUACUGUAUUGGACAGCACAGAAAUAGAGUAUUUCCAUUGUUGCAGAAAGUUCUGUUAACAAUGCUGUUAUAGAAAGUUCAGAGUUGUCAUCUGAUAGAGGAUUGUAAAAAUCCAGAGGAAAUAAUAGUUUAGGUGCUGCCUUCUACCUUCCGAGUAGCCACUGGUAAAAGGUUUGCAGAGCAGUUUUCUCCCAGACCCUUUCCUCCCAAUGUCAGGGCUUCAGCAAUUGAUGGGGGCAGUGUUGCAUUUUAGAAACAGUAGACUGGGUGUCAGAUAGACCUGAGUGUGAACCCAAGCUCUGCCACUGAAGCCUCUCUGGACCUCAGUUUGCUCCUCGGUCAGAUAAUUCCUCUAGACUUUUCCAGUUUUACCAGGCUGUUAUGUGCCAGGGUUUGACAAGAGCUGAUGUCAAACCCAGAAGGAGGCAUGAAACAAGCAAGUCCCUGAGCUGUGCCUCACCCAUGGUGUCUGCAACUGUAGCGGCACAAGUCAUGGAUCUUGGCAUUCUCCCCGCCCCCACUUAUCCCCAAGGCCACUCCAAGCUCUGUGUCUCUCCCAAGUACCUCUUAAGUGACUUCACAUCUGCCUGGUGAAAGACUGGCUGUUUGGUGUUUGACUCAACCCUAACUUUAAGUUUCACUUGCUCCUUCAACAAUAUUUAUUGCACUCUUAUUAUGUGCCAAGUACUGUCAUUGGGGACCUCCAUUCUGCACCUUACAUUUUAACUGGGGAGACAGAUAUUAGGCACUUAAAUAUAUCACAUAAUGGGGAGUAGUAAUAAGUGUGACAAAGGGAAAUCAGGCAGGGGAAUUGUAAGGCUAUUUCUGAUAGAGUAGUUGAUCAGGCAAAAGUUUUAUAAGCAGGUGACAUUUGUGCAGAGGCCCGAAUGGUGUGAGGGAGUAGGCCAGUGGAUAUCUGAGGGGGAAAAGGGAUUGUAAGACUGCAAAUGCAAAGGAUGCAAAGGCGUGAAGCUGGCUCUGUGAGUCUUCUCCCAGGGUAAGCAGUUAUAGGAGAUGACACAUGUAUGCUAAUCUAGAGGUCUAGGGUCUAGCAUCUAAGAACAGAUGGAACAUUUAUCCCUUCUCUAGCUAGCCCUGUCUUUAGCAUCCAAAGAUAUCUUUAUAGACAUCCACCUGCUAAAGGCCCAUCAUGCUUCUGGGGAGACUAUGCUCUAGGUCUGGACUCAGGACCUUCUGGCUCCCAACCUUCUGAAUACAGAAGCUGACUUUUUUUUUUUAGUUUAUUUAUUUAUUUUGAGAGCAUGUGAGUGGGGGAGGGGCAGAGAGGGGGGGAGAGAGAGAGAGAGAGAGAGAGAGAAUCCCCAGCAGGUUCUGUGCUGUCAGUGCAGAGCUCAACUCAGGGCUCGAACUCACAAACCGUGAGGUCAUGUCCUGAGCCAAAAUCAAGAGUCAGAUGCUUAAGUCACUGAGCCACCAGGUGCCCCCAGAAGCUGACUUUUGAUGUGAGAAAUCCAAAACACUCACCAUCUGAGCCAGUGUUUUCUUUCCCCAAAUUGCUGGGCUCCCUUCUAAGGACGGUGGUGAUCCCACAACUCUGCUUUGCUUAUAUCAAACAGCCUAGAUUUCCGAAUGAACAUCUUCACCAAGACAUCAAAGUUGAAAAAAUUGUUUCCAAGUUUAUGUAUUUUGAGAGACAGAGAAAGAGAGGGGGGACAUGUGAGUGGGGGAAGGACAGAGAGAGAGGGACAGAGAGAAUCUCAAGCAGGCUCCACACUGUCAUCACUAAGCCUGACGUGGGGCUCCAUCCCACGGACCACUGUGACAUCAUGACCUGAGCCGAGAUCGACAGUCAGAUGCUUAACCGACUGAGCCACCCAGGCACCCCCAGAGUUGAAAUGUAAAAAGAGCAAUUCUUUCAGAGAGAAUGCCCAAGCUUUAGACAUCUGGUGUUUGGCUGGUUCCUAUUCUAGGCUAGUUUGCUCUGCCUCCUGCCCAUUAACAGAGCCGUUUCCUGUGUUUUGUUCAUUUUCCAGGUUAACGGAGCACAGUUUGCAGGUAUGCUUACAAAAUAUCACCUGGAACAUUUUUCUGUGUUUCUGAAGGCUUAUGUUCUCCAUGGGCAGAGAGCCAGUUGCUUACAAGUAAAACUGCUCCAAAACUAGAUUGCUCUCAGGGCCCAUUUGAGUUUGCUUUUCCAGCAUGUGAGUUAACAAGAAUGAGUCAAAUGUCUCCUGAGUGGCCUCCGGGUUACUGGACUCAGAAGGUCAGAAAUGUCUGUGGAAGAAGUCUGAGGACUUGAGAUCUUUUUUUUUUUUUUAAUUAAAAAAAAAUUUUUUUUUUUAACGUUUAUUUAUUUUUGAGACAGAGAGAGACAGAGCAUGAACGGGGGAGGGUCAGAGAGAGAGAGAGACACAGAAUCUGAAACAGGCUCCAGGCUCUGAGCUGUCAGCACAGAGCCCGACGCGGGGCUCGAACUCAUGGACCGCGAGAUCAUGACCUGAGUGGAAGUCGGACGCUUAACCAACCGAGCCACCCAGGCGCCCCUCGAGAUCUUUUUUCAGUGUUCCCCUUCACGAUGCCCAUUUCACAUAUCCAGAAGCCAAGCGAGGCAGCCUGGUGCAUGAGCCUGGGUUUCUUUCCCAGAAAGCAUUUUGCAGUCUUGGUGGCCAGAUUCAAAUAACCUCCACUAAAAUGAAAAAACAAAGAAACAAACAAACAAAUACCAAAAAAAAAAAAAAAAAAAAAAAAAAAAAAAGAAUCCCAAUUUGGACGUUAGAAAACAUCUUCACAAUUAAUUUAGUCUUUUAGUUUUUGUGGUUUCAGCAACUGCCUUAUUUGGGUAUCUUCUUGACACUUGAUGGUUUCAGAGGCUUCUAUCCAAGAGGAAGUCCCCUGAAGAGAAAGUGUAACUUGGUCUUUGUUACAUUCUCUGUGUAGGAAACUGCCUGGCCACAGCUUCAAGCUCUUGCCAUUGGCUCUUCAGGGUCAGUGUCUCUUGCUCAGGCGAGUUUGUCAGGUGAAUCUGCUCAGGUAAUACUGUCUUGUUGUGGGGCUCCCCAGGGACACCUGCCCGGGCCUGGGGAGAGCUGUGUGGGAAAGUGCCUCUUCUAGCUGAGGCUGUACCUGCCUCUCUGUGCAGGGAGGGGAGGUCAGUCGCCACUGCCUUGAAGCUAGUCCAGUCUGCACCUGGACCAGGAACCAAAGUAGACUCGCCUCAAUUAAAAUCCCUGGCAACGAGGGCCAAGAAUGACUUGGCUGUCCUCUCCCUGCCACAAGAAACGGGCCUGCCACGGCCACCUCUCCAGUGAGAGUUAGCAUGCACUCGCCUUGGUGUGGUUUUCAGUUUUAGGAAGAUACGACGGGGGGCAGGGCGAGUCCUGGCAAUCUCGGCAAAGACUUCGAGCGAGGAGACUUGGGUGCUGCUGGUGCGAAUGUAAAUCAUUGCAACAUUCCAGGAGGCCAGGUGGGCAGGAUGUAUCACGCCCAGGUCAGUCCUGCCUUGUUGGUCGUUAUGAGUUACUGUUAAUUUUUGGAAUUUACCCCUUUUCAUUCUCAAAACAUGUCCCACUUUGCAGGACAAAUGAUAUGGUCACCCAGUCUUCGGAUGCCUUUAGGAAAUGUAUGCUAAGAAUACACAGACAUAGCUUCAGGGAUGUUUACUACAGGCCUACUAGGCAUAAAGAGAAGUUAGAGAUAAAUUAUGUGUCUUACCCCAGAGGAUUAACUAAGUUCAAUAAAUUAUAGCAUAUCCACACAGUAGAGUGCUAGAUAGCCAAUGAAAAAUGGAAUGUAGCAAAAUAUUAAACAGCAUAGAAAUCCUAUCCUAUAGUAUUAUCCAAGUCCAGUUUACAAAGAAAAAGGACUAACCGAGGACUAAACUGUUGGUUCUCUCUGGGCAGUGGAAUUGGAAGUGGCUUAUAUAUCCUCCUCUAUACUUUUCCUGUGUUUCCAAAUUUUCUACAAUGGACAUAUAUGUUAUAGGCAGAAUAAUGGCCUCCCAAAGAUGGCCACACUCUACUCCCCAGAGUCUGUGAACACGUAAGGUUACAUGAGGAAAGGGAAUCAGGUUUCCAGGUGAACUUGAUGUUGCUAAUCAGCUGACCUGGAGAAAGAGAGAUUAGCCUGGAUAAUCCAGGUGGAUCCAAUGUCAUCACAGAAGUCUUGGCGCGCCUGGGCGGCUCAGUCGGCUGGGCGUCCGGCUUCAGCUCAGGCCAUGAUCUCACAGUUCGUGGGUUCGAGCCCCAUGUUAGGCUCUGUGCUGACAGCUCGGAGCCUGGAGCCUGCUUCGGAUUCUGUGUCUCCCUCUCUCUCUCUGCCCCUCCCUCGCUCAUACUCUGUCUCUCUCUGUCUCAAAAAUAUACGUUAAAAAGAAAGUUAAAAAAAAUGUAAUCACAGAAGUCUUUAACCAUGGGGGGAUGACACAGGCACAGGCACAGGAGAACGGAGCCCUAGGAGAAGGACUCCACCAGCCAUUGCCGAUGGAAGGGGGCCCAGGAGCCCAGAAAUGCUGGUGACCCCCAGAAGCUAGAAAAGAUAAGAGAACGGGUUCUUGCCUAGAGCCUCCGGAAAAGGAAUAGGGCCCUGCUGACACCUUGAUUUUAGCCCAGCGAGAGCCAUGUUGGACUCCUGACCUACAAAACUGUAAGAUGAUAAACUUGGAUUGUUUUAAGCCACUUCAUGCAUGGUAAUUGGUAACUGCCGUGAUAGGAAAUGAAUACAAUGAAUUUCUUUUUUAAUUAAAAAAAAGAGAGAUGGUGAUAGUAAAAGUCACUUAAAAAGAAAGGAUUAAAAAUCCUUAUAAUGCCUUAUAAUUUAACCCAGCAGCCACACUGGGAGGAAGCCUGGCACAGUCUUCUUCCUACAAAAAAUCUGGAUGAGGAGUUCCUAGCUGGCUGCUGUUUUGUUAUUGGAAGGAAAUAAUAACACAAGGGAUAAGUAAAUGACCCGACCAGCCAGCAGCCUGAGAAUGGUCCUCCAGCGGUGCAUAAAUAAUUGUACAAAAUGGGGCAAGAACAAUCAGUGCUCUAGGUCCAGAGGAGGGAGAACCACGGAGCUGCUGCUCUUGAGAAUUCUGGGACCCGGAGAGGAAUUGAACUUGCAACCCUUUCUGAGCAAGUGGAAACUGCCAGGCUGUUCUGCUGGUUUGUGCUGGCAAAUCCCAUUCUGACAUCAAUAAAUAGAAAGAAGAGGGUGAUGGCUUUUGCAACCCCUGCCAGGGGCAGGGAGCUGAGCAGUCUGGCCCAUUCUGAACUGUUCACUGGAACAAUCUGCUCAGGUUAGAGAGUGGCAGAGGAUUCUCUCCUAAAUAAAUCCUUUCCUGUUUGCUCUGAAGGAGCUCUAACGGAAACCCCCAGACUCUUAGCAAAGGCUGCGAAGAAUAAGGUAUCUGAAAAUGGAAACAGCCUUUUUUUUUUCUUUGCUAGAGGGUCCAAAAUGACCUCCUCUUCAGUCUGUAGUAAAGACUCCCUCUCUGUUGCAGGUAGGACCCUCUGGGAGCAGGUGCUGAGUUGGCGUUUGGUGAGCAAGACAUUCGUUAGGGGUAAACACCUGUGGAGGUCAGGGAGCCGAAGCAGGACUGAGCACGGAGGGUGGUGAUGCCGUGAUGUGGUCCUGACAAAGCCAAGCCCACAGGCAUGUGUAGCCCAUUAGAACUGCUGGUGGGGGCUUCAGUGGCCAGUGUUUAGACACCUUGCUCGUGAUCAGUUGCUGGAUGUAAGUACGGUUUAGGCGAGGCAACUCUCAGCCAGCCCCAAAGGAGCUGGGCGCUGUCUGCCGACUGCACCAAGAUCUUCUUUGAAGGGCAGUCAGGUUGGCACAUCUUGUGUCAACUGCACCAUGCCUCCCCGUGGACCUUGUUCUGCUUAUCGGCCAGGAUCCAUAGUCCUGCUAACCUGGUGGGUGCAAGAAGGACUUGGCUAAUUUUGCAUGGCUCCUGAAAGCAGAAGUGACAUUUCAGCAGGAUCUGCUGAAAUUCAGCUCAGAACAGAGGACUUGAUAGGAGAGCAUGACUAUUUACAAUGGGACAGAAUCCCUCCAGAGGUCCCGAGCCUCUGGAAUACUCAGAGUGUGGGAAUUGGUGGCAGGAUGGAGAAGGGCUUUCUACAUUGAGCCAGAGAGAGGACAGGUUCCUUCUGGGGCUGCUUAUGACCCUGACAGUGGGUGGCUAAUGGGGCCACUGCAGGGGGCUGCUCUUGGCCAUCUGUGGCUCUGUCUACUGAUGUCACUUCUGGGGCUGACAUCCAUUUCAUGUCAGGUCUGCUUCUAGGAGUUUGUCACAUACCAGGUCACCCUUAGUCCCAGAUGGGGCACAAAUGCAGCUCAGAGAAUCCCUACAGGCUGGCCCCUUCAGAUUACCCCCUCCCGUUCCCCUUCUUGUCUCACUUGUUUGGUUCCAGUCUGACUUCCUUCUUCCCAUUUUGGCCCUUUUGGAUUUGCUGAUCCUGGCAUGCCUUCCAUCUCCCUAGGACCUAGCUCUGCUUCACGGCUCUCAGCCCAUGCUCUGUGGCCCUAGACACUGUAUUUCCUCUCCCAGUCGUGUCCCCAAGACCUCAUUUACCUGCCCAUCCCUGUCCUGGAGGCAAGAUCAGUCAGUAACAAGUGCUGAACAUUCACAGUCCCCUUGGUAAAUGGGACUUCCUCUUAUUCGCUCAAGCCAUACCUGCCACAAAUUCUAGAAGGUGCUGCCUUUUCCUAGUAUUUCCAAGUUUGAUGAACCAAUCAUGUUUAUAUUCAUGCUAUUCAUUACUUCAUAUGUGUGUUUAAGAACCUUAGUGUAUCAUCUAUGCAAAAUGAUACACAUUAGGUACAUGUAACCACAUCUAAGUGCCUACCCACCAACUGUUUAAGAAAUGGAAAUGUGUCAGUACCUUUGAAGUCCCCUGAGGUCUACUCUCUCACUGAGGUAGGUGCGAUGGACCCAUCUGGAUUCCGGGUCCUUCCUUCCUUUAUUGCUUUUUACAGUGUUACAGCCUACGUAUGCGUUCCUAUGCAAUAUGGUCUUUGCUUCUGCUAGUUUUUAAAAAUUCAGAUAGUUGGAACUUACUGUGUUGUUCUUCUGUGACACCUUCUUUCACUCAGUAUUAUGUUUUUGGGAUCUAGCUCUGCUGUGACAUGCAAUUUUAUAUUUUAGCCAGGACCUUUGUCAAUCUUCAUCUUUCCUCUGACCCUAUGGGCUAAAGGCUCAUGGGCUUUUAGUUUGUCUCCAGUAGUCGCACUGGAGAACCCCCCUUUUUUUCUCAUUCUCUCCCUCUUGUCUCCUCCUUUGCAUCUUCCUCUGUUACCUCCUUCAAGGACAAAGACCACCUAUCCACACACCCACGCAUGUGCACCCAUGCAUGGGGUUUCUGAAACAAAUACAUGACCAUUGCAUUCAUGUGGAGGUGAUUUAAUGAUUGUGACACUUACUUUGCUGAAAUCUGGACCCUGGGGCAGAAAUGAGUUCUCUCUUCCUGCUCCAGGAAAGUGAAGCAUGUUGAAUUUAUUGCCAGACUAGGCGGGCAAUGCUUUGCAAACUUUAGUGAGCACACAGAUGGCCUGGGAGUAGGGUGGGACCUUGUUAAUUAGGGAGCUUUAUGGACCCUCAUUCCCCAGAGGCUCAGAACUGGAUUAUUGGGUUCUCCAGGUGGAGCCCAGGAAUCUGUGUGUUAGCAAACAAACCUCUCUCUGCCCAGCAGUUCUGAUGCAGACCAUCUAUCGUUGGCCACUCUUUUAGCAAAGAUUAGCCUCUGCCCCAGCCAGAAUCAGGGCUGCUUGACCUGAAAUACCGUCAGCCUCCACGCAUUUCUCUUAGCCAGAGAGUAAGUGAAGGCCUGUCCCCUGAGCUUCCAACACUGGGCCUGAAUAGAAAUAAAUCUUCACUGAGGCUUGAAGUUCUGGCAAGGACUGAUCCCUCAGAGAGAAAGGUUAGGCUCCAAAACUGAUAAUCUGAAACUUGCUGCCUUUGUCCAGUGUGGAGUUUAACGGAGAUUGCUGCAUUUCCAAACAGAAAGCUGGAACAAGCAGUUGAGGCUUGCUGCUGACAUAUGAAGUGGCUCAGUCACCAGCCUGACACCGGACUGGGAGAGUGGUAGCAACUGCAGGGUCCCGAGUCUAGCCCGCAGGCCACCCCAGAGCCAGCAGGUGUGCGCAGGCCAGAGUUGCUUUAGGCCUCACUCAGGCAUUUCACAUGCUCUCCCUCUUGGCCAGGCUGGGGAGAGACAAUUAGUACUGCACAUCUAUGGCAGGAGCUGUUGAUUGUGGGCACCCUGUCUGCACUUCCCCUGUAGAACAAAGAUGUUGGCCAGUGGCCAUAGUUAGGUCACCAUACUUGUUGGGGAAGAAGCUGUCUUGGCCACUAGGGCACUUUGCACAGAUCCCUGGGAAGCAGCUAAACUGUCCUUUCCCAACCCAGUGAAAUGAAAAACAAAAGUUGUGAACCCAGGGCAGUAGAGAGAUCCUGGAUGGUACCCUAGGGCAUCUGUUGGUCUUUGAUUGAUGGAGCUGAGGAAGAGACAGGGUCAUCAUUCAGUUAAUGAGCCUGGCUUUGCAUGGUGCUGAGGCCGUGGUGAUGAACAAAAGACACAAGGUCUCUGGCCUCAUAGAGCUCCGUCUAUGUAAGUAAAUAACUGCAAACUGAAGUAUUUGCUAGGUCAGUGGGGAAUGCCAAGGGGUGGGAGGGUGGUUAUGAACUUGACCUUGAUUGUCAAGGAAUGCUUCAGAGGAGGAGACCCACUGGAUUUCAAAGGAUGAGUGGGAGUCUGAAAGUCAUGAGAGGGCAUUACAGGCAAAAGGAGAGGUCAAAGCCAAAGGCUUGAGAUGGAUUCAUCAGGCUUCAGAUGACUCCACUUAUAGCAAGUACCUAAAGCAGUCAAACUCCUAGAGACAGAAAGUAGAAGGGAGGACGCCGGGGGCCAAAAAGAGAGGAAAUGGGGAGUUAGUGUUUCAUGGGUACAGAGUUUCAGCUUUGCAAGAUGAAGAGAGUUCGUGGAUGGAUGUGGUGGUCAUUGCACAACGAUGUGAAUGUAUUUAAUGUCCCUGAAUGAGCAAUGUGCCACUUAAACAUGGUUGAAGACAGAAUAUAUAUUUAAUGGCACCUGAAAGUGCUUGGCUCUUGACCUUUAAAAGCUCUACUUGCUGAAAAUUAUCUCUGAAUGAUAAUUCAGAGUCCAUAAAUUUAGGUUACUUACUGAUUCUUUAUAUUAAAUUCUUCAUGUUAAAAAAAAAGCUAGCAGCUCCUGGGUGGCUCAGUUGGUUAAGCAUCUGACUUCGGCUCAGGUCAUGAUCUUGUGGUUCGUGAGUUCAGGCCCCGCGUCAGGCUCUGUGCUGACAACUCAGAGCCUGGAGCCUGCUUUGGAUUCUGUGUCUCCCUCUCUCUCUGAUCCUCCCCACUCACACACACACACACACACACACACACACUCUCUCUCUCUCUCUCUCUCUCUCUCUCAAAAAUAAAUAAAAAUUAAAUAUUUUUUAAAAAGCUAAAAGAAAGUUUUUGGUAACAAAAAUUACAUUGAUUUCGAAAAACCAAAGUUAUUUUUGAAUAACCUUUAACGAAGCAGAAAAACCAUGCGCAAGGGGUCCCCAAAGUUACAGUGAACAUGCAAUAUUACCAUAGGCAAGUGAGCGUUCCAGGGCCCCAACUAAGGCAAUGGCAGAAUGAAUGGAGAGGAUGGGGGUGUAUACAGCAGGUGUCAUGCAAGGUAGAGCAGCUGUGGAAAGCAAGGGAGAGAAUCUCAGGAGGUCAGGAUGGCUCACGGCAUUAGGCCUGGUGAUACCAGGGUGGGUGGGGGUACUGUUGAUCAAGCUCUAGAGGAAGGAGCAGAAAUGUGGGGAAGAAGAUCUAUGUUUUGGGUGGAAAUCAGCCCAAUACGCAGGCAUGAUAUUCGGGGACCUCAGAGUGGAGGUAAGGAUUUGAAAGUAUGGGGCAUGGAUGGCAGUAAGCAUGCUGUAUGCUAUAGAGAUGACCCCGAGAGAAGUGUGGAGGGAGGAGCGACCUUGACCAAGGAUGUAACUGUGAGGAAUGUCAAUACUUUCAGGGGGGCAGAGCCUGAGCUGACAAGAUUCACUUCGAUGAUACAGUUUCACGGCCCUAGGAUGCCUUUGCACCUCCCACCCCAUUCCCACUCCCAUAUCUCCUCCAGAGAUUCACCAUGCCUGGCGUUCUUCAGUUCAGGGAAAGUGUGGCCACGAGGCUUUGCUGUCCCAAUCAGAGGCCAAGGCAUGGUGGGAGAGGUGACAUAAGGAUUGAAAUCACACAAAGGUGCCAACAACUGAUGCCCCUGGUUUCCUGCCAGCAGGUUCCUGUGGGAGAGGGUAUACAGAUGUCUCAGAGGAGAGCUGAUGGAUGAGGAGGCACUGGGCAGGGAGGAAGGGGACCAAGUGACUCCCUGGUCAAUUUGCAGAUCCAUCUUGUUUUCACUGCAGGGGAAUCCCCAGCCUUAGCCCUGCCCAGUCUGGGUGCAAGAUUGCUGAGGAGUAAAUAAGGAGGAGUCUAUAGGCUUGUUUCCUCUCCUUUCAGCCUCUGGUGAGAGCUGACAGGCUGGGGGUGGGAUGAAGUGACUCCCUUAGCUUUGACAUGAUCCCCCGUGGCUCUUGACAUACAUUCCCCCGUACUGAUUAAGUCCACCUGUGGAGGGGCAUCCUGCCCUUUGCUGGAUCAUGCAGAACAGGUGCCCCAUUAGUCACCCCUCAGGCCAAGGAUGCCUGAAAGGAGGAGCUAGUGGAGGCUGUGUCUGACCUCAGGCCUCUGCUGCUUGGAGAGGUAGGGGAGCCCCCACCCCCACCUUCCUCCCCUGGGUUUCCCUCUCUUGCCUGAUGGCUGGAAUUGAAGCUCCCCAGAGCCAGGGCCGGGCCCAUGUCCACAAUCAGGCUUCAGAUCCAGCCCCACGUCUGGCCAGGCAUUCAGGCCCCAGGAGAAGGAGGUGAAUAUGCAGGGACCAUCCAGUUCCUGCUGCAGGGAGAGCCCGCCUGCCACCCAGUUGCUCUUAGGAAGCCUGGGUUGAAGGGGCCAUGCAGGAGUGGGUGGUUCAUGGCUAUGCUCGAAUGAGGGGCAGGGCUGGCCUCAGUCCUCCAAACAGCAUUAUCAGCAACUUGUUCAGAGCCCCUUUAGUUACCCCAGACAAGGGGGGUGAAGCAGAGUGGUAGGUUCCUGGGGCUAUUUGCUAGAUAAAUCAGUGGGGAAGUGAGGCAGUGGGGGAGAAGGGGGAGAAAAGGCCUCUGUGGAAAACAAGUGCUUCCUGUUCCUACUGUGAGGCAUGUCUCCUGUGGAUUUCCAGCCCCUGGAUAGUGGUGAGUGACACUCGUAAUAUCUACCCCAAGUUGAACUCUUGCUGCAUGCUGCCCACCAUCCUGUUAAUCAUGUUUACUUCUCAAAAGAGCCCUGAGAGAGGGGAAGAACAGCCUUCCUCUUCUCCAAACAUUUCUGCCUGUAUAUUUUACCAACCCCUCAAUGCUCCUGGAGCCCCUCCAGAGUUAUGGCUACAGGAGGUACAGCCCAGUAAGGCUUAGCCACUGACCUUAGGCUAACACGUCAGGCAGAGAAAUAGUGCCACAGGCAGAAGAGCUCUUGAAGAACAGGUGGAUGACACUGCAGGGACACAAACAAGUCAGGUGUGUUCACAAAAUGGGUACAAAGUCUAUGUUGUCACAACAUUUGGGGACUUUUGCCUUUGAGGAAAUGAGCAAGGAGGUAGUCAUCAAAUAAUGACACCCCUAAGACCAGGAUUCAUUCUUUUAUUCUGGUGUCUUCUACUUCUGUCUUUACCCCCAAACUACAGGAAAUCAUGAGUAACUAAAAAUCAGAGCCCUGCCAAGCCCUGCUGUUGACCGCUGAGUCUCCUUGUUCUGUCCCCCAAGGAACUUCCACCAGCUUCCAACACAGUGUUGCUUCCAACCAAACUCUGUCAUAAGGGUCAGGGUUGGGGGCAUGGUUCUUGGCCUUCUUAGAAACUCAAAGCUGACAACACCAUUCAAUGCAGAGGUAAAAUCUUCCAGUUAGGUCUUAGAGGUAUCGUGAUAAGUAUUCUUACCCCGUAUGGGAUUGUAUCUCAGAGAUGAGCAACCUGGGACAGCCAAGCACUAGGACCAUCAUCCAAAUGAAUGAUUCAGGUAAGAUGGAUAACUCUACCAUGUCUACACUGACCUUUCUAAGGGGCUGAAGUUAGGAAAGAAUACAGAAGCUUUUCUCAACUUUGGCUAAACAUAAGAAUUACCUGGGGAGCUUUAAAAGUCCCAAGGCCUGGGUCCCAUGCCCAGAGAUCCUGACUUAGUUUGGGGUGGGGACUGGGCAUUUGGAUGUUUACAUGUUUCCCAGAUGAUUCUAAGGCAUAGCCAGUGCUGAGGACCACCGUCCUCACCUGCAUGGCCAUCUGGUGGCUGCAUGAGGGGGCUGACCCUCAACUGCUUGGCUUCUGGUACGCACUCUGCCUUUGACAUCUGUUGUGUUGGCCCUAGGAGAAGGGACAAAAGAGAAGACUGCUCUUGGUGUAUUUCUGGCAAGAUUGGAUUUAGAAGCCAUGGAGGUAGACAGUGAACUUUCUACUGUCCUUUCCUUCUGUCUCCAGCUGACCCAGAAUGAAGUCCUGUCCUGGGAUUCCUUAGAUACCCCCGAGGAAUACUUAGUGAGCUGACAGUUCCUGAGGUUGGACAUCAUCCCCAGGUAGUAGGGGCACACAGCAGCAGGUUGUGUGGCAUCUUGUUCCAGCCAUGGUUCUGAGCCCUCCUAGGGAAUGUUCAUAACCUGGGCUUGCCCUUCUGCUUCUGGUCUGAGAUGAAGUGGGGCAAGCAUGUAGUGAUUAGUCCCUAGUGGCUACUGCAUAGGGCAGGACAAGUUGUAGAAUACUUCCAACAUUCAUAUAAAUGAAUGGGCUUAAUGUAUUCAAGUAAAACUUAAAAAAAAUUUUUUUUAAUGUUUAUUUUUGAGAGAGAGAGAGAGAGAGUGAGAGUGGGGUGGGGGGAGAGAAAGGGAGAUACAGAAUCUGAAGCAGGCUCCAGCUGCCAGCAGCCGAAGUCAGAUGCUUAACCGACUGAGCCACCCAGGCGCCUCUAAAGUAAAACUUUAUGUACAAGAACAGGUAGCAACUGUAUUUGUCCUAGGGCUACAGUUUGUGGACUCCUGCUCUAGGCCUAAGCAGGCAGGCCUUCUUUCAAAGAAGAUGCACUUUUGUUUGUAGGCUGGUAUGUACCAACCUGGAAGCAUACCAGCCCCUCCAGGGCUCUCCUCAUAGCAGGAGUCCCAGCGUGCCAGGAGUGUCCAUAACCCCCUUCAGGACAACAUGUCUCUAGUAAGUGCUCGCUGUUCUAACCCCUUCCUGGUUUUCUUUGGAGAGUAAGGCAGGGCAGGGUUGCAUAGAGCCCCCCUCCUUCCAAAUGAGAAAUUUUGUGUCCGCACUACUCAGGGUCUGGUUCUGUAAGUGGGGCAGUCCUUCAGAGCUCCUGGUUAGCCAGAGUGCCAGAGGCACGUAUUCUCUCACUUUUCCUGCUAUGUCUGCUUAAACUUGGCUGUUCUAACUUCUGCAGAGUUGAAUAAAACUCCCAGUGUCUGUGAGGAGAUCAGGCUGUAGCCAGCUUUCUUCAGGGUGCUCUGCUUCAGCACUAUAUAGGUGUCUGGGGAUUCCUUUCUGGAGUGCCUAGACCCGCUUCACAGAGUCCCUUGUGUUGGGACAAGGGUGUGACAAGGGUGAGAGAUGGGCUCUCACACAGCCUAGAUGUUGGGCCGUGCCUAUUCUCUCAAAGCUACUUGGUGCCAGGAUUAGUAGUGCAAGUCUCUGAGAACUGAGGCCAUGGUGAGAGGCUCCAGGGAAAUAUGACAGGGGCAGAGGUGAGGAAGAGGCAAAUGGUAGAUGAAGUCAGCAAAGACUCACAUGCUACCCUGCGUCAGGAUGGUGGAAGGCCCAUGAGGAGCCUCUUAGAGACCUUGCCAUGUAUUCCAGGUGUUACCAUUGCCUUACUUGCUGAUAAACCUUGGAUUGGGUAGUCUGCUUCCCUCAUCACCUUCCCAGGUGUGAGUCAGGGUGGGAAAUGAGUGCACAAUCAGCCCCUGAGAUCUCUGCCUCUCUGUUCUGGAGCAGAGGCCGUGAACACUGCACAGCCACACUCCACCCAGCAGGCAUUUGAGUGUGCUGUUGGGCAGCAGCCACUGGGAGGCAGCCAGUUUCUACUGUCAGGUUUUCACAGGAGGGUGUUAGAGACAACCCAGUGAUGCCCAAAAGCAACAUGACAAAUACCGUGUGACUACUAUCCGUUGCAAGGCCUCACAGGGCGCUGCGGUCAACCAGAGAAGGGAGGAGUUUGGCGGAAGUAGGUGAGAAGUUUCUGGAGGUGGUGACACGCCAGCUGAGAGCCUUCUGAAAAGUGAGUAGCUUUGUCCCUAAAGCAUAAGCCCACUGUCCGAAUAAGGUUGCGUUUAUAGUGCUCUUCUCUGUGACUCGUUAGCUGGGUCUUCCACAGCCUGGUUCCUUCUUCAUUCUUCCUACUCCCUACAACCUCACUCUGUCCUGACCCCAAAGUGGCAGCUAGAAACCAUCUCAGACACAAGUGUCACCAACAUGGGGCUGAGCAGCAGAAGGGCAGAGGGGCCUGCUAGGAUGACGGAUGAGGAAGCCCUGGGGCUAGAGGACAUCUGUCCCCCUUUCCCCUUCUACCUGAUGGGGAAGAUCUUUUGCUCAUAGAUGAAACCUUAAUAGCCCCAAGGCUACAGCUAAACAAGGCAUUGGAUGGAGAAAGGGGUCUAACAGAAGUCCUGCUCACUACUGCUUUCUGGAACCCCAAAUUGUAGAGUAAACCUAUGUCAGAUGGUUUGGUGAAUUGUCGGCUGUCAGCUCCUUCAGAAUGGCCCUCAAAGUCCUCUCCGUUCCUCCCAAGUAUGGAGGAUACAGUGUUAGGGUCUGCAGCUGCCCUUGAAGAGAACGCUAGAGAAAUGGCUUAGAAAUUGUACAGGUUAACCAUGGGAGACAGCCUGGACUCCUCACCUAACCUCUGGGGAAGCAGAUCUCUCCAAGAGGAGCCCCUGGAGAGGAGAAGUGCUGAGGAAGUCGGGAUUGGACAUCAAACUGAACAGGACCAGCCCCUCUAGCUGGUGGUACCAAGUACCAGGCUGUCACCCGGCUCCACGGCCUGCUCCGUGGGGCCGCAGGUAACGCGCCAGCAGUCCUUUUGGGGACCACACCCUUGUCCCAACACAAGCCCAGGACACAAGGCACAAACCCCCAGUGCUUCCUUCCCCAGCUGAGUGGUGAAGAAUUCAAUCAUUGAUGCCUUCUCAUUCACAGUCUUGCUUGUGGACAGCAGCAAGUGGGAAGGACUGGCCACAGGGGACUGCCAUCCUGUUGCGCAUGAUCGUGAAAGGGCUACUCAAGGUCGAAAACCUCACAUCAGGUGGUUUGAAGUGCUGCUUUGCAGGAGGCAUGCCUGAGAGGACUAGGUCCGAGGUUUUGCUUGCCUUCCCUUCCCUUCCUGAAAACGUACCUGUGCUGCGUCCCGCACUGAGCCAAACCUCCUGACUUCUGUUAGUGGCCGUAGCCCUUCACCUGUCUGACUCCUUUUUGUCCCUCUAGGUCUCAGCUCAGAUGCCACCAACAGUUAAUGUCACAUCACCCUGUUUAAUUCUUUCAGAGCACUCAUUGCUAUCAGCAGUUUUCUUGUUUACUGUGUGCCUCGCUGGAAUGUGAGUGUCACGAGGACAGGUCACCUGAUGUGUUCACUAGUGUAUCUAUUGCUAGGGCCCAGAACAUUCUUGGCUCAUAGCUUGUAACAGUUGGAUGAAUGUUCCCUCUCCUUGGAGUAUCUUCUUAGGAACUUCAGGAAAUACAAUGAUAAAUCCAACUGAGUAAGAGCUUAUGAUGAGACUUUGUGGAAUCCUGGUGGAGAAGGUCUUUGAGUGAGGGGAAAAGUCUUUUAAAAAUGCUCUAGAGGCAUUUUCUCAGUUCUGGAUGCUUUGCGUAUUUCCAUCAGGGAGAUCCAAUUAGUUCAUGAGUACCAGUUAUUCCCUCCCAAAUAUCUUCCUGGAAAAUAGGUACAGGUUUUUGGGUUUUGUUUUUUUUUUCCAUCUUUUGACAACUCCCUACCCCAUCCUGCCAAAAUAUUAGGUUUUAGAAUCCUAUCACGUUGAACUUCAACUUCUUUCCCUCAAAUCCCAUGGUUUGAAAUUGGGGCAUUUCAGGGGUCAGAGGGGAGCCCAGGAAGCCGAUUGUACUCCAUGUAAGUGCUGAAUACUCUAGACUCCCCAAGUGGGGGGGGAUAGAGGAGGGUCUCUCCCCUGAAGUGACUAUGUAAUUCAUGGAAAGGAAGGCAAACCCCACACAGUCCUGUGACUUGGGCAUUCUGGGGACUCUACAGAGCAGAAAGCAAAAUUAUAGCAAUUUAGUAACUUAAAUUUUUUUUUUAAUGUUUCUUUAUUUUUGAGAGACAGAGUGCAAGUGGGGGAGGGCCAGAGAGAGCAGGAGACACAGAAUCCAAAGCAGACUUCAGGGUCUGAGCUGUAAGCACAGAGCUCAAUGCGGGGCUAGAACUCACAAACAAUGAGAUCAUGACCUGAGCUGAAGUCAGACGCUCAACUGACGUAGCCACCCAGGCACCCCACAUUUGGUAACUUUUUUAAUAAGUUGGCACUAUUUGUUUCCCAUCAUGCCCUGUAUGAGAACAGUGACUGCACAUCUGUGGCUAGAGGUGUUUCUGCUGGGAGGCUGUUUAUGGAAUUUCUCAUUUUCCCGGUCGGCUCUCCUUGCCAUGAACUAGUUUCACCCAGUAGAGAGCUAUUUCUAGAGACAGCUUUAACUUAAUGGCAGGGCCAGAUAGAAUUUUAGUUUGUUCUUGACAAUAUCUUUCUCCCUUUGUUCUUCAACUACCCUUCCCUGCUCUGGGCUCAUGGGUCAGGUGGCCCCUUCAUCUCUCAGGCUGGAGGGCAGUGACUCACAGAGGGUGGUAAUAGCCUAUGUUGUUGCUACAGCUGCUGGAAUGAGCUGUUGUCUAAGACCUUAGGAUGAGGUUUUCCUUCUGGCUUAUCAGUUAACACUUGGGCUUCUAUAAUCCUAAGCAUUUUCACUUCCAAGAAAGCUAUUAAGACCAAUGAGAAAAAAAGAAGGAAAAGUAUUUGGUGGUGUCAGCUCUUCUGAGAUACUAGGUGGUAUAAGAAGGAUCUAGGAAAUGUUGGGGGGAGACUCCAUUCCUUUUAAUAAUUUAAUAAUGGAGUUGUAUCAGUCAGAACACACUAAGUUAUACUGCGGUAACAAAUACCACCACCAUCUCAUCUCAGUGGCUUAAAAAUAAAGGAAGAUAUAUUUCUCACUGAGGCUAUAGUCUGUCAUAUUGGGCAGGUGAGGUGACCUCUGCUUAUCGUAGGCCCUCAGGUACCCAGCCUGAUGGCUGUUGGUUGCCUCACUAAAGAGGAAGAGUUCUGGGGUGGGGGGGUCUGCCUUGCAUAGACCAUUAAGUGCUGUGGUCCAGAAGUGAUGUUCAAGCAUGCCCAAACACAAGAGGGGUAGGAGUACAAUCUUAUAGAGUCUGAAGGUGGGAAGAGUUGGAAAGAGAUCAGCCUCAAAGUUAGCAACAGAAGUUGACUGAAUUGGACUUCGGAACAGUUCAAACCUUUGAGACUCUGACUUGUGAUUGUUUCAAUCAUUUAUUGGGCUUGAGGGCCAUAACAGUUUGGUUUCAUGGCCAUGUUCUGCUUUGGCCUAGAGAGCUAUUGCUGUGUUUAUUUUCUCAAAAGCCUCUUUUUGGUCAGUUAGUAUCAAGAGGCAACAUUAGAGGGUGGAAGGUAAUUGGGAUUAGGAGUUGAGAUAUGGUAUCACAGGCAUGGCUAUUUUAGCACUGUUUGGAGAACACAAACUUAGGUCAUAUUAAUAGAAGUAGAAGAUGUGGAUCAAGGGAGGUGAUAAUCCUCCUUUAUUUUGCUGUACUUAUACCCUGCCUGAAUGUCAUACUUUGAAAGUAACUUUGACAAGCUUUGUCAAGCUGGAACCCAGGAAGUGUUAUCAAGGGGAGAGGAGAGUCUUGAAAAUUAUUGAAAGGGAUAACUUGGCAGCUGUUGUAUUUGAAAAGCUGUUGGAAGUUUUGUUUGUUUGUUUGUUUUUUACUGUUGAAAAAGUUACCUCCCUAUUCUGAAAUGGAUUAGACUGCACUGUGAGCAGCAUUCUCAUUGCUAUAAGUGACCAAAGAAAGCAGAGAAAGGAGUUUGACCUUCCAGACAAGGGAAGAAGGGUGGUUGUAGUAGGCAGGUUCUUGGGUCUCUUCCAAUCUGUCAUGAUUGUUUCUCUGACUCAGUUUUUCUCAGAAAUAAAGAAUAAGUCUUAAUCAUGGGAGAAAGAGUGAAUUCCAAGUGAGACUCCACUAUAUAAAAUGUUCAUACUGUUCUGCUGCUAAUCCCUCAAGAAUCUUGACAUUGGGUGAUAGGCUCUCCAUUUUAUAUGUAAAGUAACCGAGGCUGAGAAGAAAGUCAAGCACACGUAUAAUCUCACAAGGUGCUUUGGCUUAAGUGCAGCAUCUGGAACCAGACAGCUUGGGUUUACGUUCUGGCUCUGGAGCCUGCUAGCUGUGCAACCUUGGGUAAGUCAUUUAACCUCUCUGUUUUAUACUCUGUAAAAUGGAAAUGAUAGCACCUCAUAGGGUCGUGAGGAUUAACUGACUUAAUUAUACAGAGCAUAUUGAAUGUUUAGUACCCUGGCACAGAAUAUGAGUUGUCUAUGUUUCAUCUGUUAUUUAAACCAUUAUCAAUGUCUGCACUAAGUUUGAAACACUAUAGGAAUUUGAUUCAUAUAAAUAGGAAGGCCAAACUAAUUUCUCUUUUACUUUCUCUCGUGACUCAUGAAGAUAUAAUGAUACUUUUCUCCCUUUCUGGAAAUGGCUCUGUUCUAGCAUUUCAACAUAAUCCGAGAGGUGAGGUUUCAAAAUUGAAGAGUAUUAGAUAUAUUCUAAACCCACGAAUCAUGUUUACAGACCUGAAUCCUCCAAAGCCAUCUUGUAAGCCGAUAGCAGGAGAGAGGCUGUAUGUUUGGGAAUAUUCACAAAGAAUUGUUUUCACUAGUCCCAUCAGGAAAUUGAUCAGAAAUCAGCCUUUCUGAUCCAGAUUUCAAGCUAUGUGCCACCACCCCCCCUCAACUUUCCAAAUACUCAAACUCAAUAUUUUUUUAGUGUAUUGGGUCUAAGUUUUUGUAUUUAUCAGGUUUAAACUGAAUAGCAGCAUGACCCUGGGGCCAUUGUCUCAGAAUCCAUUCCCAAGUCUAGUGUAAACGCAAACAUAAAUGCAAACAAGAGCAUGCUUCUGGUCAGGUGGUGGGGUGCAGGGCGGGGGUAAAAGUCCCAAUGAGGCUCAUGAGACUAAAGCAUUAUUGGUAUGCUUUGUUGAUAGGGGUUUCUUGUUUCCUCUCUCUGGCAGACGUCUUAGUCAAAGUGAUGGUUAAGUCAGAGCUCCUCAAAGAGUCUUUGAGUGGGGACCCUUCCAAAGUGUUAAAAUCUGUGGUGAGAGAAAUUAAGCAGGAGGGGAGAUGAGGCCCAGACUAAGUACCUGUGUGCCCACAGACCCUUCCUGUUCUAGUGACAAGGUCAGCAGUCUCUGGUGGGGAUCCCCACCCCUGCACGUUCUCAUUUUCUCUUUCUCCCUCUCCCCACUCCAUCCUCCUUUCCCAGGCCCACCGCCCUCCUCUCCCUCCCCCAGGUGGGAAGCUGUGCUCCAUACCCUGACUGCUUUCUGGCUGGGAUCAGGGGACACAUGAAAGAAGGAUGUCAGACCGGGGUUUAGGUGAUUAUGCUCUAGUUCCAGCUGCAUCCCUAAUAGAGUUUUGGACAAAGUCCCCAUUCCAAAUCUGUUUUCUUAGCUCUAUAAAGUCCGCAUGUGAGUUUAACAAAGUUUCCAGUUCUAAAAGUUUCUAACUUACUAAGACCUAAAUUGACUGGGAUACUACUACUGUAUCUGUGUUAUUGCCGGAUCUCUCAACUGGUUGCUGAGCUGUUUGGGGGAAGGACCAUAGGUACUGAGAUGGUACAAAGGAGUACCCAUCUCACACUCUUUGUCUCCUAAGGCUGGAUACAGCCUUAGGCUGUUAAUAGACCUCAGAGAUUGUGGUAACUCUGCUUUGUUCACCUUCAGUUGAUAAUAUGAUUCUUCCUCUAACUAAUUUUCUUCCUGUAAAAAGAUCUGGCAUAAUUUCUGUGCCCCAGUUUCCUCUUCUAUAAAAUGAGAAUAAUAGUACUUACUUCAUAAGAUUGUUAUGAAGAUUAAAUGAGUUAAUAUGAAGAGUUUAAAACAGUGCCUGGCAUGUAAUACAAUCUCGCAAGUGUUAGUGGUUAUGAGACAUUGCUCAGAGGGCUAUAAAUGAUCAUGCCCCUUCUGGAAGACAGGGUAACAGAUAUAUCAAGAGAACAAAUGGUUCUCAGGCCCACAUAUCCCACUUCUGGAAAUCCCAGAAAGAUGGAACUUGGAAAACUCAUACAUCAUUAUAUUUAUCACAAGAUUAUCACAAUGAAAGUUAGAAAUAUGAGUGAUGAACAAGAUCAAAUAAAUUAUGGCACCCUCUACUUGACUCCUUUACAGCCACUAAAAGACAAUAGCAAUACAAAUCUCUGAAAAUCUGCAAACCUGUGUGCAUACAACGUAACUCCAUAUGAGAAAUGAAGUGCACACACUGAAGUGUGAAAUGUGUAGUAUUGUGGGUUUUCCCUUUUCUUUCAUAACUAAAAAGGAGGAGAUCUGUAGCAGAUGCAAAAGAUAGUCAAAAAAUGGGAGCACAAGAUAAUAAGUUUCUUUCCUUAUCUCAGGAAGACUUGACUUUAUUUAUUUAUUUAUUUUUAAUGUUUUAAUGUUUAUUUAUUUUUGAAAGGGGGGGGUGGGUAGUGAGAGAGGGAGACACAGAAUACGAAGCAGGCUCCAAAGUGUCAGCACAGAGCCUGAUGCAGGGCUCAAACUCAUGAACUACGAGGUCAUGACCUGAGCCAAAGUCGGACGCUUAACCAACUGAGCCACCCAGGCACCCCGGAAGACUUGACUUUAAUGACAAUUAUCACUUAGCAGUUCUUUUCUCAGAUUAGUUGCCUUUAACUCCUGUUCUUAAAGUUUACUCAGAAAAAGACACUCCAUUAGAAAUAAGCCACAGCUAUCUACCUAGGGCUGCGGUGCACCAGAUUUUUUGGGUACAACACUCCCUUGUGUUCUGGGGCUGAAGGCAGCCUCCGUAAUCAGUUGGUAGGAAUGUGUUGAGUCUUGACCAGCUGUAAUAUGGUGGUCUCAUACAAUCUCUGCUUUUGUUUACAGAUCUUUGGAGAAAAGGACUACUAUUCAUCCCCAAAUGAGGAGGGCAGGCUGACUGGAAUGGAAAAGUAUGUUCAGGAGGUUUGGUUGUUUAUUCGAGAUGUGUUGAUAUGUAGUUAUUCCAUCUGGGGCGGGGGCGGGGGAGCCUAAUUAAUUUACAUAUAGUCCAAGUACCCGAAAUGGGGGAAAUUCUAUCAAGUGUUAAAACUAGAGUGCUAGAUAAGACUUUGACACAACUUUCCCUUGCCUUGUUGUAAAUGGGAGAACAACCUGGUAAAAUACAAUAAACUAGAGCCAUUAACAUCCCAGGGAAUGUAAUUAAAAACCACCUCUUCAGGCUAAAUUUUCAUGGGAGAGAGAGAUGUUUAUACAGACAAGAACAAAGACUUGUUACCUGAUGGAAAGGACUAGAGUUUGGAUAACAAACUAAGUUAAUGAAUUCAACAGUCUACGAUAUAGUUUCAUAAUUUUAUGGUCUAAUCUUAGUCUCUUCAAAAACUAACAUUUCUCUACCAAGAGGUAUCUAGAUUGUGUUUUCUAUUCUUCCCUUCUAUUUCUUUUAAAGUUUAUUUAUUUAUUUUGAGAGCGGUGGGCAGAGAGGGAGAGGGGGAGAGAAUCCCAAGAUGGCUCUGCACUGCCCCCAAUGUGGGCCUUGAACUCAUGAACUGUGAGAUCAUGACCUGGGCUGAAACCAAGAGUUGGAUGCUUAGCCAGUUGAGCCAUCCAGGGGCCCCUCUAUUCUUCUCUUCUAAAACAUUCCUAGAAAAGAUGCCAUGAAUAUCACAUAUAGUUUCUGGUAACGCUUAAUUAAGAUCUCAAGCAGUGAGUGUGCCUGAUUCUCUGUCUUAUCAGCUAAGGACCCUCAUCGAGGAUGCCCUAAGAACCCAUGAGGUGGAGAAAACAUUCCCCUUUCUUGAAGCUGUUGAUGGGUCUCUUGGCUGCUGGUGGCAGUCAGUAUUUACUAUGCUUGGAAGAUUAGGCAAGAUUCAGCCUGGAUUGAGUAAAUAGGAAAAGUCCCCCAGUGCUAGUCCAUGUCAUUUCCCAUGGAGAGCUGCCCCUUCUCAGUCAUCACCAUGGGAGAGUUAUGCUUGCCUUCCGGCCUAAGGAAGGGUUGACUGUAUUAGUUCAUCUAAUUAUGUCAUAUUUUAUUUCACUCCUACUAUGGAUCAGGCAUUGUCCUGGGUACUUGGAGUUCAACAGUGAGCCUAAAAGACUAAUUCCUUCCCGAUGGACUUUACAGUCUAGCUAGGAGACAAGCAAGAAAAUUGCAGAGUAUGUUAGUUGAUAAGUUGAUCUGUUCUAUUGAGAAAUGUUCUUUCAAGGUGGUAAGGGAAAACCCUGUUGAGAAGGCAUGUGGGAGAGAGCUGUGCAGCUAGCCAGCAGGGUGAAGAGGCCUCCAGAUAGAUGAUGCUGAGGCCCUGAGGCAGGCUUGUGGCUUAGACCAACAAGAGUGGGAAAAAGGCAGAAGAUGAGUCUUUGGAAUAGUCUGGAGGAUAGUACAGCAGAAGGGACCAGAUAGUGAGACUAACCAGAGUAGUCUAUUCUUCUAUUUUUAGAUGCGAAUGAGUGCGAAAUUGGCCUGGAGCUCUGUGAUGAUGGAGCAGAAUGUGUGAACAGAUCUGGCUCUUACUAAUGUCACUUCCAAAAGGAGUAUGAAGACCAUACCCCAUGCAGCCUGGCACGCUGUGUGUGCACACUCCUCACAAAGGCACUGGUUGCCCAGAUGCCCUCUUGUGUGUAUGCUUAUAAGCUGUCGGGAUCACUUGUGAGACCUGUAGCAUCCUCAGGUCAGGGCUGAGCUCUCAUUCUGAUGCCUCUGGCCACAAACACCAAAGCAAACAUUCUCUGAAGGAUACAAAGUCCAGAAACUGUUCUAGAGCUUGGAACGUGGUAUAAAAGCACUUACUGGGAGGAUCUUCAUUGUGCUGAUUUUUCUUUUGCAGGCUUUAGCUUUGGAAUACUUCCAUAAGGAUUCCAUUCCUGACUCCGUUCAAAGGAGUUGUGUGUAGAAUUUAACUUGAACAUCUGGUUGUUUCACCAGAGCUCCAUCUGUCAUGCCCUGGGGAGAGGGCCUAUUUGUUGGGGGCGGCAGAGGGGGUGUGUGUUGCUUCAAGACUCAGCCUUUUAGACAUUUUCUUACCAAAGAUGAAAUUGGGCAGGAACUUGCACAGGAUUGAGUGAGCUUCUUCUGAACAGGUGUGGCAUAAAGCAAUUGGUAAUGAACUAGUGGAUGCCCUUAGCCUUUUUAAGGAGUUAUUGCUGGUGAUGGUAAUUUGUUUGGGACCUCUGAAAUAAUAUAAACUUCCUGGUGCUGCCACAGGCAGGUCAAUAGGCACGAUUUCUAUUUCUCAACUUGCUAACUUGCUGGGGGACCUUGGUCUUUGGUUCUCAAAUAUCCCUGAGAAACAAAGGAUUCAACUAGACAUCAAAGGUUUUGUCUAGCUCUUUGCAUAUUAGAUGUUGACAUUUCAGCAAAGAUGCCAUUAGACCCCAAGGGCAGGUGGGUGAACUUGCAAUGCUAUUUGCAUAGUUCUUUGGUUUUGUGUGUGUGUGUGUGUGUGUGUGUGUGUUUCUUAGUUGUCAUAUUUCAAAGGAAGAUUGAAUAUGUCACAAAAUACAGACUCAGUAUGAAUUUCUUAUGGCUAGGAAUCUACUUGUGACUGACAAUUUGUAGUUUUUUCAUGUUUUUUCUCUUCCCGCACCCUCCAAGUAUCCAGAUAAGGCAAUGUUUUUAUUUACUCUGCUAUUACAGAAUAGCCUGGGUGAUGUAUAAACAACAGAAAUUGUUCUGAAAGCUAGAAGGCCAAGAUCAAGGCUCUAGCAGAUUCAGCGUCUGAUGAGAACCUGCUUCAUAGUUCUUAGAUAGCCAUAUUCUUGCUGUGUCUUCACACAGAGGAAAUGGGCGAGGGUGUCUCUUGGGCCUCUUUUAUAAGGAUACUAAUCCCAUGUACAAACGCUCAACCCUCAUGAUCUAAUCACCUCCCAAUUCCACCUCCUAAUAACAUGACCUUGGGGUUGGGAUUUUGGUGUAUUAAUCUGGAAAGGAUAUAAGCAUUCAGUCCACUGUAGGCAGUGACAAGAGUUAAGCUGAAAUAAGUUCUGUGAGGCAGCCAUCUUGAAGUUUCGGAAAUCUGACAUCUGUGGAUUUUGCUCUAACGAUAGUUUCUAGAUGGUAUGCAAACUAGUUCUAGUUCUUUGGAUCUAUAGUAAGUUACAUGAUGAUAGAAUACAUUUUGGAAUACAGCUGGCUCUUGUUCUUCUCUGGUCUCUUUAAUGAUUUCUGUCUUUUUAAAAAUAGACAAAAUUAGGGGUGACUGGGUGAUUCAGUUGGUUAAGUGUCCAACUCUUGAUUUCAGCUCAGGUCUUGAUCUCAGGGUCGUGAGUUCAAGCCCUGUUUGGGCUCCACACUGGGCAAGAAGCCUACUUAGAGAAAAUAGACAAAAUAAAUUUCUGAUAUGCCUAACAUGGAAGACUUUUAGUCAUUAGCUCUUAGGCAAUUUAGAUUCCAUAUCACAAGAGGAUGUGGGACAUUUUUCAAAGUUAACUCUGUGUAUGAAUAGGGUUCUUGAGGGAGCUAUGUAGCAAAAGUUGGUGAAAGGUCCUUACAUUACCUGAUUCAUUUUGUUCCAAGUCUAGCUUUGGCUUUGAUAAAAUAUUAACAAUUCAUUUGUUUAUUCUCUCAAAAAAUAAGUACCUACUAAUGUAUCAGGCAAUAUGCUAGGGACAGGGGAUAAAAGUAUAAAUCUCUGAAGGCACUUUUGAGAGCCCAUUAGGUAAUGGAAUAUAAGCCUAUCAUUUAGUUCUCUUUAAAAAAAAAAUGUUUCUUUGUAUUUCAGGAGUUGACCUGGACCUGCUGGUUGGAGUUGCUGGUUCCUUUCAGUCGCGCUCAUGUUGACUAUUGGCCUCAUGUGGCUUGUGACUAGAACCUACAUCAAGAAGGAAAAUUCUCUGGGUCAGAAUGUGGCACCACAGGAAUGCCUGCCUAUAGCACCUGCCUUUGACCUGAUGGACCUCUGCAAACACCUUCCCUUCAACCCCUACCAGCCUAAGCCCCAUGCCAAGGAUCCACAUGGUGCUCCAGGCAAGAAUGUUCCUCAGAACAGGGAACUGCAGCUGUGGGUAGAGCAAUCAGGUUCUGAGGGUGGCUGCUGCCUCUAGAAAGGGUGGGGGUAGAAGACCUUGUCCUUUGGAGGUACAAACUUCACUGUGCCAUCAAAUCACACACUCAUGAACUUAGGAAGAAGUACCUUGGUUCUGAUUCUGUCACUUCUGUUCUCUGAUUCCAACUGUGUUGUGGUUCCUGACUCUCCCUGGGCAGAAGGCCUAUUUGCUGGGGGGCAGAGGAGGGGGUGUAUCUUGCCUCAAGACUCAGCCUAUAAUUCCAGCAAUGGACUGAGGUAGUCUUCCGGUGACCCAGACACUUCAGGUGAUGAGUGUGGUCCACAGGAAGUGUCCAGGGCAGCAGGAAGCACAUGGUACCAACCUCCAAAGUUGAAUGAGUUUAUCAGUGGACAGAUUAGAGAACUGUUAACAUAGUUUAGAAAACUCAACCUCAGGACUUUUCUCCCUUUGUAUGGGAAAAGAAACUCCCCUAAAAGUAGUGGGUGAGAACUCUUGAUUCUUUUUCCUUCAUACUUGGUUGCAUUUUAUUGGAUUAUAAAAUUGUACUUAUGGAAAGAUUCUGUCUUCUGUUCUUCAUCUAUUUUGGCUACUACAUGUGCCAGGUUGGUAUCAGAGCCCUACAG
RNAcentral lists this long non-coding RNA (121546 nucleotides) under Lynx pardinus (Iberian lynx). The stretch from base 34342 to 34426 matches the Rfam family "tRNA". The record is from RNAcentral. Lineage: Eukaryota; Metazoa; Chordata; Mammalia; Carnivora; Felidae.